GUUCACUAACACAGAUUUAGACAAAUUUGUUAACAGUAUUUGAGAGAAAUAGGUUUUCUUUUAUGUACAUAGAAAAAGUCUUUGAUCUUUAAGUUUAGCACAUGAAAAAAGGGAGCGAAAACAAGUGUUGCGUUUAUAUUUUUGUUCAGUGUAUGUUGCUAGCAUGGCCUGUGAAGAGCCUUCUUUGUUCCCUCUGCCUGUUUUGCAGCUUUUGUACCGAGGAGAACAUUUGGACUUGGAACGAAAAACUCUUCUGACACAAGGAAGGAGGACAAAAUUGCGCUUAGGUUUAACUGCAGCAUUUUUGACCUAACUGGUUGGUUGGAUACAAACAAACCACAGUGCUUUGUCAUAAAUGCUGUUAGCGAAGGUUCUCAGUAUUUGAUGUCAUGGGACGCUGACGCCUCCAGUUCUUCAUGAGACUCGAUUUCAAACCAGCGGAAAGGUGUUAGUACAACCCAGUAGGUAAUGUUUUACACAGUGGAUGGACAGUGAGCUGUAUAACCGAGGGACUAGCUAACCUUGGAGAGAUGCAUUAACGUUUCCUGAGAGCGGAACCAUGACUGAAGGGAUGUUAUCAGAGGUGGUUGAACACCUACACUCACUGCCUCCAGCAACUCUUAUGGUAAGUCCAUUUUUAUUUACUCCUGAUGUGACUCUGCUGUGUCGAAUUUUUUUCAUCCAGCACACACAAACACACAAACAGAUCCUGUUGCUGCUGUGGAUGGACAUACCCAUGUGCACAGUGGUUUAUGUGGUUAAUUAUGUGUGUGCAUUUCUGAUUUGUUGUUAGUCCCUCUUAUAGCCUUGUCUUGUCUUGUUAUUCCCCCUUGUUCAGCAGACCCAAGCUUAAACGUUAAUAUUGUCGCUCAUGCAGUUGUGACACAGAUUGUGCUGCUCUAAUCUGGCACAUGUGUAAAUUUGCAGCUUUGAGUGAAUCUUAAAAUAGACAGCUUGAGUUGUUAUUGUUCAGUUUAAAACGCGGCUUUAAAACUAAGGAAAGUGUCUAGACAACUGCUUGCAGCUGCACACAAAUAAAACUACCAAAUGAAAAAACAAAUUGGUUACAUCAGUCCCCCUUCUCUCUUAUUUAGACACAGCUUGUACUUAAUAAGAUGAAUUAAAUAGUACGCUGUAUUACGCACUCACUGUUGAAUGAGCAAAAAUGGGAGGAUAGUGCAAGGACAGUCCUAGUCAGAGUAUACCAUGGUGAUGUUUAAGGCUUGGACCCUAAAUCCAAGGACUGCAUUUUCAUAAUGACGCAUUUAAAAUGACAAAAAGUCAUGGGAAUGAAUAGGGUUUUAAAAUGUAAUUCUUACACUUCAUUUCUGUGUAAACUGGACCCUCUCUAUCUAUUAAGAGUGGCAGCAUUAAGCGUAAAUCUGUUCCCUUCAAUGUUAAUAUAUCCAGGGUGGUUUGAAUUAAUAUGCCCUGAGGGAGAAGUAAUAAAGUUUGAAACUAUCAAGGUCUCACACAUCAUUGAAUGGUAAUGAUUCAUUUUCCAUGUGUUUCAGCAGGUCCUUUGUGUUGAUGUACUCUUUGACAUGAGUGUUACAGUGCAUACAGGGAACAAAAUGUACAAGCAGAUAAAAGUGAGUAGAACGAUACAACUUAACUAAUAUACAUAUCCUAAUUUGUGGAUAGAGUUAAGACAUUCGUCCAGUAUUUUGAGUGAUUCAAUGCAAUAAUAUAAGAAGCUGAUAUAUUGAUACUUCUUAGUCAGCAUUUAAAUGUGGGGAAUAAAUUCCCGGGUACAAAGGAUAAUGAAGUGAGGGCAAUGGCUAUUAACUUUAUCUGUUAUAAUGGCAGGAUUUUCAUCUCUAAUUCUGUGUGUGCAUCACACAGUGAAGUGUCAUUACUGUUACUUGAAUGCGCCACUCUGAACUCUUGUUUGCACUACAUACCAUGUCUUAUUUUGUGCUGCGUCAACAUGAUGAGAGGUAAUAGUCUCAUACCCCUGUAUUGAAUGUGACAUCCAUCUAUCUCUAGUAAUAGUUCAGCUUGUAAAAGUCACAGCUUUACAUCUAUCUUCAUCUUUUCAUAAAAUGCAGGCAUGCAUUAAUUUGAGAAGUGAGGACAGUUUUGUAUGUUGUAUCUUGGAACUUGAGUUUAGAUCUCUUUAUGAAAACCUGGGUUUUUCAACCUUACUGUACAGUUGCAUGUCUGUACAAAUAAAUGCCGUUAGAGCCCUGAUAGCCUUAGUUCUCAGUGAGUCUGAUUAAAGACAUUUGUGACACCUGAGGCUUUUUCUGGAGCAGCUGGCCCUGCUGCUCAGGUUCAGGUUUAAGUUACUUUAUUUGGACCCAGAGGUAGAUUUGAUUUGUGGUGAGCCAUUGGCAUCCAGUUUGACAUUGAAUUGCAAAACUGAAGUAAACAAAACAGGUCACACACAGACACACAAACAAACAGAAUAAAAACUAAAACACACUGAAAUGUGAUGAAAAGUACUCAUUGCUCCAUCAAUCAGGCUCAUGGAGGAAACAAAGUUUGGGGUUGAUGCUAACACCAUGCUGCCCAAAUAGGUGAGCCAAAAGAUCGGUCAUGCUGCCACUGUAUUGAACUAUGUUGCAAACAUAUGCAAAAGUAAAGUGGACAUUAGCUUUAUUAGCAAUUGCAUAGAAAUGUUGUGCUGCUGUUUGCCCAUUGCAACAGGUGGAUCUUUAGGAAUUAAUAUUCAUGCUUCAAUGUCAUGAAGGAAUUGUAGCAUUCAUAAUAAAAAGAUAGUGUAUCUGUUGGAGUCUUUAUAUUAUUCCCUGCUCUGUAACCUGGAAAACUUAUUUCACAUUAUGAACCUGCUCAAAGCUGCAAUAGCUGUCAAGCUUAACUUAGUGACAACAAUUGUCAGACAGAUGGUACCAGUACACCAAUAGAGAGGUCCAUUGGGUGUAUUUCAGUGUUCACUUAUGUGUCUGAAAACAGAGGUUCAGGCUCUUUCUGACAAUGUGACCAAGGAUUAAUACACAGUUCUCACCUCCAGAUAUAAGAAUUAAAGUGAAAGGAUCACAUCAUUCGCAAAACUCACACAUCAUGCAAGUCCAAGUGCUCCACCAUAGAAAUAUGACCAAAAUGCAGGUUAAUUAAAAAGAGAAACCUUAUCAUUUUUCCUUCCUCCUUUACCCUUUGAUUGUUUAGCAUUGUUUAUCACACUUUUGUUAGUCUGGGCUUGGGCUAAAUGGUUUAUUGUUUUCUUAUCGAAUAUGCACGGUGGCCAAGUACAGCCACUGCUGCAAAUAAAAAAAGAGGAAGAAAAAAAAAAUUACAAUGGAAGUUACUGAUGAAAAAAAGAAAAGAAACCAAUGCCAGCUACAAAUGAAAAAAGAAACGGUGCAGAUAAAAAAAAAAAAAAGGGGGUGAUAGAAAAAGAAAAUGUUACUUACUGUGAAAAUAAAAGGAUGCAAAUAAAAAAAAGCCACAACUGAAGUGAGAUGCCAGUGACCAAUAAUGAUGAUGCACCGGUGUUUUACGAUCUAGGCACGGGAGACGACGGCGAGAAGACAAGCAAACAACUUAGUGAAAAGGUUAUUGUUUAAUUUUGCUUCGUGUGCUUUUCAAUGUGUCAUUUGGUUAGGCCAUGUAGCGCCUGAGUCGCUAUGAAGUUGAACUGAAGCUAACACUACACCAGCAUCCUCCAGAUCAACUUCAUAUCAACUCAGGUGCUACAUGGCCUGACCAAAUGACACAUCGAAAAGCCCAAGAAGCGAAAUUAAACAAUAACCUUCCCACUAACUCAUUUGCCCAUCUUCUCGCCGUUGUCUCCUGUGCCUAGAUCAUAAAAAAAAGAUUGAUCAUCAUUAUUGGUCCCCGGCAGCUCACUUCGGUUGUUUUUUUCUUUUGGUAUUUGCAUCCUAUUAUUUUCGCAGUAAGUAACUUUUUUUUUUUUGCACUGGCUAAUUUUUUUUUUGCGUCAUUAACUUCCAUUGUGGCUUUAAAAAAAUAAAAAAAUAAAUAAAUUAUUUGCAGCAGUGGCAGUUCUCGACCACCAUAAAUUUGCGAUUUCAGACAAUGUGAUGCCAAAGCUGCGUUUUCUUUUAGUUUUUUUUCUUUUAUGUUUUUUGUUGUUGUUUGUUUGUUUGUUUGCUGCACUCCUGACUGACUCGGAAUCUGUCAGUCUCCCCACCGUCCAAUCAGAAGCGGCAUAUGCCACUCACGGCUGGGUCGCGUUAACCAAUCAGUAGACUAUUUACCUGCUCUCCGUGUUUUGAAACGUGAACGUGUUUUUAAAGUGGCUUCAGCGCGGAGUUAUGUGAUGUAAUCCCCAUGAAAAGUGGCACGGCGAUCAUCUGGGAGUAUAUUGGUUGUGAAGCUGCAGACGCGCACCAGAAACCGGUAGGCUACUGUGCAAAAUAUGUCGCGUUAAAGUUGCUACAUCGAGCAGAAUCACAACCAGUUUAUACCAGCACUUGAAAAACCACCACAGACACUUGCAUGAGGACUGCAUGACGAAAAAGUCCGGUGAAAAGUCAAGUAUGAGUUUCAGGCCCAUUAUAGCAAGCUGACUACAAUUACAAUAUCUUUUGCCGGUAGAAGCUCAUAUGAGAAGAGCAGCAGGAGACGCCAUAACAUAAUAGGGGAGAGUGGGGAGAGUUAUGCCAGUUUUUACUUGGCGUCUUUGAAGCAAGGGGAUGACAGUAAUACCGCCAACUAAAAUAUGUAAAUAUAGUUUAAGGUGUAGUGCAUCCCCGGGAACAAUCACUUUGGAUCUUAAAUAAACUGUUUUGAAAACUAAGUGGUCUUGUGGCACAACUUGCCCCCAGUGCAGGGUAAAUUGUAUCUUUUGAGAGGAUACAUUGGGAUAAAUUGUGCCAUAGAUUAUUGAAGCUGCACUUCUCUAAACCAAGCUAUGAAUCAACAAUGCUGCAGGGGAAUAUGAACUUAUGCUCCCUUCUGGUUGAACUACCAAGUCUUUGUGGUGUGGGUAGUUUCUUGAGCACGUCUAGGGAUGACUCCAUUUUCUUUAAACGUGAAGAUUGGAUUUCCAUCCACAAUUCUUACCUUUAGUUUUCAUUCUUGCAUUAAAGUAAUAGCUUUUUAUGUUUUGAUUCUUAAAUGUUACUGUACACAUUGUGAAUGUUGCACUGCAGCUUCAUUUGAAGAAAAUUGUGAAUCAAAUUGAAAUUGCAAUUUCCUCCUAAAAAAUCGGACUUCGAUCUUUUCCUAAAACCAUUCAGCCCUAACUCAAGGCUAACUGUUGAGAUUAGUUUGACUGUGCAUCGUACAGUAUAAUGUCUGUUUCUUCAUUUACAGCUGCGACUUCCUUAAUUUGUGACAUCCUGUACCCUGACAGAACAUGUCAGUAGCUAAGUGCGUCGUUGAAAAGAGUCACUUACUCCUCUCUUUGCUGAGAGAGUUCUUGUUGUAGUAAGUAGUUGCUGUAACUUGUUUCAUAUUUGAUCUGUUAACAUAAAAAAAAAAUACUGAAUGAUUUUGUUCUAGAAAAUUACUCAUCCUGCAUUGAAGAUUUUUACUUAUUUGGCUCGACAUAGUUGACUGAUGGAGAGUUGUUUUGAAAAAAAUCUUGUACAGCCAGCUGAUCAUAUAGAUGGGUUUCUGUGCAACGUCAUCGCAGGUAUGCGCGCUGCCAGGGGGGCAGAAAGUGGGACAUUUCUUAUUUGUUUACUAGCGUAGUCAACAGAGAAAGAAAAUGACAAGGAGCUGUUGUGCUGUAAACUGCAUGAAUCGGCAGAACAAACAAUCGGCAAACAUUACGACCCUGCUCCUGAUAUUAGAAACACGUAAAACAACGUCACAACCUGGUAAAUUGAGUGAAAUUUAUGGACAUUUCAGCAAGUGUUUUUCUGAUUUUGAUGCAAUGAAAGACAAAGCGAUUUUUAUAUGAAAUGACAUUUUAUUGCAGUUGUGUCAGGAAGAGCUUAUAACAAUACAAACAAUGCAAUGUCAUAAUUGAUAUCAGUUCACUCCAAAGCAGGCUUUUGCCCCCUGGUUGCGCGUGCACGUAGUAUUGUUUGUACACAAGACACCAAUCUAUAUUAGUAAAAACAUUGUUUUUUGUUUUUUUUUAGAAAACGCUUAACUUUUUUAAAGUUGCAUGAAGAACAAAAAGGACCAAAACUCAUGUUGUAGAACAAGGAGUGCAUUUUGCUCAAAUGCUCAAAAUACAAGGCCCGGUGUUACCGUCCAUUAUUUGAUUUAUUUAAAGGGCAGUGCCUCAAAAAGGAUCAGUGUUGUGUUUUGCCCUUGAGAACUGUACAGGAUAUUACGCUCGAUCAGAUUCUAAAAACUGCUUUUAGUGUAACAUUGCUCUCACCUCUUGUUAAAGCCAGACCCCUCUGCGGUGUCCCCAGACCAACACAACUCCUGUAAAUAUGGCUGCUCUCCAGGGAGAGGCAGAAUCUUGACAGAUAAUAGGACAGGUUUUCCUCCUCACUGAAGCUGUAGUCUUAGAUCUGUGUGCCCCUGUGAAGUAGAACAGUACAUUGUGGCUGUAUGGAUGCAUAUAUGAUGCAGAGGUGACAGCACAGCAAAGCCCCUCUUUGCAAACCCCCCUCCUCUAGUUUCCUCCUAUUUGUGUUUUGCUGUGUCACUCAAACUGUUGUUGUCGCAUGACAUGUUUGAAUGAAGUUUUAUCAAUCACAGUGGCCAAAUGUGACAGUUUAAUCAAUAAGGUGAGAUUCCCAUUAUUUUAGAAUUAGAGGAGAUAGGCUGAAGGAAGUAGGAAAGGAGAGGAGGGAGGGAGGGUUGUUUAGGGAGCGGGUGGGCUGCAUGCAGUACACGAACAUGGUAGAGUAGGAAUAGAGAGUCCUCAGCAGUACUAGCACUGAACCAAGUGGGAGAGAAUUGGCUAUUAACACAAUCUGCUGGACUGACAGUCUGUCACUGCCAAUGUGGGCGUCUUGGAUAGCUAGACUUGGCCUUAAAUGCAUAUAAAUGUUACACUUGACUGGUUGAAAGGACCAGCAAACCACACCAUGCCAUGCAGAUAAUCAGAUAAACCUCACUUAAAAUGUUGCUGGAUUCAAGCAGGAUCCAAGGAUCCAGUGAGUCCAGCUGGACAUCCCAAGGACUGUUUUGUAAUCUUAAGAGGCCUCCAGAAUCAUCAGUGUCUUUUAUUUUUACAUAUAUGUUGCAUUAUUUUGUUGUGGAUUAAUCUGGCAAGUGGAUUCAGUUUUUCAGUAAACCAACCAGUAAACCAGAGAAGGUCUUGCUUGGGUCAUGGUCUGUUUAUUCGGAUGAGAUGCUUCUCUAUUUAACAAACACCGGAUUGUGAAAAGGAGAUACUUCAAAGUAAUUGGGAGGUAUUUAAUUAUGUUUGAAGGUCUUCCAAAAAUUCCAUGGACCUUUCAGGUCUAACCUUUUCAGGCGGCUGUUAAUAAUGACAUCUUCCAAUUAUGAAAAUGUUUUGCUCAGAGCAGUGAGAGUUAUAAAAGCUCCUGAAGUCCACUACAGCCACAAGUAUAACCUGAGAGAUGGAAAUACGGUAGAACAAUAAUCAACCCAGGGCCAGCAGGAGAAAGGGUAACCAUGGUUUGUUAGUGGCAUGCUCAUUUGCCUGCUAGUGUGAGGUUUAUUGUACCACAAUAAGCCACUUAUCAUGUUUAAUGGAAGCAUUGUCCCUUGGGGGUUUUUCUUUAUGCUUUCCUUCGUAAAAGUGUAAUUAGUGAUGAGGUAUGGGGCUUUCUGUUUCCCAGGUAUUCAUCUCAUAAAGUGCAAAAGUCCUCUUGGCUGGUCAGGGAUUUUAUUGUUACUGCUGAGUAUUAACGACCGCCUCUUUAUCGGCAUGAGCCUGCCAGUGGCAAGCCAUGUUGGCUCAAAACAUGAAGGAGUUAAGAGAUACAUGUAGCCCUGUACAAUAGCUUGUCACAGUUAGUUCAAGUAGAGAACUUACACUACAAGCCAAAAGUUUGGAGGCAAGAUCAAAUUUGUACAAAAAAAGAUCGUAAUACUUUGCAACAAAAAAAAACAACCUUAUAAUUAUCUAAAGAAAAACUUACCAGAAGACAUUUUUACUAUAAUUACCAGGUAUUUGAGUUUUUCUUGCUUAUACUUUGCUUUCCUCAAAGUAACCUCCUCUGGCAACAGCUUGGCAUAUACGAGGCAUUCGUUCCACAAGUUUUUUAAGGUAUGUAGCAGGAAUUGCAUUCCAAACUUUCUUAAGAUCAUCAAUGAGAGACUGCUGAUUUGUGCAAUGCCCUUUUCUGAUUGAUCAAUCCAAUUCAUCCCACACAAGUUCAAUUGGAGAGAGGUCUGAAGACUGAGGGGGCCAAACCAUUUUUUGAGGAACACCUUCCUCUUCUUUUUUGUCUAGGUAACCCUGACAGAGCUUGGAAGAAUGCUUAGGAUCAUUAUCUUGUUGCAAAACAAACUUUGGGUCCAACUUUGGACUUUUGAGUCCAGAUGGAACAGCAUGGUGCUGGAGGAUGGAGUGGUACUGUUCCUUCUUCAUAAUACCCUUUACUUUAAACAAAUCUCCUACUCUAUCACCUGCAAAACAUCCCCAUACCAUGGCACUACCACCUUCUUGCUGAAUUGUUGGUGUUACGCAUGGUGCUUUGAGACGUUCACCAGUUUGUCUGCAGACAUAGACUCUGCGUUUGGAACCAUAUAGUUUAAACUUGCUUUCAUUGGUCCAGAGGACUUGUUUCCAGUCAUCAUAGGUCCAAUUUUUGUGAGCUUUUGCCCACUCAUAUCAUUUUUUUCUUGUUCUGUGGAUGAAGAAAUGUUUUUUUUGCAGAUACACAACCCUUCAGACCAGCCUUUCUCAAACGUCUUUUCACGGUUGUCAGAGAUAUGGGUUUUGACCUUGUCAUGUUGAUUUCCUCCUUUAUUUGUGGUGCUGUUUUUCGCUGCUCUCUCUUACUGAUGACAAUAUGUUUAUCCUCUGCUUUUGAAGUGACCCUCCUUCUUCCAGGCCUUUUUCUAUCAUCAUAACUUCCAGUUUCUUCUAGUCUCUUCAGAGUGUAGUGAACUCCUUUGUUGGACACCUUUAGGCGUUUUGCAAUUUCCCAUUCAGUGUAUCCUUCUUUUCUCAGUACAAAUCUGUACUCUUGUUUCUUUACUCAGUUGCUUCUUUCUAGCCAUGACUGCGAUAGUUUGUCAGAGUUUUGAACACGGGUGAGAUUUAUUGGGAUUUUUGUAUGCAGACACUCAAAAGCCAAUACGUAAAAGUGAAUAAUGCAAAGUGAUUUGUUUUUUUUUUUUACUUUUACACUGAAUUUGUGACUCUUGCUAAUGUUCUUGAACCUAAAACUAAGCCCUUCCUUUCUUUUGUUGACAUUUAUUCAGCAAUGGUCUGGUAACAUCAAUGUAUACCUAAAGGUAAAUUGAGGAAAAUGGUGCAUAUCAAUGAAAGCAAAGUCUAGUCGUGCAAUAAAUACAUCCCAAAAUACAUUUCACUUAUCCUUUUUUUAUGGAAGCUUUAAGUAGUUUCCAAAUGUUUGGCCUGUUUUGGUCUUGCUUCCAAACUUUUGGCCGGUAGUGUAAGUAUGAAUGCUUGAAAAAUAACUUGUGUGGCAUUUGAGUAUUGGCGCUGCUGUGUAUUAUUAAAAGGAAACAUUAACUCCAAGUAAAAAAAAAAAAAACACGCCUCUACAGUGCACCACACUUGGAAACAUCUAAUCUGCUUACAUGGUUGGCUCACUGAACACAAUUUCAUACCUUAGCCUUUUCAUGGCAUGGCAUCUGAGACCAGUUACAUAAAACCUAAUCCUAAAAUCACCGCUUUCUAAUGUGAGUGCAGGUCCAGGGUACUUAUCCCUGGGGCUGUGAGUCUGAACACAUUGUAGAGUGGGAUACUAUGUAAUCCAGUGAAAUGGUGCCAGCAUUAAAAAGCGCACUAUCUUUUCAUUUGAAGUCACUUUUAUAAUCAGCUCCCAAGGAAUCACAAAAAAAGCAGUAAAAAGUAAUGGAAUCAGCAGUGGCACAGACACAGGUAAUUAUGUUAAAAACUGCUUUCACAAUGCAAGCUUAAUACUGUAAGCCUUGAAGUGAGGGCUGCUGUCAUUGUAUCGCAAAUAAAUGGCUGUGGUGAACAUGUGUGUGUGUGCUGUCUAGGACGAUUUGUGAGAUGUAAUUAGAUGUAAAAUGCUUUUUAGCUGGCUCUUAAAUUGACUUUUGGCUAGAGUGAUUUGUGGAUAUCAGGUUUUCUCCUCGUGGCACCGUGUUGUCUCCAGUCAAGGCCGACGGAUUAUUUGCAAACACCUAAAUCCACUUUCUUGGUCUGGACUUGUUCGAUCAGCUCUUUCUUGUGUGGAAGUGAUUUCUUUAACCCCAUAGAAUGGCUGAUCUACAUGGAUAUUUAAGAUUCCCCUUAUGGUAUUCCCAGAGACGUUACUUGAAAUACAUCCUGACAGCUUUUUCAACAGACCUACAUAUUAAACAUUCAGCUGAACACCUUUGCAUAAGGUAAUCUGCCUGUGUCAUACAGCAUUGCUGACUACCAAUCAUCUCGUAUGUAUUCCAGGUACCCAGCACUGUAUUUUAAUGGCUGACAUCUCAGGGCUGCAAUUCAAGUGUGAUUUAUAUCUUCUCAAGUCAUCAGUUACAAUCAGAUCCAAGGAUCUGACUUUGUGCAUGCAGGACAAGCAUAGCUAAUAUAUAGGGGAUGGAAAAGUAAAAGAGCUCUGUCACAUAUUUUUUUUUUGCAUUUUUUUAUAUCAAAGGUGCUGCAGUAGAGGUGAGGAAGGUUAGAUAAAGAGAACAGGGAGGGGGUGACAGGGCUUAGCAUUGGUAAGCAAGCAUGUCUCUCAUCCUUUAAACCAAUUUCCUUCCUCAAUACUCUAGGGAGUGGUCUGAUGUGCACCGUUUCCUUUCUCCCAGUAAGUGUUUAUCCUGCGUUUACAAUUAGAUCUCGCUCCCAGCUGCUGCAUUAAUCAAAUAGUCAGAGAUAUUCUCGACAUUUGAAGAUUGAAGGAGUGAGGAAAUGUGUCCUACAUGUCUUCCUCUGCGGUAACAGGCUGUGAAGCAGCAGCACUGUUACUCGAUAACUAAAGAGUCUGACACAGACUGUACACAGAUUUUACAGGCCAAUUGGAUUUCAGAGGGAACCAGAGUCAAGGUUAUUUAGAUAUGCGCUGCUUGGAAACAUGAUUGAGAUCUGUUGAUCAUAUCGAUACGGCUUGUUCUUGGUAUGAUAUUUUCUGUGAUGAAGGAUGUGAAUACUUUGCCCUUGUUAACUAUUAAUGAGGAUGUUUGUUUAAAAAUGAUUAUCAAAACAUUUUACUUGGAUUUCAGUUUUCUUCGACUUUGUCUUUUUUUUGUAGUUUUCACUGCACCCAGGAGAGAUAUCUAACUAAUUGUUUUAUUUUCUUGUUUAAUCUACUUGUUUCUAAUACCAUUCCAUCGUAUGAAGACAGUCUUUGCAUUAGAGCUGGAUGUACAAGAAAAAGGAAAAGGAUUAGGCCUAAAUGCCUGUACUUAUUCAGUGAGGAAGAGAAAGGACGACAGCAUUUAAUUUUUUUUUAGCAUGGGACGAUCCUGCACUGAGAUGGAGAGAAGAUGUGAUCAAGGAGUUUUUAUAAUGUUUCAUGGUUAAUAGGAGGUGGCGAUCAGAUAUGACUCUAACUGGACUGUUAUUUACGCUCUGUCUCUGCUGUGAACUGUAUUUUAUUGCAUAUUGUCUGACAUAAGCAUGAUCAACACCUCCACCUCCCCCUGUUAAAGUUUAUAAUGCAGCACAGUUGUUAGAAGUCACUUGGAUCUCCGUGUUAAUACCAUCAAUCUUUUUUCUUUACGCUAAUGAGACUCCAGGCUGUGCUGCAGUCAUUUUAAUGACUGUAACUUCCCCCUAAAUUAAGGAUGAAUCCUCUUUCCACAGAAAUCUUUCUGGUGCUGAAUUUACAGUUUGCCUCGUCUGAAUUAGCUGUUUUCCUUUUUCAUUUGGCUGCGAGCUGAGAUGUUUUCAAAUGAGUGGUUGGGAUAUUGAGUUUGGUUGAAGUGAUGUCAUGUGUGGUUGUGCAGAAGUCUGUCAUGUGCUUCGGUUGGCUUGUUUAUACUCCAGUAUUUUAUUUUGCUGUCAUCGUGACAGCUCUAUGCCAAUAAGACACAAAGGUGACAACCUUUUUACAGAACUUGACCUAUCAUUGGAUUCAAAUCUGGCAGACUGGUGGAAGGUCAGUGCAGAGAGGUUUACCAGACAGGUAAUGUUGGCAUGCAUGUAGCUAUAUACCCCUGGUGCUGUCAGAAUGUGUGUUUUCUGCCACCUGAUUGAUCAUGACCCUGUUGUGCCCCUGACUGAGACACAACCAUGUGGACAUGAUGACUUAUCUCAGAGGGGAAAAAGUAGGCACAGUACACUGAGUCUGAAAUGUUUUUCUCUUCUCGUCUCUUCUUGGAUCAAUUUCAUAUGUAGUUUGAGCCUCUCUUCCUGGGACUGUAUGUCUGGAGAUUAUUUGUAUUCCUGUUCCACAUGUUAACAUAUUCAGCAUAAUAAACAGUAAGAGCAUAGAGGUGCCUCUUUAUAGCCUGCGGUCAUGCACAAGUGCCAGUUAUACACAUUAUGUUGACGUGGAAAAUGACAGAUUAAGGGAAGAAGUGGAGCCUGCUGUUUGUCUUUGCAAAGAAUUAACUUUCCUUUUAACGAGUAUUCAUUAACUGAUUGUUGAAACCUUAAAAAUAAGUCAUGGAGAAUUCUUUGAAUUUGCAUCCUUAGUACCGUUUAGCACUUGAAUUAUUGAGUUGACCCCUUUUUUUUUUUUUUUUAGUUAUUUUAAGUAUUUUUCCCUUAUGCUUUGUGUGAAAAUACACAUAAUAAUGUCGUGAAGAGCAACACAGUAUUAAUUAUAGCCAUUAAAUUGGAUAGGCUUCAUGCUGUAUCGUUUUAAGGAAUGUUAAAGGGGUAUUACGGCGUAAAAUUAAUUUAGGGUCAAACACACCGUAACACCGAGUUAGACACCCCCUUGAGGGAUAAAUGUUGCCAACUGCUUGCUUCUCUAGUUAUACCAACUUUAGUAAAGACCGCAGGAUUAUUACUUUCCUUGAAUCAAUGAUCACCAUAUUAAUCAUUUUGCACUGCAGACGCGGUAGUUCUUCUGACUUUGCGUCUCGGUCUGAUUGCAUUUCCAUGAAGAAAUGAUCAUAAAUGUUUUUCCUUGAGCUGCGUCACCCCACAGCAGUCCGUAAUGGACUGGCCUGAGGUCUUGCUACAAACAAGCAGCUGCUGGAAGAGAGUAGGUGAUAAGGCUGCACGAUAUUGGAAAAAAAUAAUAUUGCGAUUUUUUUCAACCCUGCGAUAUAUAUUGCGAUAUUAAAAAUACAGGAAUUUUCACCAGAUGACAUGAAUAGCAUUUAAUGUUAUGCUGCACUGCUGAAAUCUUGAGGACAGUUACCCUGCACUGAUCUUACCUCUUUUUGUGAAUGUUAGAAUGGCUUCUGUCUCAGAGAUAUUUUUAGCUCUUAUUGUGCUGGGACGUUAUUGUGGCAACAGAUUAACACAGAACACGUGUUUUGGUCCUUCUUUUAACCGAAAUAAUUCCAGAUAACUGACUUUCCUUUUCUUUUUGGCAACAAAUCUUCAUUUUCGGUGGUUUUCGCUUGUUCGUUGCUCAUUUUGCGAUCGUUGUUGUUAGCGGUGUUGUGCUGAGAAACGCAUGUCCUCCGAGAAUUGCAUGUACCUCGCAAAACGCGCACCGCUUAAAGUAGAGUGGUCCACGGAAAUGUAUAAUUUAAAACCCAUACAGUUCUUAUUUGUUGGGCUUAACAGUCAUGAGUAAAGUUCCGAAGGUAAUUCUCAGCGGACACACGUCGCCCUCCAUGUGCAGAACAUGUGCAGGGGUGGGUUUCCUCCGCUCUGAUUUUGAUUGACAGCUGGCAGGGUAGUCUGAUUGGCCACUGAGAAGUGAGUCUGAUUGGCAACUGAGUUAAGGACGAAUGUGAUUGGUGGAUCGCUGCAAAGCACAUGCAGAGUCACAUGCAGUGUAUCUCAGUCAGUUACCCUUGAAAUUAAAUGAGUUCAUUCACCUCCAAUAUCUCAGGCUCUGCGAUGUGACUAUCGCACGUACAUCGCGAUGACGAUAGUCAAACGAUAUAUCGUGCAGGCCUAGUAGGUGAGUUGUGUUUAGUCUCUUUGCAAAAGAAAUCAGGCAAAGUUGAAAAAAGAUGUUUGAUGGUUAGUGCUGUGGCUAGGACCCUAAAUGUAUUGUUGAUGAAGUUAGGUGCUGUUCUGAGCAUUAAUUGUGGCUAUAGAGUGGCGUUUUAGUUGAGGUUUGUUUAUGGCUCCUCAGACCGCUGUGUAUUGCUAUCCUCGGGUCGUUACUAAAGUUGGUAUAACUAGAGAAGCAAACGGUUGGCAACAUUCAUCUCUCUGGGGGGUGUCUAACUCUGUGUUAUAGUGUGUUUGACCCUAAAUUAAUUUUACGCCAGAAUAUCCCUUUAAGCUGUAUCAAAUUGGUGCUAAAUUUGGACUGAUUUCUGAGCAUUUCCUGCUGAAAGACUGGUGAAAUGAUCUGGAUUUUAUUUCCACUGUUGUCAGGAUGAUUAGGAACAUUGCUAAACCUAGACAUAGUCCAAAACUGUGUUCUGAAUGAUACAGAUUCAUCAGGGGUAGAUUGUUUCUCUCUCUUGGAAAAAAGAAUGGCACAAUAAUACUUUGAAGAGUUAUAGUCAAGAGGCAGUCUUACACUACAUCAUAGACUUAUUUAGCAAAGAAAGCAUGGCUCUCAUAGUUCAUGGUUCCAGUAUUGUGUGGGUGUGUGUGCAGUCCUCUCUCUUCAUAGCAUAAUGUCAAUAGAAAUCCAGUACAAUCACUUAAUGUACUCUGCUGCCCCACUCUACAUAUGGGCUUUAAAUGCUUUAAUCGAAGACCUGCUCAUUUUUAUUGGUGUUCUUUAUAGGUAAGGUUAGUGAUGAUUUUCAAAUGCACUCUGUGAUUUGUGGCUAAUUAGGGCGAGAGUUAGUCUGACCACAAAAAUGUAUGUAAGCUUGAGGGCAAGGAGUUUGCAAGUGGUGAAAAAAAAGGCCACAAUAUGCAGCAGCAGGACCAGUCCUCCUCUGUAGACAGAGAGCGAUGGCCAUCUGAUAUUGGACAGAGUUCAGAUGAAAAGACCAGCAUGUAGUGUGGUAUUAUGUACCAGAGGAGAAAGCAGCAUUGUAGCAUUUCUCAGAGAGAAAUGAUUUACCAAUUGAGCUGUUGCUUCCGUCACCAUGGUUACCUAUGAAGGCUGUAACACUCUGACAGGGAUAUGGGUGACAGCUAAUUUAUUAGUCCAGGAUUAUAUUUGAGAGAGCCAGAAUUAGACGUGAGGGAUAGUGAAGACAUACACCCAUCAUCCACAAUGUUGAAACUAGUGACAAGUUAAAUAGGUAACAUUGAUCAUCUUGUUACCGUGGCACCUGUCAAUGGGCCUUUACACGAAUGAGCUUUCUGCUUCAGGCAAAUGUGUAAGCAACUGGAAUAACAGGCUUGCGUGAGGAUUUGUGCUCAUUCCAUAAGAGCAGAUGAUGAUCAUCUGAUAAUGAUCAUCUGAGAGAGGAGGUCGGUCAGGUGUUUGAACAAUAUCAGAAAUAUUUGCCACUGGAAACUGAAUGUAAACAUUGAAACCCAAGAUUAUCUUGAAUUAUUUUCAGUCGCUUCAAAACACUUGCUAUGAAUAACAAAGUCUGAAAUGGAGUGUGUUGGUGCUGGUUUCAACAAAUGACACUGCUAAUUUUCAGCUUCUUUGGCGGGCCUCCUCAAAUAUAGCAGAUUCUGGGCCAAUCCAAGAUUUACACACAUACACAAGCCGCAAGUUUUCUGCCAUGUGCCCAUGCAACACACACUCACGCAGGCUUACAUGUCAGCAGUGUGAGUGUGAGGUGCUGAUCAGCAGAGAUGAAAAAAACACUGACCUACUGCAGAAUAAACGAAGGUCGUUUCCUGGCGCAGCAAUUUUGUCCAUUGGUGAAAAUAUACCGCAGACAUCUACUGAAACACUUCGAACCUCUCUCAUGAGAGAGCUCUCACUAAGAUUAAAGUUUUCAGACAGCCGGGUACUUCAUGACCUUCGUUGACAACACAGUCAGAGUUUCACCAGACGUCAAAUGAUCUGAUUUUGUCUUGUAUUCCCUCUCUCUCUCUCUGCUCUAUUUCUCCAUCCAUCUCUUGCCAUUUUCCAUCUCUAUCCCUUUCUUUGGAAUCUGAAUCAGCUAAAGAAAUGGAAAUCUGUACAUCGCAAAUGACUGAGAUGUACUCUAAUGGGAUGAAAGCAAGCCCACAGAGGCAAUGUAAUACUCUGGCACUUGUAUCCUCUGCGGCAAAAUCUACUAGGCUGGUAUUCAUGUUGAAUUUAUUUUGACUUGUACCAUUAAAAAAACUCAAAAAUGUUGCAGCUUUGGUACAUCUCUGCAUAACAAUAGUGUUUUUCUACGAUAAUGAGAGCUGUAGCCUCUGUGCACAGGGUGGGGUAUGGAACCACUCAGCCAAGCCCCAGCGGUGACCCCUCUCAGCAGCGUAAUGCCACAUUGCAGAAAUAGUUCAGGAAUGGUUUGAGGAACAUGAUAGAGAAUUUAGGAUGUUAACUUGGCCUAAAAAGGAGCACAGAUCUCAAUCCGGUCUUGUAUUUGUGAAAUGUGUUGCAAUAGAAAGUAUUAUGAAAGCAGGCUCUGCCUCUCAUUUCACAGGACCAAGGGUCUUUUGUUGCCGUCUUAGAGGUCUUGUGGACCAUAUAUCUAUACUGGUCAGAGCUGUUUGUCACAAGGGACCGGACAGAAUAUUAAGUGAGGGCCUUUAAUCUUGUGGUUGAUCCGUGUUAUCACUAAUUGGUCUGUUUUGUUCCCUGUGAUGCAGUGAACUGCUGGAGUUACAUGUUAAUUAUCAUAAGCGAGACCUGCAACACCUCUGGCAGCAAAGCGCCUAGCUUAUUAUUCACUUAAUAAUCCCUCCUCACUUCUCAACUUUAUCGGCUGUGAAACCUGUUUCUCCACUCUUGAGGAAUUGUUUAUUCUGUAUUUUCCCAGGAAGAGUGUUUCCUCUGCCAACUAUAAAAGCAGCUGUUUUGCUGUGUCGGCUAAAAUCAUCUGCGUCCAAAUGCAAAUAGCUAAUGCAGCCCUUAGGUGGGGAGUUAACACGUUAUGUGUACUUCAAUAUUUAAUGAGCUAAAUGCCAAUGCUUCCAAAAGAGUCAUGAAAAUUCAGUGGAAAAAGCGCAAACACUGAGAUGUAAAUGACUUCUUGUGGACUCGAAUUAUGUGAAGGUGAUGCUCCUUCACCACAAAUUGGAGUGUGAAAACGGCAGAAAUUGGUCUCCUUUUUCCAUAUGUUCAUCACAUGGAAACAAACUCGAUGUGGCAAAAUGAAGACCACCAGUUAUAGUGACUGUUCUCUUCGUUUUCAAGAUGAAUGUACCUUCAUUUUUACCUUUGUGUUUUAUUCAUUUUGUAAUAUAAAUGUAUGGUUGAUGUACUGGUAUAGAGCAGACAGAGAGAUUCAUCAAGUUUUAAUUUCAAUUACGAUAAUGGGCCUCCACAUUAAUGAACAUAUGAUUGAGAUGGAACAAUUACUGUGCCACGUGCCCUGUUGUGUAUAUGUUGUCUUACAUGGAAAUGAAGGACACACAAGUAAAAAGAGUAUUUUUUUGUUUUUACUGAAUAUCUUUUUUUAGAUUUUUUUUUUAAAUUAUGUGUCAGUUAAAAAAAACAUUUUCUGAGAAGUAUUAGGAUAAAUCAAGAUAAACUAAGUUUUGUGAAUAUGUAUGUGCAGAUGUCAUAACAAGAGUAAGCAGCUUAAUCGUGAUAAUGGUGUUUGUAAUCUAGCAAGUUAACAAAACACGUAACACACACAAAGAACAUGUCAGUCUUUAGUCGUAAUCUAUUUUUUAACUGUGACUAUAGAGUAGUGUCUGACGAAUGUUGGUUUUUCAAAGACUGAUGCUGACACUGAUUAUGAAAGAGAGCAGGAAAGACAGCAGGUUGGCUGCUCUUUUAUAAUAACCUGUAAAUAUGUGGAAUCACAUCUUGGUCAUUAAUUAGGAUCAGAAACUAAAGCUCCGGUUGUUAAUGCUGCAUUUCUCUCUCUGUUUUACAACCGUUAUCUCAAGGUAGGUAUUCAGUUCUGACAAGUGUUCUUUAAAUAAAGACAUUUUCAGCCCAGAGCACAAUAAUAUAUACCCUUGAAGGCUGAACUCAGGCUUUGAAGCUGAAGAUGACUGAGGCAUUGUUCAUAUCAUACAGCCCAACAUUAUACCAUGCUUUUUCUUCGACUGAUUCUUCUAUUUUCUCUCCCUCUAUGCACGAAGCAUGUAUCAUCCAUAUUUAAGCCUGUAUUUGAGAUCUACUGUGCUGCACUAACAGUGGCUUAAUCCCAUAAAGGGCAGGUUCCACCUUGUGAAACAAUAUGUACACAAGAUUCUAGUUCUUUCUUCAUUUCGCAGGUCGGUUACACUACCGCAAAGCAAACACACCAGUGCUAUUCUUAUUCUGUUGUCAUUUACUAUAUUACCGCUGUCACGUAUGUUGUAAUGUUCAUGGGCCUGCAGUGACACUACUGAGCAUGUGGGUGUGCCUGAACGGAUGGAGAGAUUGGCUUACUUACCGCUGAACUGAACCAAGCUUGAAACACACAACCUUCCAUUGUAAUGAGCUGCUGUGUAGACUGACUUAAUUAAAAGUGAUGUUGAAUAAUUUCUCCGUGGUGAUGGUGCCAUGAACUCAGCUCAGCCUUCCAGCGCGACCUGGUACUCUGCUCCACGCCUGAUUUCAGUCAUCAUGCACACUUGAGAGGCUGUAUUUAACAGAAAAGAAGUAUUUAUUUCUCCUUAAAACAAGCCAUUACAUUUCAUUUGGAUUUGAGCGUUUAUUUCCCUCUCUAUAAACCCUCUACAGGCGGACUGAAUCAGUGUGAUUGUCCGUCUACAAAUAUAAGAUGAAGCGUGGAGGAGAACAAGAGGCUGAGAAAAAUGAGGCUCUGCUUUGGAACAGUGCCUUAGGAGUGUCUGCUUUUCGCCUUGAUUGCUAAGUGUUCCUCGAAGGCUGUGCAAUAUGGACGACAGUUCGAUAUGAAAGUAGAGGAAUGGAGUACCAUUAAAUUUCGUCUAAGGGUUGAGUGAACUUGUCAUGGUAUCACUUACUGCUAGUGUCUGUGUGUGUCUCUCUGUGUGUUAUCCUGUUUUCCUGGAGAUUGAUUCCAUUGCACAAAAAUAGGCUUAAGAUGAUGCCAUACAUUACAAAAUUAUUCAGCCUCAUUAGAACUACUUUUCGAGGACGGUGCUGCAGCCAUAUCUUCAAUUUAAAAGCAACAAAUGGAAUUUUUCAAGCAUCAUAUGACAAGGACGAUGAUAUUGUACUUGUCUGUCAUGCCUGAGGAUCAGCGCAGUCUAGGUUUUCCUGGCAUUAACUUAGUUUUCUCAGAUUUAUGAUUUUUAUAAUGGCAAGAACAGAAAAAUGGCAAAACACACACCCCACAAAGUGAUGUUAUUAUUACCUGUCAAAUGAGAUGGAUAAAUUAGAAAAGUGUAUGAGUAAUCUCAGGAGAAUCAUAAUGAAUGAACCAGCAUCCCUCAAUACACACAUGUUUAAUUUAAAAUGUAAUUAUUGUUCAAAGUGUAUUAUUUCAUAUUCUUUAUCUUGUCAUAUCCCCAGUCUAGCAGCUCACAAACAGCCCCCAGCCCCCAUCAGCCAGCCGAACAGCAGAGUGCUGACAAUGCAGCUGCCGUCACACUGCCUUUAUAAUAGCAUACAUCAAGCCUUAAACGCUUCAGAGAAACACUCAAACAUCUACGUGCGGGUAAUUUUUGUUGCCCUAUAGAUUCUACCCAGACAGACAGAGUGUAAAAUAAUAGGUGUGCAGCAAAAUGAAGAGCACACACUGUUUCUGGAGGCACAAGUGAUUUUUGGACUCUGGUAAUCAGUGAGUCGGUGGCAUCUGCAGAAGCCUCUCACUUCUGCUCUUACCCCAGGAGGUGAAACUAACUUACAGUGCUCCUGUUGUAUGUAAUGUUUUACGAAGGGUCUUAAUGUAGAUUCCUGAUAGCAUACUGUGUGGCAUUACAAAUAUAUGUGAUAAGAAUACAGGUGCCAUUUUGACGCUAAUGUUACUCAAGGCAGCUAUUAGCCUGCACACAGCAAAUGACUGACUUUAUAUUCAAUGGGCCUUGUGAUAUUGAAUCUGUGUAUAGAUUUGCACAUAAAAGUCCUUGAUACUAAGAGAAAAACUACUCUGGAUUUAUGAAGAGCUGAAAACUUAUUUGAUCAUAGGCACGUGUACAUUUCAUAAAUGUCUAUCAAUCCUAAGCAUGCUUCCAUAAGUCAACAAUCAGCAUACAUCCCUGCCCAUGAAUAGUCAAUCACCCCAAUAAAAGGAUGUGUGGAUAGAUGCUGCCUGUGGGCCAGAGAGAAGGAGAGAAAGAGGAGGAAAAACCUUUGAGAUGUAGAGAGAAAUUAUUUUAGUUUAAGUGGAGUAAAGAAAAAAAAUAGUUUUUUUCUUCCUCCUGUGAGUAUUGUUGUGACACUCACCCCUAAAACACUAUAGGCCUGGUCUCUUGGUAUAUAGUGGGUCAGCAGAGUUAUAUCCACAGCCCUUAGUGGGAAGCUUCUGUUUCUUAUGUAUAGGUAAGGUCUCUGCAUAACUCACGUGUGCACAGCUGCUAGGCACCUGGGGGCUCUGUACACAUGCAGUUAUGUAAACAGACUAUAUUCUCAUUGAUGAGCUCAUCAUCUCACUGCUCCGUUCCCCAAAUGAGUGCCACCAGGGCUGUUUCGCAGGAUAAAGCUGUGUCGCACCAGACCACUGAGCUGCAAUGCAGACUUGGUAUCCUGUAUGUGUUCAACCUUAAUUUAUGGGGAUUUAAUUGUUUUUAUUAUCAUAAUACACGUGCAUUAUGCUCUUUCAAAUGAUAACUCUUUUGCAUUUGAAACCUUCUGAGACUCUAAAGUGCAACAUACUGAGGCCCUUCUGGUAAGCUGUUUGUGAUUAAGGGGAUAAACAGACACAGACAGGUGCUGGGAAUAUUUAGGAACCUCAAACAGGCUUGUGUCUCAUUUGUUCAACAAUAGUAACUCAAACAUACACGCUGUGCACAUACAAAGAUACUUUUCAUCUUAGAAGUGUCAUGGUAACCUCUCUGAUUGUUUCAACCACAUUUGUCAUCAUUACCUGGGCAACAGGACAUCGUUAGAUUCAGGCUCUGGCAGUGAAGCUCUGAAUUUUCAUUAGCCUGUGGAAACCAAGGUCUAACACUGUGCAAAAAGGCUGGUUAUUGAGAGCAAUGUAGGAACUAUUUUUUGCAUCCUUUCGCGCCUUUGGGUGGUUGGAUUUCUUACCUUUUGUUGAAUGAGUUGAAGUUGAAGUCUCUGACAGGUUUUUGCUGGUGACAACACUUUUUUUCACUCUUACUUUCAAAGAGUGUUGGGGUUGAAUGUUUUUUACAUGCAAAAUUGAACUGGUUGUAUUAAAGCAGAGUUGUUUUGCUCCUUCUUGCAUCACCUGGGCUUCACAAGCAUUGUAUGUAGCUACUCUGCCUCACAGGUGAGAUUUGUUGUCCUUGAAGAGUAUGACAGCUGCUUUGUUGGAGUCAGCAUUCAACCCGUUCUCUCUUUUUUGUGUUUUCUGUGGUGUAGAACCCAAAAUAUUUCCACAAGAAGCUUCUCAGGUGUUUUGGUGUCUCCAGGAUCUACCCAGGACAGCCUUGGGUGUAUCAUACAUCACCCAUUUUUGUAGGAAAUCCAUCGCUUUAUUAGUUUACUGGGGUCAAAAGUGUCAUUCAGUGGUCAGUUAUCAAUAGAGCUCCCUCUGCUGGAUCAAAUGAUAAGCUACCUUAGAUGGCCUUUAAAUUGAGGGGUUAGGUUUUAGAUAAAAACUGAAAGCCCUAGACUGAACAUGUACAAAACAAAACAAGCAAAGACCUCUUUGUCCUUGGGGGCGCCAAAUGAAAACAAACUGAAAAUUCUUCACAGGAGCCUUAAAAAAUAGGCCACCACUUACAGCACACCCCAAACGAUCAUUUGUCCUUCAAUAAUUUUACUUUAAUAACUAAAAUAGGGCAAAUGGAAGUGUUAUUCGGCGUUUUGCUGGUUGACAUGACAACUGUGCUUUGGAAUAAGAACACAACAUCUGUUCAGUCAAUAAUUGGACCUGAGCUCCUUGUGAAAUGUCUCACUGUGCUGAAGGUUAGUUCUUUCAUUUCCCUCAACCAGAUUUUUACAUUUAGAGAAUCAGCUUAUUGAAGUUUUUCCAUGGGACUGGUCCUCAAAUGUUGAACCUCUUCUUGUGCUUUUUGUGCUGUCAGAUUUGUAAGUUCCCAUAAAUCACAUUAACACAAACCAUGAGGAGUUCGGCAACCAAAAGACUGCUUUGACUUAUGUUUUGGUGCUACACAAUAUCCUUUAUCACUGAGUACUUAAAAAUGAGGUCCAUUGCGAGAAAGUACAUUAGCAUAAACUCUUUGAUUUAAGUUUCUUGUAACUACAAAGGAUGCAUAUAAGCAAGCACCAAUUAAUGAAGGAGUUAAAUCAUGAGCAGACUAGACGUAAAACACAACACUGGCCAAUUAGCCAGCUCACCAGGGUGUAAUCUCACACUCCGCACAGCACCGCCUCUGGCAGUUCUUUCUCGUCCUGUACAGAGUUUUGUGAAGUCCAGCUCAUCACCCGAAAUGACCUGAAACGGGCUGCGUGUUAAUCUUUUGUAGCCUUCCAGUUGCAGACAGACAGUGACACAUUGGUUGCUGCUGGCAGUAUUUAAUAGAUAAAUACAAAGAAAUCUGUACUACCCCAACCUGGAGUCCACGUCUCACUUAUUGAUCAGGUUAUGCACCAGCACUCCAUACAAAAAAACGUGAUGCUUUUCUUAGGGGUGACCCUGAGGAUUCACGGAUAUGAACAGACCUUGGUCAGACCUCAGAGCUUGUGUCAUUUACACCAACAGAAACACAAGAGCAUGGCUGCAACAAAACUUUCAAACAUCCUCUUCUAGAAAUAUUUCAUGAAAUGUUGUUUGUACUGUAUAUCUACACUGCUUAUUCAUAUUUAUCCCCCCUGAGCUGAUCUCCCGCAUAAAGACUACUGUUGGCAGGGAAUCAUGUGACAAUGUACAAUGUCAAGUGUCUUUUAUUGCGGCUUUGCUCCCAAAGCCCAGUGGUGUUUAAACUGGAUCAUAGCAGAAAAAGGAUUGAUGGAUGUUUGGAGCUGCUUUUUCACUUUGUGGUUAUUACAUAGAGCUAGAGUGAAGAAUCCUUCGGGACUGGAAUGCUCACAUACCAUUAAGUGAAAUGUAAUUUGAAAGAGUAUAUUCAUUCAAAAAUGAAAAGGGUGAAUUACAGCAAAUGUAGCCUAGGAAAUGAAACUCUGCCAUUACAUGACAUAUAUCCUCAAAAUAAAAUGCUCAUGCUAAAAGCGUACGGUACAAAAGCAGAGAGGAAAGGAAGGAAUCUUGGACAUAGAGAAUUGCUGAAUGAGUCAUUUUUAUGUUACCUGCCACUCUUGUAAAAGAGACUCUUCAAUUUUUUUUUUAAUGAAUUACAUGCAGAACCUUACAGAAUCACAAAGAAAAGUGCAUAUUUCAACCAUUUGUGUUGCAGUUGCAUCACAUCAGGGUUUAAUCUUUGCUAAAUAUAUCAACACUGUGAACAGAUCACUGCCUUCUCACUCAAAGCACAAACCUCUGCAGUUUAUCUGGAGGGUUUACUCACUUUCUCAGAUUUAAGGACUCUGGACUCCUCAUCUGCAUUUAUAUAAGCAGCCAUAAAAGCUGGUUUCUGGUCUUUUUGCCUCGCUCUUCCUUGGACAGUCUUGAAAAACAGGAAUAGAAUUGAGAUGCUGGCAAAGGCUACUUACCCGACGGAGGCAGCAGCUGCAUAAACAAUGCUUUAUUUCACAUCCUCUUAAUGUUUAUUCACUGGCUUCCAUUCGUACACUGAUAGUGCUGAGUCACACUCUCAUGUGCAUGCUCUCUAAUUAUCCUGUACCAUAGCAACCGUAACUUAGCAAUUGCUAAACCUCUUCCAUUUUAUCCUUGCAAACUUGGGGAAGUAUGAAGUCAAACUAGCAGUGGCUACAGUAUUUGAGUCUCUAAUCAGCACCUCUCUCCACAACUUCGAACCCACAAAAUCCCUUUUGUGAUACGCUGAUUUAAGGUCUUAAGAGAUGAAGUGAAGUCAUUAAAAAUUGGCUUGGCUAACUUGUUAAUGACUUAUAAUUUCAUGUAAAAUAUAGAAGGUACAUUGUUUUAUUUAAAUGAGGGCUAUUAAAAUGUAGUAAGUGACUUAUAUCUGAUGUCCUCACUGCACAACCAUGUAGCACUGUCUGGAGGAGAGCCACAAUGAAUUCUGGGCUCUCUGACAACUGGUGACACUCUGCCUCGGCUGAUUUGUCUUACCUCCUACAGACUGUAGGCUCAUAAGGAAGAAGACUCACUCGUACAAAAAAAUAGGAUAUUAGGUAAAUGCCAAGAUAUUGAGGAUCACACAAGAGUUCAGUCUUUUAGUAAACCUGCUUAAAUUAAUUUUACUGUGGAGUUACAAUAUGUUACCUUAAGCAAUAUGACAUUAUUUGUAGUUGUCAGUUAUGUAAAAAAAGGGGUUUCUAAAGUUAAACGUUUUUGGCAGGACAGGACGUGGGGAGAGGGAGGGAGAUUGGCCGGCACCAAAUCAUGUCAUGACCAGGAGUCAAUCCUACGACUAGUGCAGUAAGGUGUGGCCUCUUUACAUGAGGCGCCUGCAAAAUCAACUGAGCCAAACAAGUUCUCGGACCUACGUACAGUUUAAGUUGUGAAUGAUGUGGUCCAAUCAUAGACUGUAAAUACUAUGGACAACUUGGUUCCGCCAUCCAGCAGUAUACAGAUUUAAAGCUGAUAAGAUAAUAUUGGCCGGAGGAGGUGGGAUUUAUGACCUAUACUGCAGCCUGUCAGCAGAGGGUGCUGUUCUCUGAGUGGCUUCACCCAGCGAGAAGGUAGACGGCGUCCAUUCUAUAUACAGUCUAUGGGUCCAAUACAGAAAGACUUCAUCAUGUAGUCUGCUGUGCUGUUGGCUCUACAAUGUUGUACAGUUACACAAGAAAAGAGGGAAACCUCUGGCAGAAAUGGCUGGAGGUUUCAUGUGCUAUCAAUGAAAUACUUGAUUUAAGUAGGAAAGUGGUAAACAGAGACCACACAGAUGGAGCUGUUUGCUUUCAUAUAAAAUUACAGCUAUUACUUAAAACACUUCAAGUACGGACAAACACUAUGUCAGCAGCACUGAAGUAUGGAGCACAUAGAUAACAUCAGUCCAGCAGCUGUCACUGACAUUAUUGAUGGGCUGUCAUUUCCACUGCUGAAGCCAGUCAUUGCCAUCCUAGACACGGCUCAUUAACAAAAGGUUUGAGUUUUUUUUUAAGUUGGCUCUCAUGAUGCCUGUGUUCGAACAACACAGAAUCAGUGUGUUGUUUAAAACUUGUUUGUAGGAUUUUAUACCUUUGUUUAAAAUAUAUAAGAAUUUCAAGUUUUGACACGAUACCUAAACAUCUUUUUCUGUUCGAUGUAAAGAUGGCAAAAAACCCCAAAACUGCACACAGCACUGCUGCAGUGAAAAAGUGACUGCUCAGUGUGUGUGCGUGUGUGCGCGUGUUUUUCGUUUCCAACUUUAAACAUUUCUGAGUUUUGUGGGUUUGAUAAAAGGUGAAUUUUUGGUAAGUUCCUGACAGGGAUAUAAAUCUUUCAGAAUUAAACCUCAGGAUUAUUUUUUUCCAUAUAUUUCCAUAUGUCUGCUCCAGCACCUGUAUCUAGCAGCGCCCAGAUCUAGCAGGCAGAGCCUACAUGAUCAAAACAACAGUGUGUACCAGGGUACUAACAAGGAAUCAAGGCGUAUGAGUGAUGUUGGCUGUGUGGCAGUAUUUUUUGUUGAAGUCAGAAAAGACAUUGCAACUGAGUGCAAAACUUGUUAUGCACUAGUUUGUGCUUAUAUCGAAUCAGUAUCAGUAUCUGUCAGUAUUGAAGGCUACAAUAUCGGUAUCGUAUUGGAAGUAGAAAAGUUGUAUCGGGAUACCCCUACUGGAGGGAUAGGCUAUGUCAAAUAUGACAAACCAUUUAUUUCAACACAGCUUGAAUUUAAUGGAAUGCUUCAUAUCUGCUGUGUGGCAGCUAUAGACUGUAUGUAGUAUGGACAAUGUGACUCCGCCUCCCGUCUUUGUACAACUUUGAAGCUGAAUUGCUCCCAGUAUUUUGGGGGAAUUUUCCCCAUUUCCUGAACCAGGCAGUAGCAUUCAGUGGAAGAACGUUGUGAUGACGCUCUGCUCAUACAGUGGAUGUCCUACACAAUCUUAGUAUGCCCAUUGACUGUAUCCAAGUGUCAAUCAUAGAAAAUAUAUGAUUUUUAUCACCUGAACAAGUUUUAAAAAAAUGUAAAAAAAAAACCUGAAAAAGGAGGACUUGAGCAAAAAUCAGACUCACAAUAACUACAUGGAGGAGGCAGGGUUUAUGACUUACACUGCAACCAGUCACCAGGGGGUGCUGUUCUCAUGGAGGCAUCACCCAGUGAGGAGGCAGAUGACGUCCAUUCUAAAUAUAGUUUAUAGUAACAACCUUAUGUUCACAUAAACGCGCCAGUGAUGGAUGUUAAUUUUUUUUUCUUAGCGCAUCAAACACGGUUUGUUUAUGGAUCACACCCUGUACAAUCAGCUUUAGUUCCUAAGUAGAUGUUAUAAAGGAGACAGAUCUUAGAGACAUGGCAGAAAAGAAAAUUAGUUUAAACGAUUGGAUUUAAUCUAAAACAAUUUAAAUCUCAUGAAUCAAUUGUAAAAGUUCCCUUUACCACAUUAUUCAAUGACUAAAAAAUCAAAGUAGUAAACUGUAUUUAGUCAAUAUGAUUAGCUUUUUUGAAUGUGAGGAAAGAUGAAUCUAAUUAUCUUUCUCCCAUUGUAUGGUUUUCAAGACUUUCUGACUAAAGCACCAUCAAAAAACAAGUCUGUGCGAUUAUCUGGGGCUUUUAAAAUAAAGACAUUGUUGAAAACUGUUCAAACAACCAAUAAAAAGAAAAGAAAUCUCCAGAAUUGAAUUUAUGUGCUUGAAACUGGUUCAGUGUGAUCUUUGCCCUUGUGUCUUAUGGCUUAGAGAGUAUCACCCUGUUUGUCUCAAGAGCUUCCUCUUGUUGAAAAUCCUCCAAAAAUCCUCUCCUUUUUUCUUUACUUUACUGUCUUAUCUUGUUUGUUACUCCCCAGUCCUGGAGCUCGACUGUGCCAGAUACUCUCUACACAUAUAGACACAGAGUCCAAGCCAGUCACACAACACCACAGACACACGCACACACGCGCACAUCCACGAUUGCACUCACACUUUUCCCUUCCUGCCCUCGCCUAAGGGUUUGGUUAGAUUCAUGCCCUUUGUCAGAGUUUGAGCAGGUCUCAAAGAAAUAAUGGUGUGACUUCCCUGGGUGUGCAGCGGCUUCCUUAAUUGGUGUCUUUUCUCGCAUGUACAUCACAUUCGCCCUUGUUCACUGGGAAUCACACAUCAAAGGAUCUCAAAUCUCCUCUCCUGCAGUGUCAACUUGCAGUUCAUACCACCGAGGUCUUGAUAGAAGCAGCACAUCAAAAAUUUUGACGAAGGAGGGAAGUUUUAAAAACAACAAAUAGGAGCCAGACAGCUUUUCAUCUACAGUACACAUCCACUGAACGCAGAAGUACAUCAGUCACUCCUUUGAGAUUAGCUUGCAUUGAAAUAAGUUCGAGUCAAAUGUUAAGGACGAAUGCCUUGUUUUAAAAAAGUAGGACUUAUUUGCAGUCAUUCGGAACUAUUCUUCAGUCUCACCAUGUAGCAAACCAUCCUCCGAUAAUUCCAGCGUGAAUUGAGAUGUGCCCUUUAAACAUGAAGGAAAAAUGACUUCCUGAAUCUAUUAAGGCAAAUAAGGUAUGAGGCAGGACUCGGUGUUUAUGCAGGCAGGCACUCCACAACCCUUGAAGAUGGCACAACAAAAAUUUCCUGUUACUAAGUAAGUAGAAACUGUUGCAAAAGGUAACACUACUAAAACAGUGUAUAUUUAAUUAACAUGUUUUUAAUUACAUUUGUGAAUUGAGAUGUUGUUUUGUUUUUGACAAACCUUACAUCAGACACAGCCAAUGAGAGGAAGUCAUUUCAAAACUGUCCUUUGAUUUCACUAAACUGUGUAAUGAUACCUUCACACAGUGUAUGGAUAAUUAGGAUGAAAUUAAUGUCUUCCCUUGCUGCUGUUGGGCUCACUUGAAUGAUGGUGAACAUAUGUCUCCUGCAUUUCAGUCGAAUUCAAGCUGUGAGGUUUUCCCUGUCACCUGCAAAAAUGAAUGGUCAUGUUUUUAUCCACUCAGGUGUGAAAUUGCUGCUGUAUUUGGCAGAUCGGUGUGGGUUAAUGUACUCUCUGAGGUCCUACUUCCUAUCCCUUUUGCACCGCCCUGGCUUGCGUGAGCGGUUCGUUUCACACAUGGUGUGGUGGUUUCACAGAGGCCUCUAGUGAUAACAAAAGAUUUGUGUGCUUGUGUGCGGGAAUGUGUUCAAAUGCACAAAUGUGGGCUCUAAACGCUCUGAUGGAUCUGCCCAAACAGCUUAAACUCCUCAAUGGUCACGCUGGCUCAUUGAAUGGUCAUCCAAAUGAAGAGAAGGCUGCAGUUUUUUCCCCUCUAGUCAGAAAAAGGGGUGGCCAUUUGAUAGCUGAUGAUUUUGGGGACAGGGGGCAGGAAGCCAUCAAAAAAGCCCUGAACCUGCCUGUUUUGCAGCACUCUGCUAUGCACCCAGACACCCAGGUUAGAGUCACUGGCUAGGCUUUCUCAACUAUGCAUUGAUCGCUCUGUUUUGGCUCCUCUUUGAUCUAUAAAUAAUGUAGUCAUCUGUAGAGUGUACUCCCUCAGAAACCCCCAUGUUACCAGAAUGGGGAGACAAUAAGCCCUCUAAAGCAUGUCACGCCUGUCGAUGAUAAUUAUUUCAUAGAUGCCACUCUCACUUUCUGUCUCACUGUUUAACUUGCUCUGACUCUAUGUGGCAGGUGAUUGAAGGUAGACCAACUGUUAAGGGCUCUUCUUCCUGUCCUGCUGCGUCUGAAACCCCUGACACAAACACACCUCAUUUGAUUCAUUCAUAAGAUCACUUGCGAGAUCACCAACGCUGCAUCAAAAGGCUGCAGCUCACAUAAACCACUGAUGGCCAUCUCCACUAGAGGGGUGAAUAAAAUCAAGAGUUAAAUCUCUUGACUGGCUUGUAAAUAUUGCCCAAGUAACACUCUCUCUUUCUAUCUCUCUCUCCCUCAUUAUCAAUGCUUGGUUGGUUGUCUUACCCAGUGUACUGUAAAUGCUUUCAAUAGCAAUCUGGGAGGGCUGAGAGUGUUGUGAUUUCCAUUCUGUUGCACAUUUCUCUCUCCUGGUCUCCAGAGAGAUGGGGGAUUGCCAGGGCUCCCCUGAGGUUGGACACCAAGCCCCAGGCGGUGUGAGCAGAUUAAGCUCAAGAUGGAGAGUCACAUUUUUUCCCUUAUUUUCCUUAGCUAUAGAAAAAAAAGUUGACGUUGUUUGUGUGCCAUUAGACAAGAUGAGCAUUUAUGUAAACCAUCUUACAAUACAGAGUGAGAAACUCUGAAUAAUAAUGCUCGUAUUGAGUAUCUGCUCAUAAUUCAAUGUGUUAGUUCACCUUCAGAAAUGACAUAUUAUGUGACUGAAGUGUGUUUGUUUUUUUCCCCUGACACUGGAUACACCUCACAGAGAAGUAGUUGAAUGGUAGAGUAGUUGAAAAGCUGAAAUGACUGCUCAGAUGUUGCUUUUCCGUUUCCGCCAUAUAAUCUGUAGUGAGUGUUUCCAAAGCACCUGGCAUAUGUGUAACACGUUGAUUUGUUUUAUACCUUCAAAAGGCUGGCACUGGCACUUGUAUUCCAUUUUUAUCUGUUCUUAUAGCACUCAAAAGACAGAGAACUGUGUGAAUCCCACAUCAAAAAGCAGGAGUUAUCCUUUAAUCUCUCCCGUAAAAGGGCCACUUGACACGGGAUAUUUCCCAUUACGUAGCUUUGUUGUCAGGAUUAGGGCCAGGGUUCUUUUUAAUGAAAUGUGAUAUCUUAAGUGAGGCAUUUAAAAGAAGGGUUAAAGCAACAAAAAAAAAAGAGUCACAUGUUCAGCUUCAUUCAAUUUGAUUAGCACUUUUUCUUCACCAGCGGUUUACAGGCCAGAAAAUAUAUUUAAAAAUUUGCACAAAAAGCAGACAUCACAUUACCAGGCUCUUGACAUUUCUCCCGCCAGUACUACUGUUGCUCUGCUUUGUUGCGUGUCUUGAGAAUACUGCUUCGUACUAAAAACUGACAAUAAUUCUGUUGAGGUUUUGAAGACUCGCUUGGCUAACAACUGACAACAAACAAGACUCUGUGGACCAGAUCAGCACUGCAAUCAUCCUGCUGCUGUCAUAGUUUUUGAAGACUGGCACAAAUCAGAGUCAAAUUUACCUUUCUGCAGAUCUGAAUAUGAGAGCUGGUGAGAGAAAAUCACUGAAAACAAGCCAGAGGUGACUUCAAGCACCCACAAAUGCAGAUGAAAUAGAGGUUUGUGGCUUUUUGCAUUGAACUACAUGGCACGUGAACACUGGUAGCCAUAUGUGGUAAAUAAUAUAUAGUAUAUCUUGUUUUGACAUGCUUGUAGUAUGUGCAGUGAGAGCAAAUAACUUGAAUCAGCAAGAUGAUGCCGGUAUGCUGUGUUGUCUACUCAGAGUUUUAAGGUAUUGACCCCAAGUAGUUUUUAGUUUGACGUUUGAAUAAUGAAAUCAGUCUAAGAGCCACUUAAACCUUUGUGUUAUCUAGCCUUGAAAAAGCUUUCAGGGAUGGUCUUGAUCGUUGAGAAUUUGGGAUAUUUGCCUCUAAGAGUUUGACGGUCAAAGAACUUGCUUCUCUCCCAGGAGGCUAACAUUAAAUUUUUAAAACUUUACAAGUUUGAUCAACACAAGGUUAUUACUGCGGAGUCAAGGACUGUGUCACAUUUACUAGGAGAUGUUCAGUGAAAUGGACUAAUGACAUUUGCCGAGCAGUAGCUGGCAAAUGUGGAUUUCCUAGAAAUUUCAAAAGAAAUUGAAAGUCUGGCAAACAAACUAAUCUAAGCAAGUAAAGAAAGUUCAGAAAAGAAAAAAAAAAUCAGUGAAUCUAAAACAUUUCAUACAGGAUCACAGUCUGUGAGGCAACUAUUAUUUUGUACAAUGUGGCUCACUUUUUGGAUGCACAUUGUACUUGAGUGAUGCGAAUUGAGCGAUGCGUAUCAACCGACUGGUUUACUUAGUUCACGAGUGCAUGCAACGAUCAGGUUACGACAGGAGGUCCCUCUCCCUCUAUGUAUCAAACAGCAGUACUUCAGAAAGCCUGCUUUGCUACUGCACUUUCUUUCACAUUUAAAUAGGUCAAUACUGUAUGAAUAUCAGCCUUCAUCCCCAAGUUUGAAGAUAGACUUCACUGUGGACACUGCAUUGGCUGUUUAUACUCAGUAUGCAUUUGGACACUGCCCCUGUUAAUGACAAUGUCAAUGUUAGCUUUAUUUAUAUAGCACGUGUAAGAACAGCCAGUGGCCUACCAAAGUGCAAACAGUAAAAUAGCCAGAAACAAUAAAAAACUAUAAAAACAAUAAGAGCAUAAAACAUAUAAAAAGAUAUAACAACAAUAAAGAUAAAACAGAGCAAAUAAAUAAAAGACCCAAUAAAAGUAACUAUACUUCCCCAAAGGCUUAAGUGAACAGGUGCAUCUUCAAAAAUGUUGUGAAAGUGGAAAGGCUAGUCGCAGUACACACUGUCAGGACUCCAAUUUUAGUGACCCAAAUCAAAGGAAAGCUAACGUUACCUGUAGCAAUUUAAGUUUAAAUAACUUCUGAAUAUGGUUUUAAAGUAAAAUUUCUUUUAAUUUAGAGACACCCCAGAAAAACCAGCCAGCUUAUCAUUAAAAUGUAUAAAUAUAUUAAUUUAGAAUACACCUUAUGAACAGAAAUGACUGGAAAUGCAAUUUUGUUGUUGCUUUGAUUAGACUCUGCCAUAACGACAUACCGCUGUCAGCCACCACACUAUUGCACAUUUUAAAUACAAGUUUUUCCAGUCCAACAAAAUAAUCAAAAGAAAAUAUGAAAAGAGAGGGGAGGAUACAAUAACCUCUGAAUAAAUUGUGCUUAAUCGUGUAAAAACUUUAAAAAUUAAUUGAGCAGCUGAAUGUUGCUUUAUCCUGCUCAUGCCUGCUCGCAGCUAUGGAGAAUCUAACUGCAAAUGGAAAUAUCUUUGUCCUUUGUCCCAGAGCCCACUGGAUGUGCAGACACUGUAUCCACACAUUACUCUUUUUUAUUAGAGCCUGUGAUAUUAAUGCUGCUUAAUAAACUCGCCCUGUUUGUGAUCGUGCGGUAGCGGUAGGUUAUUGUAGAUAAUAAAUGGCAUGCAGCAGUAUUUUAAAUGAUCACCUACAGUCAGUAAUAGCAUCAGCAAUCAGCAGCUAUUACUGUGUGUAGAUUUGCAUAAAGAGAUGAUGAUUUACAUGAUGAUAAUUUACAUGAUCACUUUGUAUCACAAUUCAUCAUUGAAGGCAGGAAGGUCUGGCCUUUUUACACCAGGAGCUGUUUGAGCAAUGACAUGCAUGACAAAACCUCUUUUAAAAGGUGGUUCCACUUCCUUCUAGAAGAUAAUCCAUGACCUCAGAAUACAUUUAAAGUCAACUAGGGUCAGUUCUGUGGAGCAAAGAAAGCUCGAAUCCAAUGUUUUCAAUUAUAUCUCAAGUCAGUUUGCUGGGCAGUAGGUGUGGACCAAAAUGAAACUAGGUCUACUGUAUCUAUGUGGUCUGAGAUUGUUAGCUGACCCAGUAUUCAGUCAGGGCUUCAUGCUUCACAGAGUCCCUCUGAAAUCUACUCCACCGUAGCACCCAAGAAAUUAGGGAUGGGAGUGAGCCACUGUAGCUUUGAUACAUUUCAUCUUUGCUCAGAGAGCUGUCUCUCUCAUGCAAUAAAAUCUGGAGCCAAGCAGUCAGAGUCCUGCAAAAAGAGCAAUGAAUCUUUGCUAAGCCAUUGGGGUUUUAUGGGCUAUUCCCUUGGAAGCAACAAUUAUUCCAUUGAAAUGAAUGCAUGCACAACCGUGCUGCGGUGUACUAUGACCAUCUUCCAGAUUAUGAACACAUCUGAUGCCGAUGGCCAACAUUUCAGUCUCUUAUACCUUAUUCUAUGUGCUGCUGUCAGAGUGGUUCUGCUGCAGUUUGCGCCUUACCCUCUUAUAGCUGAGAAAAAAAAGCCCAUAAAGGACAUGGAUAGAAAUACCAGCUCUAAUGAAACUUCUCACAGUUACCAAGUCAUGAAGAUGAUGUGUCCAUUAAUGAAAAGAGAGAAAUAACGCGGUUGUUCCGUUACUAUGACCACAGAAAAUCUACAUGAGUUUUCCCCUGAGGCUCCCUGGUGCAGCCGCGUCCAUCUCAACUCAACGAGAGGCCAACGUGGAUCUAGCCUCAGAUAAAUCAUAUUGGUUUAUAUUGAGCAAUGAUCUAAUUUCUGAAGUGCUGAGGGACAAGAGAGGAGGGGAAAAACACUGAUCCUACAAAAUGCAAUUUUAUGACUCUUCCUGUCACAUCUACUUGCUUUGUCAAUUUAGUGCUAACACUGCUGCCUUAGGGCCUCAGCAUGGGGACAUGGUGUGUACCAGCCCUGUUUGCUCUAACUGCUGGAGCGUGCAAUAGUGUGCUUCACAUUUCUUACAUUAUAUAUUUAAUUUAAAAGGUCAACAGGACUAACUCAGCUGAACCAGCGUUAAUUGAUAACUGAGUAAUAAGAAGAAGUUUACACCUUGAGAAAUAUUGUUUUUGUCCAACUUUCUGUGGUCAAAAACAAAGGAAAAAGAAUAACUUUCACAGAAAACAGGGAAGUAUAUAUAUGGAUGUAAUCCAAAGUUUUUCAGCUGUUGUUGCUUAUGUGGAUAUAGUGUAAUGGACCAUGUGUAAGAAUAGUAAGAACAGUAUAGCAGCUGCCAGGCUGGGUUUUGGCAGAAAAUCUGUGGGAAGAAAUAAAGUGAAUUAGGGCUGCUCCAUUAUGGCAAAAGGAGUCAUCACAAUAAUUCUUAUGAUAUUGAGAUCACAAUUAUUCAAGACUAGGGAUGGGCGAUAUGGGCCAAAACAUUUAUCACGAUAAGAUUUGCCAUUCUGGCGGUAACAAUAAAAGUCCUGCUAAAUAAAAAAUAAAAUUCCAAUCCUUUUUUUUUUUACUCAUUUUGUCAUGAGAACACCAGUUGGAAUAGUCAAAUAAGAAACUUAACCACAAGUUUGAGUUGUAGGUUAUGAAGAAAACUAAUGACAUCAAACAAGUCUCAAAUUUGUUGAAAACUCUUAUUGCACAGAGUGAACAGCAGCAGAUCUACUGUCCGAUGUCAGGCAUACCUGAUUGGACUCAUCUAAGUCAAGUCAAGUCAAGUUUAUUUGUAUAGCACAUUUCAGCAGCAGGGCAAUUCAAGGUGCUUUACAUGAGACAAGCAGGCAAAACAUUCAGCACAAUUUGAAAAGUAAAAACAGCGUAAAAGACAUUUAACAAAUAUAAAGUUACAUUCAAAACUAAAAUAAGGUUGGAGAUAAAAGAAAACAAAGAGAGAGAAAAAAGAGAUCAAGACAGGCAGAUGAUGAAGAUGUUGAUUAGGGGCCUCAGGUUUGAUUUAAUGAUAGGCCACGGCAAACAUAUGCGUUUUCAGCUGUGAUUUAAAAGAACUGAGAGUUUCAGCAGAUCUACAGUUUUCAGGGAGUUUGUUCCAGAUAUGAAGAGCAUAAAAACUAAAAGCUGCUUCUCCACGUUUAGUUCUGACUCUGGGGACAGAGAGCAGACCUGUUCCUGAUGAUCUGAGCGGUCUGGAUGGUUCGUAACGUACCAGCAGAUCAGAAAUGUAUUUUGGUCCUGAACCAUUCAGUGCUUUAAAAACCAGCAAUAGUAUCUUAAAAUCAAUUCUUUGACAAACGGGAAGCCAGUGUAAAGAUCUGAGAACUGGGGUGAUAUGAUCUACUUUCUUGGUCUUAGUGAGGACUCGAGCAGCAGCAUUCUGAAUCAGUUGGAGCUGUCUGAUGGAUUUUUUGGGGAGACCUGUGAAGACACUAUUACAGUAGUCGAGUCUGCUGAAGAUAAAUGCAUGGACAAGCUUUUCCAAAUCCUGCUGGGUCAUCAGUCCUUUAACCCUAUAUAUAUUUUUCAGGUGAUAGUAGGCUGACUUUGUAAUUGUCUUUAUGUGGCUGUUAAGAUUCAGGUCUGAGUCCAUGACAACACCAAGUCCAAAUCUUGAAGGAAAUCCCUCAUGUGGAGCCUUGUUCAGUAACCAGCUGCUCAGAAACAUCGUCUUCAUUACCUUCGGCCAAGUUUGUUUGUUAUUCUGCUCUGUGUGGGCUAUGGCUGCGAGUCCGUAGCUCGCGCUUAUGUCAUCAACUUGCAUUUAUUGUAUUUAUCAUGAGAUGGCAAAUAUUUAUUAUGGAGGAUUUUUCUGAUGGUAUAUUGUGAAGUAUAAUUUAUUGCCCAUCCCUAUUCAAGACAAUUACUUAUGAACUGACCUCUGCAUUAAAUGCAUUCACAGAACUUCAAAAAUUAAAAACGUAACCACUCCAAGCUCUUUCAAAAAAAACAGUGAUAGAAUAAAUGUUUUAUUCACGGGACCAUGCUUAAGCAUUCCCAUCUGUCUAACUGGAUAACAAUGAUAAUAGCAACAAAAUAUAUCUUUUUGAGCUCACUUACUCAAAAAACAAGGUAUGAAGUCUCUCUUUAUGUAGGUGUGACAUUUUUUUCUCUUGGAACAAUGUAAUGGAACAGUUUCACUGUGUUCCCUGUUUCCAGUGAAGAAGUAUUGUCUCAGUUCUCUGCGUCGCCUCCUCUGCUGUCCCUGCGUGUCUUAUGUUACUGCCGUCUAAUAUGUGAUGUGAACAGGAAGUGCCGCUCUUCAUGGCCAAAGCUGAUUAAUGUGAUAAAGACGGUUACUGUGAUAGUUUAAACUCUGAUAUCCAGCAAUUCCUAGUUCUGCCUCAGCUCCAGGAUUGAUGUCACAAAGUGCCUUUACUGGAUUCAGAGGCAAGCACUGAAUAGGUUUCUAUCUAAUACUGUCUGUGACAUUUUAACCUUUGUGAUGAAUUUUCUAGAUUAGCAUUACUUGCUAUCAGUGUUCAUGCAUUGGUGGGGGCUUAACAAGCACACAGGAAGUGUUCAAUACAGAGGAGAAAUAAUCUGCUUAGAAAUGGCAGAAGAGAGACAUCAGCCUGCCUUCAUCCUCUCUCCGCUCUCUGUGCUCUGUGGAGGUGUCGAUGGCCUUCACAACAACAUUACAUGCUCACCAGGCGAGUUGUUUGACCCCCAACACCUCCUCCCUCAUCUGUCCCUUAUGGGCACACAUACACUAACACAUACACAAGUAAGCAGACAUAAAUUCUGCCAUGCAAAGCUCAUCCUCACAAGUGUUAUCUUUAGUGAAACCUGCUGUGAAUCUUGUCAGGAGAGCUCUGUAUGGAAACCUGAGUGGAGUUUAUUCUGCUGAACUGUACUCCUAGACAACAAUUCACAACACUCCUCUACACACAGACCAAAUGCUACAAAUGCUGACAUGGAGUCCUCACUUUAAACUGAUGACACACAAAACACAGCUGCAGACACACAGAUAUUAUGCUUUUGUGAAACUUUUUUUUUUUUUGUGUAGAGUCAACACUCUUUUUGCCUCUCGACUGUAAAUGUGCGAUAGUCUGAUCGCUGCCUCACCGAGAUGAGAUUCUCCUGUGGAUGAGUACUCAUACUGCAGCUGGAGGGGCCUUGCAUCCCUGAAGACAGGCAGAGCCUAGCCAUGCCUAAAGAUUGGAGCCCCCUGGGUGGCAGAGAGGCUGGGAAAUCUCCCAGGGAACGGUUGUACAUGAGGUCACAUCCCCUACAGACAGUUGUUUUUUUUUUCUUAUCAUUUUUUUUUUUUUUUUUUUUGAGAGUACGUUCUUGAAUGCUACUUGACUGUCAAAUCUUUUUCUCUCUGCCUCUGUCCCCAAAAGAAUCAGGCUGAGACAUGAUGUCUGCAUGCUAAAUUGGUUGCUCACUGGUGACUGUGACAUUUGAGCUGCUAAUUAUUAUGUUUUCUCAUGCACCGUUCCUCCACCGGCUCUAAAUCUCUCUUUGAACAUCUCAGGUCAGCAGCCACCGUUUCUCAGAGUAUGAUAAAAAUGGCAGUCCAUUAUGAAUCAGAAUGCAGUCGAGUAAUCCUCAACAUGUUAUUAACUGCCCAUUGUAUCACCAGACAUGUAAUUUGGGAACUUGGAUAUUUAAUUUUCACUUUACAUUUUUUUUUUUUUAAUAUUUCAGUUUUAAAGCGUUGCCUUUUAACUUAGAUAUGACAAUUUAGUGCAGGAAAUUAACUGUUCUUUAUCUUUUAACCUGACAGAGCUCAACACCACAGUUGAUUUAAACUUGUAAGAGAAAUGUUGAAUCUGCCAGCAAUUCCAUAUUCCCAUUAUAAUAGCCUGUUCACUUUCUGCCAUGCAGGUAAGGAAUACAUGAGGAGAGGAGAGCAUGCUUAAAAUGACCUCUGUCCUCCUUGGAUGAGUCUAUCUGAAGAAGAAUCUAGAGUCAUGCCAGAAAAGCAGUAAACACAUCGAUGACAUCCAGCGUAAUAUGUUUUUAUUAUGCUUUUAUCAUGUCUCAUUGUGAAACCACUGCAUUGUAAACCAGCUCAGUUAGACACAGGUCCAGUCAGGCCAAUAGAGGAGUCUCUAGCCUCUCCGACAGGCGGUAACUUUGCCUGCUUCUGAAGCGCCAUCUUCAAUUAUCAACAUUUAUCUAUUUAAUUGGACUGCAUUGUAACAUGUUCUCUCUUUAGCCCUGCAAUCAUUAUCCACUGUAAGAGCAUACUGUGUGUGUCUGUGUAACGGUUGACCCAUGUUGCUGUCUGACCAGAGGAAAUUGCUGUCGUGCACCUCCCACUCUGUCAGUAGUUGGUUGGACACAUUCAUUCCUCUCAGGAUUGAGAGGAUCUUUUAGUCCUCAAAGGAUACUUAUUUGAAAUUCAGAUUUCCCAGACAUGUUUCACUGUAUGCAGUAAAGAGCUUACUGCAAAAUAUUCUCUUCAUAAUAACUAAUGGCUUCAACAGUGUUUAUCCAGUAUCUUCAGACACUGAUGUGAAGCAGUUUUACAAAGUGCAGUCUUUUCAGCGUUUCCAUCAGCUAUCUUCUGUAUGAGAGCUUCCCCUUUUGUUUCCAUUAUGUUAAGAAUUUGCAGAAGUUCUUUAAGAUCUUUGGGAUUUUAACAAUGGUGACACAAAGAAAAGACAGAGCGGCACUGUAUUUCCUUCAUAAGUGGGCUGAUUUUUAUCCUCUGCUUUUUUUAAGCAGGAACCUUUUUUUUAAACUUGCUUUUCUUCUGCUUCCUCCUAGUGUUGAUUUCUAUCUACCCUUUGGAAAGGAAAAAAAAUGCCUUUUCAAGUAGCAAACAGAUUCACUAAGUUGUAUUUUCCCAAUAUGAGUUUAACCUGUAGUUGUUACAUACACAAAAGUAUGUAUUUGCAAGUAUCAUGAGAUUAAGUACAUGAUGUGAAAUGGGGGAGGCUAAGAAAGAUGAUUGACUGGAGCCCUUUGAUGGAUUCCUACAGCAUGCAGGAAUUUUCCGGAAGAAUUUCAUCCCCUCUCAUGUAUGUCAGGGCUGUAGGUGUAAGCUUCUUGGCCAUUGCACAGAAAUGUGGGAAGAAAAUCUCAUCCCUGUUUCUGGGACAUGCCAGAAAAUUUGUACUUUGGCCACAGUGGGUUUGCACAUAAAUGAAUGUUAGCAGGACUUUUGUGUCAGGAUGGACCGUCAUGUCGAUAUGCUGUUAAGAUACACUUGAAUACAGUUUAUUUUUAUCUUUUGAACGAUAAACUUUAAACUACCGGUAGUUGGAUUAAGAGCUCAGAUGAAUUGAAUGGGCGGGGUUAUUAAUUUUUCAUCUUAAUAAGUGUUUUAAGAGCAGUGUAAGAAGGAUCACAGGCUCUAAGGACCACAGAGAGGGCUCCAGACAUGUAAUGGAAGAUUGAUGAACAUGUUGAUGAUCAUAAAACAUCCAGCAGUAUCUCCAAAGUACUUCUUAGUCAUUGUUCCUCUCAUAGACUGACUUGAAUUAACAAAGCAAAACAAUUUUGUCUUUUUUUUCUUUAAUGAAAGCAUUGGUUCAGUGAACUGCUGGCUGUGUAUAAAUGAGUUAAGCAAAUAGAUUAAUAUGGAGCAGACGAUUGGCUAAAACCCUUGACAUACCUGCCAGAGGGGAUAAAACACACCUUAGGGCUUUUUGCUAAACUUGCCCCGGGAUGCUAUCCCUCUCUUUGCCUGCAUCUUAUUUUCAUAAUAACAACCUACUGCUUUGCAAAUCUUAUUUAGUUCCUCGACAUUUCAUUAUUAUUUUGUUAUUUUGUUGUGUGCUCUUUAUUUUCACAUUUAUUUAUUUAUUUUUUUUCUUGGCAUUUAAUUUCCUCCUGAGUGUUUGCCACCUACCUCAGACCUUUAUCUUUCAGUUUUGCCACCUUCUCAAUGGGAUUUGUUUGACUGCGCUGGACUCUUGACCUCUGCCUUUCUCUCCAUCCAAUCAACCUUCAGAUGAUUAUAUACAUGGUUUCCUCCUGGAUUUUUUUUUCCCACUUGACCUGCUGUAACAAAACAUAAGACAAGAUUGUAUCAGCUUUUGACCACCCACCAAUGCAUGAUAAGUCAAAGGAAAAUAUACAGUCAGUCAGUGGUCAGGGGAAUAGGAUCCUGACAGGGUGAGACAAGAUCCAGACACAGAGGAGUUUCAUUCAGAGUAAAGUUUAAAAAAUUGUGUUUUUCUGUGGGCAUCUCUAUAAGAUCCUCUUCACUGUACUUUUGUGUUCGUCCUCUAACACUGCCAAAGCUUAUACUGUGUUGUGGUUUGUGGCUGCUUUUUUCUGCUUUUAUUAAUUUGGUCAUUGUCUCUAUCAUCAAGCUCCUUGUGUGUUUUAAUAUCCGUCACAGUUACUCAGUCUUGUCUCUUCUUUACAGUUGACUGGUCAGCUAUUCAUCAAGAGUGCUUAUUUUGCUCGCAAAAUAAAUUAAGUAAUGUUAAAGAUCUGUGUUGUUACCAUGCUAUCCCAUUCGAUUUGUCAGUAACACUUUUUAUCAUGUUGUCAGUGGGGGAUAGUGAAAUAACAAAGUUUAACAGUUAAUGUGUUUUUGCCUCUACUGCUGUUAUAAUGCAAGUCCCCCAGUUGUGGGAAUAGUGAAGGAUUAUUCUAUCUUGUCUUAUUACUAAACCAGAAUAAAUAUGCUUUGACAUUAGACUUGCUGAUCCACAUAUUAUUAUUCUAAAAAUAUACUUCAGGAUAUUAUCUCUACGACACUUUAAUUGGAGUGUUCAAAGUAAAUAGUAAAGACAAAGAUGAUAAUCUGUGUGCACACAUACCCUGGCCACCCAGUGUCUCAGUUUUGCCACCUAAGUCAAUAAAGUUUUGGUAAGCCCCUGCAUAUUGGCCCGAAAAACAAAAAAAUACUUGGACCUGAGUGCUGUCAGACUGUGAAGUUUGCGCAACAAAUGCAGCAAGAAAACAGUUUUAAAAGGGAACGCUGAGAGAAACGGCUGCCAAACUUUUACACCUAUCCCAGAAUGACAGUAAAGAUGAGUCCCAUCCUAGCAGAAGGGGGAUUAACAGUCAGCUGGAGUGUAAUAUGUACUUUGCUGUUUAAUGUUUUUUGUUUGUUGUGAUUUGGUGUGUUAACCUUGCACAUGUAUCAGGGUUUAUGUAAAGCAUUGUGUGCUACAUUUUUUGGUUGAAAACAGUGAUACAAAUAGAGUCUGAUGAAUUAAUGGAUUGACUGAACGUCUGUCCCACAAAUGAGGCUCUAAAUCUGCAGCCUCCGGGUCUGCAGACACAUAUUGCAUGUGAUAAAAAUAAGCUUUAGUUUCAUCAUCUAGCAGCAACCAACUAUGUCUAAAGGAGUAGAGGGAACAAAAACAAAGACUUGUACUGCGUAAGCUGCUCAUUCUCAGACAAGACUGUCAUUUACAUUGACACCACAUGGCAUCUUAAUUUAUGUAUCAUUACCAAUAUAUAUUUACUAUCUGAUUUCCAUUUUUGAAGCCAUGACAGCCAACCUUUUAUAAGGCUUUAAUGUCCUAGAUCUUGUCAUAAAUCUACAAAAUAUACUUGAAGAAAAACAGUUCACUCCCCCCCAGUCCCUGCUGGGACAUCAAAAUGUUUAAUUAUAUGUUAUUACUCUGUACUUAAUAUGAUGAUUGUUGGUGGGCUUUAAAGCACACUUGGGUUGUAUAAAACCUAAUGUGUUUUUUAAUGACAUAUCUAAUGACACACACUUGGUACUGAAAACUGAUUUAAAUGGGCUGCAAGUCACUGCAGGUUAAGAGACAUGAUUAAAGAACUCAAUCAAGUGGUGGUCACUUGUCUGACAGAAAAUCAAACAACUUGUGAAACAGAAAGAAAUGCUCACAGUCAACCAAGCAUUUACUUAUACAGAGCAUAAAACACAAAUAUAUUUUCAUUUUUUUAUUUACCUGUUUUUCAUUCAAGAGAGUGAUGUGGACAUCUUAAUAUGAAAAACUGUAUGUGAUGAAUGAAGUGAAAAUAGGUCACCUUUUCAGGACUACUAUACAAACUCUUUGAUAAGUCAUUGCUGCAAUUCUAAGCUUUUUCUAAAACUGUGACAGAUUGCAUUUAAAAAGUCAAACCCAUAAUAAUCAAGCUCAUUUAUCUGAGUCAGAACAUAUUGUUUUACACAUGAUAUAAAGAUACUGCAGGAGAAAUACAGUAUGAGUUUCUCACUUACUACUCACAGGCCUCUAUAAUACACCUUUUCUAUUCAGACAACCUUUUAACAUGUCACAGUAGAAAAAUCAUAAGUGGAAAUAAUUUAUUUAUGAAUGAUUAUUCCAUUCAGCUGCUUCAGUUCCAAGGUUCAGCUAUUGUGCUUGUUGGCUCACCGUCACACUGUCGAGAACUGCUGGGACACAUGAAUAAACCAGAGUCAUUGUUAAUGGUAUUAGUAACACCUGGGCUUUUCUUGAAAAGAAAAGUCAAAAUGUCUGCUGUGAAUAAAGCCUAUCUCCAAAGGUCCACAUUGCUUUUUACAACACAAAGCCUCAAUUGUAGUACAAUGCGCAGUUCCAACAAUUUUUUCAUGUAUAUAUUUUUUUGGGAUAUGUUCAAUCACUAACAAAAGAGGGGUAGUGUAAGGGCACACACCAGACGUACAACUCACUUAAUCUUUCAGGUCCCAACUAGAUCAUGACGUCUCGGGAUUCUUAAGCUGUUUUUUUCCCUACAAAAUACCAGUUAUGUAUUGGCCAAGGGGGGAUGAUGCAUCUAUAGGCUUUGAGAACCAAUCCAACCAUACUGGAAAAUCUGUAAAAGCCUCCAUAAGCUUGAGAAUCAACACAAACACAACACACAGCCUUGAGCUCAGAGCAUGUUAAGAGGCAGCUCAGAUCAUGCUUUCCAAGGUCAUUCCAAAUGAGCUUGACUGACCUUGCACCUCACUACAAGCAAGUCAUCAUAAAAAAUAAAUUAAUGAAUAAAAACAGAAAGGAGGUAGAUAGUAAAUCCUCCUGUUUCUGUAAAUUUGACCUGUGCCACCAUAACUGGUCAGGACUUUGCAUAGUGAAUGAAAGAUAAAUCCUGGGAUGCUCUGAGACACAUUCUUGGUGGUGUGCCUGAUAUCAUUUGGUGUUUCAGGUCUUUUGACAUCAUACACCCUCCCUCAGGUGACCAAGCCAGUGUUGAUCAAGUCCUGGCUUUUGUCCGAGCAGCACUGUCCCAAUGAUUGCUUUUCCUGAUCCAAAGCCAUCUGGAGGCUCUCUCUGCAGUCUCCAGGGUGUGCUUUAUGGCUUUCCUCCUUGCGACCCCCGUGAUGCCAAGCAGUGUGCAAACUUUGCACAGUGAGGGACCAGCAAAGCCUCGACACCCCUCUUCUACGGGCUCACAGUGUGCCUUCCAACCACUUCCUUGGCAUUGCUCCACCAGCUCCUUGUACUUAGACAGCGUCCACUUCUUUGCCUCCUUGAUACGGACCUCCCAUGGAACUGUCAGAUCUAUCAUGAGCACUUGCCUUGCAGAGACAGGGGAAAGCAUGAUGUCUGGCCUCAAGGAUGUAAUGUGGUCUGGGAACAUGAUUUGCUUGCCCAAGUCUACUCUCAGCUCACAAUCUGAUGCUGAGGUUAGUAGGCCACCUGCUUGGUUGUGACUGAGGCUGCUCUCCAGCCCUGACGAAGAUGAUGUUCCUCUUGCUGGUGCUGGUUGUUGUUGUGGACUUUGGCCUUGGAGAUGGCUUCAGCAGCUGCCUUCAGCACUUAGUUGUGCCGCCAGCGAUAGCGACCCUCCCCCAGUGCUUUCAGGCCGCUGCUGAGGAUGAGCUCAAGUUAACCUCAAUAGCAAGAUAGUACAGAGCACAAGCUGAAGAGUCGUCCAUGCCCCAGAGAUGGAGAUUAGCUGGGCUAGGUGGGACAUCAUAUGCAGCUGUGAUAUCCGCAGCGGUGCCCUCUUGCAGUGGGGCUAAAGACAAACCCCAAACCCUGCAUGCCCCAUUGUCAUGGUGUCCACCAAAGUCCUGUGUCUCAGCUGGGACUCAGCUACCUCCAGGCCUUCCUGUGCUUUUCACCUCUGCCUGUACACACCAUGAUGCCUGCCUAAGCAACUCUCGAGUCUUUAGAGUCUUGAUGGAUCAUAGACUCUUUUGUCCAAGGCAAUCUAAAGUCCUCGUCAAGGCUGCGCAUUGGGAGCUGGAGUUUGUUGGUCUGCAAUGGCUGUAAGGCAGGCCCAGCCACCUGCGGAGGUAACUGCUGGUCUUCCUCACCAGGGUUUCCACUGUUGACAGGGCCACUUUGUACACCAACAAGGGCUAGAGUGCCCUGGUUAGGACGCUGUGCUGGUAAAUACAUGUCUUAAACCUUGCGAGCAAGCCAGACUUGUCUACAGCUGACAGCCAUGUUUCAAGCUCCUUGAUGGUAGUUUGGAUUGCUGCUUUAUCCCUAAGACUACAGUCAAAAACCUUUGUGGAAGAAAUGUCUGUUUUUUUUUUCCUACUAUCAUGUACCACUUCUGCAUGACACUGGAAAAAGCAAAGUUUUUUCAAAAAUCUUCGUUACACUGAGAAAAUUAUUUAGGUACCUGAACUUUCUAUCUGCAUGGAUUUUACUGCGCCAAGAAAAAAAACACGAUGAAGUGUCCUGUCCUUGACUCAUUAGCAUCACAUAAUCAUAUUUCCAUCUGCUCUGACUCUUGUUUUUGUGACUUUUUAUCACUUUAACCUUUUCAAUACUUGGCUGUAAUUGUUAAAACCUGCACAUUUUACUUAGUGUCCCUGUGAUUCAUUUGAGGCAUCAAGCUGAAAAAAAAAACAAUAAAUAAAAUACAGUUUUGAAGAAAUAACUGUAGAACAAGAACUCCUGGAGCAGUUAAGCUGAAUACUCUUUUUGUAAUGGUUGUAUGUUUGUAUGUGGUCAGUUAUUUCCGUAGAUCAGAACAGUGCAGCAAAAAAAAAAAACAUAGUACCCAAGUGUUUCUGUUCUGGUUUGAUCUCAUAACCACAUCCAAUUACAUCAAUCCACUUGAAAGAUUGUGAAAAUGAACGCUCUGCUUUUUAAUGUGUUCUAGAGGUGUAACCAUUUGUCAAUGUGGGCAACAACAAUCAAAACAAGUUUUAGACUGUAGUAAAUUGUCCAUAGUAAAUUGGUUAUGUCAUACUUUUGUAAUGCUAUGAGUGGAUAUAACAUUGCUUUAUAGAUCUCAGUUACUGAGGAGUGAGCUAUCUCAUAUCUUUACUGUCUCUGCUAAAGGAGUGCAUGCAAGACAGUGACCCAGAAGUGACAGGUGAACAAAACAGCAAAAUGGCAGUGUCUGAAGCAACACACUUGUGUCCUAAAAUUUCACUCAAUUCACUCUUAGCAUGCAAUUAAAAAGAUAGAAUGAGAUCAGAAGAACUUAUUGAUCCUUAAAGGGAAAUUCAAUAAAGGGCGUCCUGUAAAAUUUGCGAGCCCAUCUUGCUUAUCUUAGGAGCUCACAAGGAUUUAAAGAGAAGGCAUGCUGGGCAUCUGGGCAACACCAAGAAUGACAUUCAACUGAUCAGUUCAAAUGAGAAAGAGACUGAUGAAUCAGUGAAGCCAAAUAAAAGCAUUUUGAGAUCAUCAGCAUUUAUCAAACUAUUGUAUUUAAUCAAAAUCAUUACAAAAAGACUGUUAAAUUAAUAUAUUUAUGUAUUUUACAACAUAAACCCGAAUGUAACCCUUAUAUUCAAGAACCAAAAAUGAAAUAAAUAAAUAAAAGCUCAGUCCAAAAUGUGUAAAGCAAAAUACUCAUAUGAAAUUAUCAAUAAUUAAACUAUCAAACAGAAAGAAAAACAAAUAAGGAUAUUCAUCCACAGGAAAUAACUCAAAAUCUCACAAUAGUUAAGUUGAGAAUAAAAUAAAAACGGUGUGUUUUUCUAACAUCAGUUCAAAGUAAAAAGAAAAGUCUACUCUCCUGCUGUACCUGACCCUUCCUUCAGCCUGAGUAACAAGAAGGGAGAAACUGAAUGGUGGCACAAAUGGGAAUGAACUGGAUGUGGAUGUGGGAGUUUCUGAUUGUGUAAGCUUACACUCCUUCAGAGGUCUAGUGGUGUCGGUUACGACAGGUCAGGACUGUUUUGGACCUUUUGGGGGUCGUACAUAAUACUGACCGGCUGGUCGUGGUAUUUUAGCCAACUGGUGGAUUCAUUUAAUAAUAUUAUGUCCAAAGCUAAGACAAAAACAUGGCUGAAGUUAUGAUUUUUAGUGAAUUUUGAGCUUCAAGGUAAUAAUACAUUUGAAGGCUGAUAGGAAAGAGCCAUUUAAUUAUUGUCAUCAUCGAACCAGAUAAUAAACCAUUAUGUUAAUUGAUGUUCUGUUGAUUAUCAAAAUAGUUGAAGCUUUUAGUUGCAUCCCUGAUAUGGUCUUUCAUCAACCUGUUUAUAUUUAUUUUAUUAGAAUAACUUGUUAUAGGCUAAACACUGUAUGUAAUGAAAUACUGUGGAAUACUUGGCGAUGAUAUCAUGCAUUAAUUAAAUAGCCCUCAAGCCAUUUUUCACCAUUUGUUGUCUUGAAAAUCCAUGUGUAGCCAUUAGCUCCUUAAAGUUGCAUCUAAAAUUCGAAAUACUAGUUGUGUAAAUCUAAAAUUGAAAACAAAAACUGUAUGAAAAAGUGAUGGCAAUGUUGAUGCAACAACUUCCUGGUAUCCCUCUGUCCACGGACCCUAACCUUGAGUGUCAUGUUUUAAUAUGAUGACAGAAGAUGCAAUCAGAGUUGCAAUUAGUAGGAUGAAAUCAUCUGCUUGUGUUCUUGACCUUAUUCUAGCCAAGUUGUUAAGACAGUUCCCAGUUCUUCCCCUGAGAAACAAAUUAUCAUAAAAUGCUCUGAGAUUAGUCCCCUUUCCCCUAAAGCUUUUUAAACAGCCAUGCUCCAACCUCUGCUUCAACAGCGGCACUUAAAAAUGACAUCUCUAAUCUUCCAAUCUCGGUAAAAUCUCCUGCAAAAAAAGGUUUCCAUCCAGUUAUAUUUUCUGCUGUGACAUUUCAGAAAUGUAUGACACUCACUUUUACACAGCCAUUUAAAAAGUUCUGUUGGUUCCCACUGUAGAACUGGUGAGGCUUAUCUGCCUAACAAACCAGGGAUCAUCCUGCUGAAGAUAUUUAUUGCUGAAAAACAAACAGACAUAAAACCCACCAACAAAAAUGAUUUUAGCUAGAGGGCAUGCAAUGUUUCUGAUUGUUCAACUCAGUGCUUCACUUAAUCCCUGUGUACUUUUCAAAUAUUACAUUCUGUUCUGCAGCAGUUUAGGUAUAUAAAUACACACACACACACAAUUGUACAGCUGUAUUCAUAGUCAUAUGUGUGCCGGUACAUUCGUGCAGUUGUCUUCAACCACCUAACAGAUAAGUAACAUUUUCAUUUUACUUUUAGCCUUUUUAGUUCUGGUCCAUCUCUAAAUAUUAAAGAAAACAAAUCUAAAAGCUCCACCAUGCUCAACAGCUAGUCGCUAACUUUGUUAUAAAUGCAGAGCAGUCAGUGUGUGAUGCAUGUAUUAUUUAUCAGAUCUUCUUUUUAGUUUGAUACAGCUACAGGCUACCCAGAAAGAAUUGAUCAGUAAAAAUGAAACGAAACAGAAAAAGCUGCAGGUCAGAGAACCAAAACGAUGAGUUGAAAGCUCCAAAGGUUUCAAAAGCAUCUCAGUUAAUCUUUUACCAUAAAAUACCACAUUAACAUUGUAUUUUCUAUCUAAUUAAUCUGAUAUAAAAAGAAGCCAAAGAACAACUUUUGCAUAUUAAACUGUGUGACAAUGGGUUUGAGAGUUGAGGUAGUGAGGUUUUGGAUAAAUGCAAAGUUGCAUAUGAAACUAACAACUCUGACAAGCCUGUUUCAAAAGCAUGUCUUGUCAUUAUAUACAUUAGUCAAAAAUUAUGUGUAUGAUUUAUAUUAUGGUCUAGAGAGUAAGUUGUGCACUUAGAGUUGAAGGACCUGUCCACUAAAGUAGGCAAAGAUCUAUCUAGCUGCAUUGGUUCAGUUAUUCUCUCAGGAGGGAAAGUGCUCUGCCUUUUAGUAUGUCACCAUUUCUGUAGCAUCCAAUUCUCUGUCAGGACUUAAGUCUUUAAGGCUUCAAUUUUAGGUUGGCAUAGACACUGCACUCUGUGGUUCAUAAGAAUGAAAAAGUUUUGGCCAGCACUGUAUUUAAUCUUUUUAUUGAAGUGAAGCUCCGAGAAUAGCUCCCUCCCACUGUCUUGGUUAUGCACUCAUGCCAGUGACUAAUAGUCAUCACGAAUUUUGGGCAGGUACAUGCUUUCUCUAAAAUCUGCAAUCUGAUACAUGUAGUGUGGGACAAAUUAAUCAUAAUUUGGCCUUUGGCUUUCAUUAUGCAAACAUUUCCAUGUGAAUCUGGAAGUGAUAGGUGAGAAUAUAACAGCUUUUGUUAGUCAUCUUUUUUGGUCGGUUCUUAGUAGUCAAGGAGGAAGCAGAUUAGAUGAGCUGCUGAUCUUCACAGUUCUACCCACCACUGAAGCCAGUGUUUGAAGCUAUGGGAAGUCACAACAUGUUCUAUAUCUGGUAGGAAAUCUAAUCCAAAUAUAUCCAAGGAAUCAUUUGAUUUCGCACAAGAGUCGAGUGAAUUCUUGGCAUUAGAUUGUCAAUUCUACAUUUCCCAAAGCCAGGUUUUGUAGUGGAGCUCAAUCAAAUCAGCUUUGAAUUCCAGUGAUCAUCACACUCAUUAAAUUGUGUUUAUACUGCAAUCAAUUUUUCCAUGCUCCAGUAAAAAGACAGCAGUUUUAGUUAUGUGCAGCCAAUAUUGUCUCUCUCUGAAGUUUGAACAGCCCUUUUAUGAGGACACAGUCUCAGCACAUAAUUUACUUUUACUUGUUACUUAUUGAGUAUUUCAUAGUACAGUGUUUUAUGUAGCCUUUGUUAGUUUGCCAUUGUAAUUUAAUACCCAGCUCAUCCAAAGUCCUCUGAACUUUUAGAUACCAUAUAAAAUAAAAUCUCUGGAUAGCUUCAUAUGCUUAGUGCAUGUAAUAAAUCUAAAGUAGAUAUGUAAUUCAAUAAAUCUGAAUUACAUUAGGAGAACUCUAUCUCAGCGAUUCAAUUUAGGACUUAUGAGGCUUGAAUUAUGAAAGACGAUCACUGUCUGCCUUCUGCCGUCACUGCAUUCGAACUAAAACUGAGAAGCAUUUCAUAAAGACAGUUUAUAUUAGUCGCUUUUAUAAAUGAAUAGAGUUACAUAUAACUUAAAAAAGACGUGGAUUUUUGGAGAUGAUGGUGUGCCUGGCUUUAGAAGUCAAUUGGGGUCAGCAGUAUGAGGCUUUUAAUUUUCCUCCGCUUUUCCAUUAGUGAACAGUUGCAGCUGUUUUUGCAGUGAUUAGCUUCACACAUGUGGCGUAUACAAAGUGCUACCAGGCUAACAGCUGAGUCAAAAGUAGAGGGCCAGGCCCCCUUGAUGAGGUUUUCUUACAAAAAAGAAAAAAAAAAUCUUUCCCCUUUUCUGAAAAUCUCCUCCUGUCUCCGUGGGUGUAAAUGAAAAGAAAAGUAUCUCCCCUUAAAAGUCUCAACGGAAAGUGAUUUGCAUUGUAUUAUUCAAAUUGCAGUUAAGUGCAUAAUACAGUCUAAUUACAUGGUACAGUACCGAGUGUGUUUUGAAUUCAUGCAUUUCAUUUUCAAGCAGGCUAACACAGAAUGAAUCACAUGAAAUGAAUAAUGGAAGACUGCUAUUGUGUGGAUCUAAAAAACUCAGUGCUUUUGCAUUUCACUGUGAGAGUGGGCUGAAAAUGCGCGCUCCUCUGUGGAAUGUAAAUACUAAAGUAAAUACUUGAGCAUAUGUGCAUGCAUCUGCACCUGUGUCUGCCUGCUUGUUUGUUUGUAUGAGUGGAUCCUGUACACCAGGGCCAGGGGACACUCCUACUUAUGAGACACUGUUCGUAUAGAUUAUGAAAGUGAAUGCCUGGCAUCUGUGGAGAUUCAGACCUAAUACAUUUGGUUUUACUAUAAAGCAUUCAACAAUAUUGGAUUUACGAAGAUCAUCAGGGAGCCGUGCUCUUCCAGUGUUGUUGAUAGUCUUUCAGUGUGGCGAGAUCCUGGGACCUGGGUUGGGAUUUGAGUGGGUCCCUUGAAAACUUAAGGGGUCCCUGAUAAGAAUUAGAGAGUCUAGAGCAGCAGUACUGUAGAAAUAUUCACAAUGAACAGAUGUAUCAUUAUAACUGUUAAAAAUGUUCUGGAAAUCAAAAGAAUAAUAAUUUAUCACAACAAUUUGCCUAAUCUUUGCCUUUGCUGGCAUUUCCCCCCACGUCUCCUCACAGUAUUUAUUCAGGAACUCCAUAGUAAUGGAAAAUGAACAGAGGUUGGAAACACAUGCAGGUAUAUGUUCUAUUUUUAAAGCUAUUUUAGAUAAAGAAUUAGAAAGAGUCCAUUUAGGAGGGAAAAAAAAAAAACAUCAGUUGCCACCUAAAAAAUGUCAUCCUUUAGAGCCAAAUCUAUUCAGUAUCUGGGUGUACUCCAACUGUUUCUGGCAUUCUGAAAACAUAACGCAUAGUGCUAAAAAUACAUUAUUUUCAGGAGAGAAACCGCUUCAUGAUUUUAUUAUAAGGAUACAGCACUUAGACAAGGGUAGGAAUUAUGUGUUCGAGAUUUUAUGUGAUUUAUUGUGAUAUAUGUUAUUUAUUUUGAAAAGAAAACAUGAAAAACAGGGUAUUUGGAAUCAGGAUCAAAAGUCAUAUGCAUUUCUACAGAUAUGAUGUUUGACAAUGUUGAUAAUGAAUUUCUUAUAGAGCAAAGAAACUCAUCUAAUGCAAAAAAUAUGGCUUGAUAUGACCAGUUUGCUUGCGAAAAUGAAAUUGUCAUGUACCACAGUGCAGCAGGGUCCCUCUAUGUUUCUUACUAUUAACCACGACACUCAGCAGGAACAAACAGGCCAACUGUCCCAUAAAUGGGCUCCUCUGUCUCUGCUGCAGUGAUCAGAGCAUCACAGAGACAUCACCUAUUUUUCUGGUUACCUGGGUGACCAGUCCCACCCCAUCUACUUAAUAAUUGGUAGGCUCGAGCAGCAACACUAGCACCUUGCCAAACAAUUUAGGCUGUGAUGUUUCAGUCGUAGCGCCCUGAGCAGCAAAACAAACAGAGCUGUGUGUGCUCUGAAAAAGAGACUGAACACAGCGGUGUCUGCCUAUGUGCUCAUUGUUAAUGCUGUCCUUUCCUUUGGAUCAUUUCAACAAAAAAACUUAACAGGCUACCGUGGUAUGCAAGCUACCCUGGCUAAUGCUAGUGAUCACCUCACUGGCUUGUAUUUCUCGAAUACAAGCCAGUUUACUCAAGCUAAUGCCUGAUGAAAGUGACACAGAGGUACAUUUAUAACAUAACAACAUUAAAAGCUACACCCCUGCUCCACUAAUGGUUCACAGUGUCACGCCAGGGUCCUCUCAAAUUUUUAUGGGUGAGGGACGCAGGAUGUGUACCAAGCGACAUCACUGCACUUUCUUCCCUCAGUAUGUUGAUCCAGAUUUAUCAUGUCAGUAAGGCAGCAGCUUAAGUUAAAAUGUAGGCCUGAGUAAGUGUGAGCAGUUACAAACCCAGUGUCAAAUGUCAAAGAAUGACCAUAAUCUUCGUAUCACUUAUAUGGCUUUGAUGGAAUUGUUGCUCUAAAUAAAUGAGUCAGCUAUUAAUUACUGUUCAUUUUGAUUAAAAUCAGCCCAGGGUUAAAUCAAAUAAAGGGCUGUGUGGGCAGAUGAUCAAAUAUAAUGGAGGAAAGCUUCAUUAAGAAUGACAUUGAUAAGUUUGAAAGUUUAUUGGACACCACACGUGUGUACUCAUCAUUCUUUGAUACCAUCUGGAAGGAUUUACAACUUUGAAAAACUGUCACAGCAACAGGAAACUCAGCUCUGGUUGGAACAAUCAUUGCACAAACAGUAAAAUUAAACCUGUUAUGUAACUACAUUGUCGAUGGUAUUCUUGCUGAUCAUUUUCCAAUGUUGUAGCUUGCAAGUCAGAAUCAGAAUACUUUAUUUAUCCCAGAGGAGAUUUGGUGAACUUGUGAACUUACUGCUGGCCCACUCUCUUUUAUUCUUUUGCUAGAGCCUUUUGUGUCAAAUGUGAAUGGCUUGUUUUCAUGCAGAGCUGAUUUGGCCCUCCUCAUCUACUGACCUAUAAUUUAGCUGGCUAGUUAGCUUAAGGUAACCAGAUUUCUGUAAUUAAAUCCAGGGACAUCCAGAGUGCUAAGCAAAAUGUGAUUUUAGGCCCUCUAUUUCGGCAUCGGCUUUGUGAUCUCAGACAACAACUCGGUGCUACUUAGUAGCAGCGCACGCCCCCCGUAAUAACUCCCCGUAACAACUGUUUUUCAGGACUGCAUGCAACAUGCUUACCCGUGCCUCCUACCUACUCGGCUACCGUAAAAUAACCCUUUUUCUAGUCUAUACGCAACAUUUUUUUCUCAUUCAUGAAACACUUAACUCGGGGACAUUUCCAGGGACAGCUUUAGCCGGUGACAGGUCAUCCAAAACGGGGACGUCUGGUCACCUUAAGUUAGCUACAACAGGCUACCUUCCUUGUCAUAUUUUGCAUGUAAGAAAUUUAUUCUGAAACAGGUUUUCUUUCAAAUGUCAUGAGCAUGUGUGGAAAAACUAACACAUACGUCCUGAAUUUUGAAAAUGGAAACCUGCUACAGUCUGUGACUAACAGCAUGAUCUGAUUGGAACUAGCAAACUUUAUCCAAACUGCAAAAAAAAAAAAAAAAAGAAAAAAAAAAAAAGAAAAAAGGUCCAAAAACUGAAUCUUGAACUUCCCACAAGAGCUGAUGGCUUCUUACUUUAUGGUGUAUCACUCAGGAUACCAUAUCUGAUGCAUCAUUUUAAACACAGUCUGCAAGAGAUCCGUCUGGCAGAAUUGGCGCUGGUGGGUGCUUUAUGCUGCACAGAGCGUUAGUUUUUAUGUUUGCCUUGCUGGAGUGGGAGUUUCUAUAUGGCUGCUCUGGGCUCACAUAAGAACACUGCGAUUCAGCUGAGACAGAAGAACAGAGGUGGAAAUAUAAUGCAUACCUGUGUUAACUGCUGUAUACUGCUAACAAUCUGUUCACACUGAGGACAAAAGAGAUAGCAUGACAGCUCAACAUAAGGAUAAAAAGAAGAGUCUGAUGGAUGUUAAGCCAUCAACUUUUCCUUUCUUUUCAUACUUCACAACAGAAUUAAGCUUCUUCAAGCACAUUGAGGUAGACAUGCUCUUUCAAAGCAGCUUGUCAAUGGAAGAAUAAAUGCUGGUGUAACUGACAAUGUUAAUGAUUGCUCUUUUUAUUCUCAUGUCCUGGUGUGACAUGACAGUGUGACAUUAAGCUAGCUCACACAGUAACUGGAACACCGGAACAGAAGCAGCUUAAUACAGCCAUUGCUUUGUUAUUUUCUCUGUUUUACACUCUUAAUCAGCUACUCUAACACUUCAGAGACAUUCUGGUCACCAGUAUUUAAAUUUCAUUUUAUGUAUAUGCUUUGACCUAGAUGGUUGUUAUGUGAAUGGCCUUGCUAUUAACACAUUAGAGUCAUUAGCAAUGGCUUCCAAAGCAUGAUUGACAUGUUAAUUAAUUAGAUGGCCAGACAAGAGAGAGUGGUAAUUUGCCUUCAGUAAAAUAGGUUAUAUUGUCGGUGUCAAGCCAUAAAUUCUGUGAGCAGGAACUGGAUCUUUCAACUGAACAAGUUUGACACCUCCCGUCUGAGCAAAGCCAAAAUUACUUGUAAAUCUGUCUGUGAUGUUUUAUGCUGCGGUGUAAGAACAUCCGGUUUGAAUGCACAACUAGGCUGUGCCCCCAGUAGACACAGAAACCCCACGAUUAUAUCAUCUUGUGCAGGGCUGGAAUUUUGGUGCAGGAAUGCAGGUAUUUUGCAGAAAAUUCUGGCGCUCAUAAAUCAGCCAACAUUAGAGGAAUCCUAUUUCUUUACAUUGUGUACAAAAGAAAGACACACAAGCCAUUAAUGAUGCAGCCAAUGUGCAGUUAGAAUGUUAUAUUCUUUGGCUGAGCAAAAUAUUGUUUGAACAUUGCGAUUAGGAUGUGCAAUAGUAUUGCAAGAUGUGCAUUGUCAGUCACAUGGCCAAUUAUAUGACAUGCUAUCAACACUUCUUCUUUUGAACAGAGAACUGACUGCUAUGCAUGUAGAGUCUGUACGUGCGUGUCACAUAACUGUAAACUGUAAACAUGCAUGAAACACUACUGCUGUCACGGAUACCUCAGUAAACCUCAGGGAAGCCUGAGACCAUCUUCGACUAUCUAUGUUCCACCAGCUACAAGAACUGUGCAUACGUGGCUUCAUCUUAUUAGUACAUAUGUAUGCAUGAAAAGAUUGCUACAGAGCUGGUGGAAAGGUCCUUUAAUUCCAGAAUAACAGGCACACAGCACAGCAGCCUUACAUGAGUUUGACGGUGCAUGUUGUCAACAACAGUUGGGCUCUGCAAAGUGUCUGCUUUCAAACAGUUUACUUGCCAGAUUAAAAGGUGAGGGAUAACAACUUGUUUUGUGUCAUUUCUUUGUCAUUUGUAUUCUUUUCUUUCAGAAGGAAAGAACAAUAUUGAUUGAAAUCACAACUUGGGUUUGGUGUGAAAAAUUUGGAAAUUUUACCUUUGGGCCCCAUUGCCGAGUCCCAACUUCCAUAGCCUUUAUGUUCCCAUUAACAUGAAGAAACAUUUUCAUUUUUGGAUAAUUCUUCUUUCUGCAAAAAAACAACAACAGUUAAAAAGUUAUGCAUCUCAGCUUUGAACCUAGAAAAAUCGAUCUUUUCACUGCACAAAAAUCGUGUGGGGAAGACGAGAAGCAUUUGGAAUAAUGUCUUCCUAGAACUCCCCUUACGUCAGUGCGAGUGUAAAGGAGGGUAAGUGGCAAGCCACCAAGCUGUAACAGUGUUGUUUUCACAGCUCUACAGGACUUGCCACCUAUGCGAUGGGAGUGCAACCACAUGCAAACAUGGAUUCCAACUGUGUAUAGAGAAACAAAGCUAUAACCAUACACAAACACAGGGCCUUUAAAGUGCAAAGGCACUACUACACAGGCACUCACUUAACUCUUAAUUAUCAUGGAUGCUCUUGUCAUCAAUUAUUAAGCACACUCUAGGCAUUGCUAAUGGUAUUUUUGGAGAGGAAGCUUUAUCUACUGUAAGAAGGUAGAUGUCUAGUUUGGGAGCCUGUGAAAUAAUUUAUCCUGGCCCCACAGGCAGUUUAAAUGCUGUCUGUAUUUAAAUUAACUGCUAUGUCUCAGCAAGUUUAGGUGGUUUUGUCUGACCCUUAUUUUGUAUCCAUUCAGACAGCAAUUACUUUCCAGCUGGCAUGCAAGACAGUUUCAAUAAUUUGAGACAGACGUUAUCGUAAAACCACUGCUCGGCUGUUUCUCUGCAAAGUGUACUGGAUACCAGAGCAUUGUUGUGAUUUUUUUUUUUACUUUUUUCUACUUGAAACCUUAAAAAAUCUGUACUUAAAAUCAUGAGUUAUGUAAAUGACUCAGACAGAACAUUUUUCCAUACUGUAUGUCUAUUUAUAAUGAUGCCAGUUUGAUUGACAGUAUUUCAUAUUAUAGCAGAUGGUUGCAGAAUCUGAUGCUGAUGAUGGACAUUUCAGGAAAAGAGAAUACCUAUUUGGGUAUAUACUGUAGGACAAGGUAUCCAGUGGCUUAAAACAAAAUAAAACACCUCAAUACCACCUCACUGUGAUGGGGCUCGAAAUUUGCCCCUCAGCUUUAAAACAAAUGCUUUCAAUUUGGAACAAUCCAAGCAUCACCAAAAUGAGACAUUGUGCUGGGUGAGGUAGGGAUACUGAAUUUUCAGCAGGAAAAGAAAGGCAGUAGGAGGCUUUGGUGGUGAAAUCAGCAGUGUUGCUUGUCAGCUCCUGUGUAAUGGAAAAUGUAUUUAAAAUGGGGUCUACUGGAUCUCAUUUUACGAAUCAUUAAUAAUAAAUUGGUGCCAUCAAUCCUAAUGAUGACGGGUGCCCUAUUAUCAGGCCAGCAUUUGGGGAAAUUUCUGUUGGCUUGGAUCAAUUAAUUCUCCUUUUCCUUAUGCAUAAAACAUCUGUUUGCUUUUUUGAAAAACACUGUUGCAGAAAAAAAGGACCUUGGGGGUUUGAAGCCUUGCUGGUCGGAUCAGUGACCUAUUUAACCUCUGUUUGUGGUUUCUGUUGACUGCUGAUACCGAGAGACAGAGGAGGCAGAUAGCAGAGGAUGCUAAGCUCCGGGCAAUGGACACAUACAGAAUAAGAGGGGGGGUAAAAGCUAAACCUACAAUAGCUGAGUUAAAGAUCCAUGACUAUACACGCUCCAGCCAUAUGACCACACUAAUAGAAGAGAUUAUUUGGAGUACUAGGGGCAUUAUGGUUAGAUGAUCAUGGAUAUGUCCUUGAACAACAUCCAUCAGUCAUAUUUUCCCCCUCGCUUCAUGCCAUGUUUAUGAGCGUGCCCUGAUAUGCAGCCAUUAUGUGGAUUUACUUUCAUAUACACAACAUGCAGGUAGGUCACUGCACACAAGUACAGGUUAUCAUACAGGCAUGUAAAACAAGAAGCCAUUUACCUUCUGCAGAGCAUUACUACAGCAGCAUUUUUCUGUCUCUUAUGUCAAACGUUCCGAAACUGGGAGUAUUGAAAAAGGCGCACAUUGGAACAUUUUUCCAGCAGGAUAGUUUAUAUAGGAAUGUUUAUGGCCCUCUGUAGGACCAGCGAUGCAUUGCCAAGCUCUGGAAAGGCGACAACUGAAAGGGUGUUGAUUUAAUUACAUUAAAGCUGCAUUUAACUUGCAACCAUGUCCACAGCCAAAACAUUUUGGGUGUUGGAUGCUUGUCUUACAAUCAGGAUUAGACAGAAGAAUACGAAUGAUGUGAAAUGGAACUACGGUAUCUGUUUCCCAUUUUAUCAUCUGUAUGCUUGUGCAUUCUCAACCCCCUAUUCACUAAGUGGUACUCUUGGUUCAGCAUUAGUUUAAAUUUGCCCAGGCAGACAUUAUCAAACAACUCUGCAAGUGGGAGCUUGCAUCAGCUAGAGCAGAUCAUCAAGUCAAGUUUGUGUUGCUAACAGCAGCUACCAGGGUGGGCGGCUAUGUGAGGGAAACUGACCUCACACAGUUUCACUGCAGUAUUUUAAGAUUUUGUAUAUAUGGACUUCCAACGUGACAGAACCUUCAUAAUUGUUCUUAGAAACAAUGGAGAGCAUCCUGUUUGGUUGCUGGGCCCAUCACAGAGAUUCUCUGUAGCUGAUGAAUUAAACUAUUCAGAAGGUUGUUGCUUUCUAUGUAGCAAAUAUAAGUAACUUUGGUGGGUUGAGAUCUCAGUGCAGAUCUCAAAGGGAACUAAAAGUGGGCACCCAUCUCUGAAACUGGCUGUUGACCUUGCUGAUGUCUGGCAAACGAUACUGGAGUAUCUGCUGCUGUUCUCGCAGACUACAGAGUAACUUCGUUUCCCCAGGGUCUAAGGCUUAUAAAUUCUUCCUCCGUACUGUAAAUAAAUCUUUCUCUUCUUGUGUGUGUGUUUUUGUGGGUUGCAAAAAGAGACUAGAGCUUGCAUUGUUGUGCAACCCUGUGAUAAAUAGAUGUACCUUGAACUGUUAGUCCUAAUCACCCAGACCCUGAACUCCUUAGGGUCCAAGGCAAUAACCAGAGUUUAGGGAUGUUUUAUUUACAACAGAUGUUUGUAUUAAUGUCGAGAAUACAAAAUGUUCCUGGAUGGCACUUACUAUGAAACAAAUGUGAAUAAUACUCGGCAGAGUGUCCACUCAAAAUCCCCCCCCUUCCAUAGAUAAAGAAGCACCCAUUGAAAUGUCCUAUUUGUGAUAGGACAUUUUUCUUUGGUAUUGCUGUUAAAGCACAAGAAAUGAAGCCCAGCAUGGUAACUUAUUUGUCUUUUGGAAACAACUGUAAAAUUUAUGGGCUGUUAAAGGAACAAAUUCUAAUUAGAUUUGAGCUGAUAUGGCUUCAGACUAACUUUUUUUAUAACCGUCCCAGAACUGGCACAAAAAAAAACAAUUGUAACUGUCCCAAAGUGAAUUUAUAUUGUUCCAAAAUCAAAAUGCAGUUUCUUUACUUUCCUAUUAUCAUCUACAGCUGUUGUCAGUGGCAUAAGAAGAACAACAUUGAAUAGCGGAAACAAAAUAUUUCUUCAUCACCUAUCACGGUAAAUUAGGAGUUUGGGGGGUUGAAUUGUUUGCUGGACCAAACAAGCAUCCUCAUGUUAUGUUUGGCUCUGUUGCUCUGAACAAAUACUCUCAGUCCUUUUGUGCUUUCCUUUGUUCAUUCCUGUAACUAGAGUAACAAAGUCUCCAUAUGCUCUUUAUUAGCUGAUGCCAGUUAAACUAGCUGUCAAUGCUAUGUAACCAUUGAGGUGAUGGUUGGCUCCCUCAAACAACUGUCUCAGUCAGAGUGAGAUCUCAUUUUGGUGCACCUUGUGAAAGUGGCGGAGUAAUAUUACAGCAGUGAGGAAAUUCACAGCAGUUCUGUCCAGUCUUCUGAAGGAUGAAAACAUGUCAGAGACCAAAUAGAAGCGAGAGGCUGGUAUCAGUCAGCAUCUAUCUUUAGAGGCCUGAUUGUGGAGAGGUCUGCUACCAGGGUACCAGGAGCCUAUCUUUCAAGAAGUAACCUCAAUUUAGUGUUAGUCAUCAAACUGACCUGUAGUGACCUUGUAGGCGCUGUUUGUCGCUGCACAGCAGUGAUUAUCUUUAAUGUAACUUCAAGAACCUCAUCCCGGCUCCAUUGUCCUUUAUUAGAUUUUCUUCAUCAAAUGUUUGUUCUACUUGUUCCAUCCCGCGAGGUUUUAAGCAGUUCAUUGUGAUGACAUGCAGCUUCUUCUUCAGUGUUUGAUUUCUCAGUUUAUGCUGUUUUUGACCUUCAUCAUCCUAGCUUUUGCAAUACAUUUGCUGUUGAAUCUGUUUUUUUUAUUGAUUGAAUAUUUGUUUAAGGGCGGCAGUGGCUCAGGAGGUAGAGCAGCCGUUUAACAACCGGAAAGUUGGUGGUUCUAUCCCCCCAUAUCCCAAAUCUGUGUGCUGUGUCCUUGGGCAAGACACUUAACCCACUUUACUCCCAGUGUGUGUCCUCCACUGGUGAAAUCUGAUGCAUUGUUAUUAAUUGUAUUUGUUUUACUCUUUUGUUUUUCUACAGCCUAUUACACCCAGUGGAAAUCUUACCCAAAGUUUUCACUUGCUGGCCUGCAUAAGUUGUUUGUAGUUGGUAAUAUUACUUUCACUUUUUAAGAUAGUUUAAAAUAACAGCAAAUUGGUAAGUGCACCUCUAGUGCUUGGGGACUGCAAGGUGUUUCAUCACUAGUAAGUUAUUGUAUUAUUAAAUAAAAUUAUUUUUUAAUUGUAAUGCAUUAUGAAUAAGUUUCUGAUUAGAGUGACAUAAACUCCUCUGAUACAGGCCCCCAGUGUAUUUUUUAUGGUCUGACAGUUUGAAUGACUCUCCUGAUAUCUUGAUAACUUCACUUCUUGCUGCUUUAGCUUCUUUCUUCUGUUCUAUUUACUUUGCAGAGAUUUUCAUCUGUGUUUACCUCUAUCACUAGAUCAUGUAUACUGCCGUUCAAGUGUUUGUUUUGCUUGUGAAUUGGUUCUCCAGCUGAAUCCUUUUUGUCCUUGAGUGAAGUCUUUGAUUAUCAAAGCUUUUUCGGUAUUAUUUAAUUGAAUAAACAGUAGUUUAUUGCAGUAAAUGGCCCUUUAUGGUCUAAAGUAUGGGUCUCACCCUGAAUUAAUACCAAAGAGGAUAAGUCUCCAGGGUUUUUAUACAUAAUGUAUGUCCUCAUUUGCCAGCUCUGGUCUUUUUCAUUUGAUCAAUGGCAUGGACCUUACUGGUACAUUUAUCUGACGAUGUUUAGACUUAAAGUGUGUGCUUUGACAGCAGCAAACAUUACCAUUUAAAAUGACAAAACAACAUCUAUGUUGUCUCAUUUGUCAACCUGUUCUCACUCACAGCUAGAGUGGAACAUGAAACUAUGAAAGUCAUAGUUUUUCAUCAUGUGUAAUGUUGUGUCUCACAACAUUACACAUGAUGAAAAAUUAUUUUGUUGAAAUCAGGCUAUCUGAAGGUCCAGCAGUGAUACUGCAUGACUGACUUUUAAAUGUUGUACAAGACAUGCUUCACAUUAUUGAUGUGUCCAAGAAUACAGUUUGGGAAACCUGAGAGCUUCAGUGACUUCUCAAUGCCUCACAUUUUUCAUUACAUUUUUACAUUUUGCACAAAACUGACUCACUGUGUAUACAUGCAUUUUCUGCCCACCGUGAUCACGCACAUUUAAAGUGAAACAUAAAUUUGCCUUGAGGUUAUGUUUGUCUUUGUAAGUUAGGCUGUCUUAAGUAAGUGUGGUAAUACUCCUGCUAGUCUGUUUGAAUUCAAGUUUGAUAGAUGCUUACAAAAAAGUUGCAAAAGUAAAACAUGUUUGGGUCACAGGUUGUAGUCAUAGUUCCCACAGGAAAAGUUUCAAGAAUUUAUUUUUGAUAUAUUGUUAGAAAGAGAAGGUUUAGAGCUGGACUUCAUGGUCUCUCAAAAACUGCCUUCAUUAACUAGAUGAAACACUUGUCUCCCGUGUAGAAUUUUCUGCAGAAUGAUUAUUACUUUGUUUUAGUGUGCCAGGAUAGCUGACAAUCAGAUUCAGAUUCAGAUUCAGAUUCAGACAACUUUAUUUAUCCCCUAAGGGCAAUUCUGUUCACAGUUACCCUGCCGUUUGAUCCAUCCAAACUCACCAAUCAGCAGACAAACAGACCAGACAAGUGCAAGACAUUAAUAGCAGCCAGUAGACAACCCCAUUCCCUUGUCAGUACUUACAGAUCAGCAGAAUCAGCACUAAGUAGCUAAAUAAGUACAACAUCAUGUUUUUUGGGGGGGACUUGUCCUCUGUUGUUCGCCCAGACUUGAACAAUGAUCAGCUAUAACAACAUGGCCACCUGCCUAAUACACUUACAUAAAUUUAAACCAGAUAAAUGCAGAGUAUUUUGAGUGUAAUCAGAACAAUAUAAUAUAAAUAACACUAAUAUCAACAUUAUAUAACAUUAUAUUAUCAAUAACUAAUAAGCUUUAAGACUGUUCUCUAUGUGAAAUGGAAUUCUCCUCCUGCUUAUAAUAUCUCUCAAUUACAAUGUCUAUAGGACAAAAACACUGCCAAAGCCAAUAUAAACAUAUACAUGAAAAAGAAUCAUGGCGCCCACAAGUAAGGGGCAAAAACAACCCAAAAGUUCUAGAAAAGGAGAAAUGUUGUGGGCGGUAGAGACGUGGCUAGGAGAAGAAGUAGCAUCGGUGUUUUUUUGUGUUUUUCUUUUCAAGCAGCCGAGCUGAGCAUGAGUUUGCGUUGCAAUGUUGAUUUCUGUUAAAGUUAUGAAUAAAGGUGAGAAGAAGUGAAACUAAUCCCAGUGUUGGUUUGUUCAUUUGACAACAUCCACCACAGACUGAGUGGGAUUUUCCUUUUCUGUGCCGCAUUCUGCUCUCAUUCAGAUAGGCGAUCGGGAUGUUUGGAUUUCAAGUAAUGAAUUAAACCCGACUUGAUGAAACUCUUGGCAGAUGGCUCUUAUCUAGACAAGUGCAUGCUGGUCACGGUUUUGCUUGUGUCAUCACAACAUCUGUUUCAGCUGUGUUGUUUCGGUGAGAACAGUGUUUUGGCCGAAAAACUUAUGGGCUAUUUUUGGUCCAAAAUUUCCAGCGGCUGAAUUUUCGUUGCAUCCCUAAGGAUUACCCAACAAUACAAUAAGCUUGACAUAUGAGUUGUAAGUGACACAGCAGGAGAACUGAUAAAAAGACUGAUGUGGAGUCUGGUAACGAUUCCCGUCGUUCCCAGAGGAUGAUUUCUUGUAUCUUGGGUGACCUCUUGGUUUGUCAUCUAUCAUCAAGUCAAAAGUUUCAGUCAUCCUAAACCUUUGGUUCAUCUGUCUUUACGAUGAGCAUCACCAGGUGACUCCUAUUCUUAUUCCCUAGUGGCAUGCAAAAUCAGAUGCUUUAUUACCUUCAGUUUUUAUUACAUUGCCAAAAUUGUCUUGCCUGGUUAAUCAGUGAUAAUUCCCUGCCAAUUAAACAGUCACGUAAUGUGUGUCUCGGUAUAAUAAAAGAACCACUUCAGUUUUGUAUUUAUCGGUACUGAAAGCCACUUUCAGCUGCAGUCAGAUUGGGCCCCUGAAAAUCUGAGGUACUUGUGCUUUUGAAAUGUUUCUCAGAAAAAAAAAAGUAAUUACCUCCAUUCAUCUACAGCCCCUAGUGAAUCAAUGUUUUCUGGCGUGCAAGGGGCUCUUGAGAGUUAAUACUUUGCAGUCCACUAAGCCACCAAAGAAUACGCUGCUUUCCCUGCCAUUGUGGUGCACACUAAAUAUAACAUUGUUAGUGGAAAUAUAGGCUUAAGUUGUGGUUGGAAAUGUUAUAUCCACAUUGACGAAGAGUCGUUGGUGUACAGGGACAUUCCCAGCCCAACAUCACUGAUUGUUAAAACCCAGACUGAGUACCACUCCUCCUCAUGCCUGCCUCGUCAUGCUGCUGCUCAGCUCGUUUGGCAUCUAACACCCGGGGCUACAGAUGAGUUACGUCUGCGUGCAAGCAACAAGGUCCAGCGACCAGGUCUCACUGAAACCGCACUAGACCUAUAGCCUGCAGGCAACCUCUGACCAUUCCCGUAACAUUCAUCUAUCAGUGCUGACAUCAUCCACACCACUCGCAUUAUGAUCAAUGUUGCAAGAAGUGUUUUGGUUGCCUCGGGAGGAGCUGCACUUUGAUUCAGUUCCUGUCCUGCACCUCUUGUGGAGUGUGCACAAGCAGCCCGAUGUUGGUGGUCACAAGAACCAAAUUAAGAAGCUCAUGUCCGACCUGCAGAUGAACAGGAGUAAUGUUGUUUGACAGGCUACAGGUUUCGUUUUCAAAGAAUGUGAUAUCAGACAAGCAGAACAACACAUGAAUGAGUAUAAAGUAGUGUUUGGGGUUAUGAACAAAAUCAUAUUACAGUAUGAGUAAUUUCAUAUCACGGUAACGGCAUAUCACGGUAUCCCCCCCCCCGUAAAUUUGAUUAAUGGCUUAAAAAUAAUCAUACUGUCGCAUUUGUUCAUUUUCCUUUUAUUUUAAAACUCAGAUUUGUAUACAAAUGCAAACAAAAUGCCUGACCAGUCUGGCGAUUUUUAUCAUAUAGUGUUCCUUUGGUGAAAGACUCUACCAAGCACUUUUGUAUGAGGAGCUGUUGCAGCUUUAUUUUUUGGUGCAGCGGGUGCGCCACGCAUCUUUUGGCUCUCAUAAUAAAGCUUGGUGUGUUUCAUCUUUAGGAGGUGGAAGAGGUGGCUGGUGUGUUCACCUCCAGCAAUGACAGCUACACGACACUUUUAGCAUGGUAUUGUUUAUUGAUCAUUGUCGGAUUUUCUAAAUCCAAAGAAUCUUGAGGCAACCGAUGUUGCGACUCGCGCUCUUUUUUGGAACCAGUUCCUCCUCCGCUUCCACGUGUUGGGUGGGUCAGGCUGCCUCUGUUUGCUCGGUACUGCCACUAAUCUCCACGUCCGCCAUGACCACCACCAAUGAAACUGUUUCUUCUUUGUCAAAACUAUGCCAAGCAGUCUGCUGGAGAUGUUGUUGAUUAUAGGGAGCGCACCCAAACCAGACUAAUUAAACUAAUUUCUACCGGUAGACAUUUUUAUACCAUCACACGGUAUACAUACCACCCAACACUAGUAUGAAGUUAUUGUAUGCUAAAGUGACAAUAAAUGUCAAAACAGAUUAAAAAAACUGUGUUUAAUACAUUUUUCGGUCUUAACUAUCACAUUUCAUUGAAGCCGUCAUUAUGCUGCAUGAGUCCAAUGUCAGUGUAAUGUCAUGUAAACGGUCUUUUGUCAUGUUAUCUUUUUUUUUUUACAACAGGAAUAUAAUAUUAGCUGAGUGUCUCGUUUUGGGCUUACAUUAACCUGCCAGCGUACCAUAUCGCCAUAUAUGAGGAAUGCCUCAUAAAAAGCUGAAGCAGUGAUUUAAAAACAGUUGCCUCUUGCAGAGAGCUUUCUUAUCUGAAUUAUGUCAACGCCUGCCAGCAAUGAGAGGUGUGUGCAGAGGAGCUCUGCCGUUAUCUGGAGAAGCAUGUGAAAAUAGGCCUUCAUUGUUUGAUGUCACUGUUUUAAUGCCAUGUCUUGCCCCUCGCAAACAAACAAGCGGAAGACAGCUUCACAGAUUGCACUUAGUGAGCAGGCACUCAGCGGACAGGAGUCAUCUUAAAAUGAAGGGCACAUCAGGUGAGAAACAGUGUCCGAGGCAUUUCCUCCACUAGAUUGGCUUAGAUUUGGACAAACAAGUUCAUUUCCUUCAACUACAAGCCUAGUUGUGACAUUUGCAUCCACUUAGAUGAUUGUAAGUGACAGCUACCAUGUUUUGGCCUAUACUUAGCCGUAUGCUGUGACUUUCUUCCACUUAAAUUAUUCAGGUCUUUGUUGGACAGUGUAUUGCACCUCUCUCCAAGGCUUUUUAACAAGUUCUGAUUUGUAACAAGCCACUUUUGAAGCAGAAGCUCCUGCGUAACACUUGACUAGUUAAAUUUUGAAGAUCAGAAUGAUCUGGUGCUCACAGGGCUUUCACACUACACUGAUUUUCUGUUUUAGCAUGGACUGAACCUGAUGAAUUCAUAUCCCAUAACACAUGCUGCAUCUAGUUGUGAUUCAACAGCGUAAUACACAUAGGGCAGUCUUUCACAUAAUCAAAUUCAACCAUGCACACUGUUAGAUUGUUGGCCACUGCUUUGUUUUGAUAUAAUCAGAGCUGUGCAGACACCUUUUCCUACUCAGUUCAUGGAAAAUAUAAACAUGCUGUUCGAGACACCUUCUGAGGGCAUCACCGUCUCUUCAAAAAUCCUUCUCUACUGCACUGAGUAAUGUGCUUCAUUAGCAUGAAGGGUGAGAUAAAAUUCAAGCCAGUGCAUUUUGUACAGUAUUCAUACUGUAUUUUGUAAUUAGUUUUAUACAAUACAAGGAAAUCAAGGGUGGAACAAGAUAUCAAUAUGGCAUCAUAUCAGUGUCUUUACCUGUGUCAUACAUUGUGCAAAGUAUUUAUAUUGUAAUUGGAAAGACUACUGCACUCCGUUUGGAUUUACCAGCCAAUCUGGCUCAUAGAAUCACUUCUUAAUGACUCCUCCCUAAGGCGCUCAUGACAAUAAUGAGGGUAAUGUGAACAAAAAUCACAACUGGCUGAAGAAGCAACCCAAAGGAAGACAGUAAGAUCAUUUUAGAGAGCCUUGGAAAAAAGCUGAGAAAUGUGCAUGUCACUCAUAAAACCAAAAUGAAGAGGAAACGUUUAUACCUGCUAUUUAUGCUGAGAUGAAGGUAAAGGUCGAGGACACACCCUUGUCUGCAUAGAGAUUUUUAUUCCUCUGCAAUGGGUGUUCACAUGUCAAGGAGUCUCUUGAGACAUUCACAGCCGAUUUUGUUAAAAAUGAGAGGGAAAUGCAUUUCUUGGUACUGCAAUCAACCGUGAUGCACAAGAAUUACACCGGUGCUCAUAUGGAUGGAGGUAUAUCAAAAACUCUGAGGAAUGGAGUCUGUCUGAAAAAAGAUCAAGUUGCUGACUUUGAAGCAAUUGCAGCUGUAGAUAUUAUAGGCUCAGUCGAAAACAAGCAAACAAACCUGAUAAAAACUGAAAUCUGUGAAGAAAGAAUUUGAAGUGGUUGAGCUUUCAUGCUUUGCUCUCAGUUUGUAAAUACAGAUCAAGUAAAUGAACAGACCCAGAAAUGGUCAUUGUGACCCCUUUGUUCACUGCAUGUGAAAUGAUACAUACUGUAAAUGUAGCUUCAUUUGGAAAUAGUGGCCCCCCCACAUGCCCUUGAAAAUGGGACUUUGGGUACACUCUUUUGCUGUUAACAGUGGUUCCAGAUAAUGCUUUGUGUGUAUGGCAAAGCUAACUUCAGCUCAGCAUGUAGAUAACAUAAUUUGAGAUUUUGUAAGUUAAUCAAAGUUAUAAAUCUAGCCAUAUUGCAUUGUGUGUCCUUUGAUUCAUGGCCACACUAGUUGAGUGUUUUUACUCGAAAUAACUCAGAUGGAUGGACAUACUUUUUAGGAGAUAAUUCAAGUACUUUUUAUGUCUUGUAAAUGAAGUUAUUUUGGUGGAGUUUUGCUGUUAAGCCUCCUUUUUUCUCUUUGCAUCAAGCUCCAUAACUGAGUCAGAGAAAUACUGCUGCGUGUUUUAACCUGUUUUCUAAUACUGUAUGUGAAACCACAUUUUCCAUGACUGUUUUUUAUUCAUUACCAUGUAUGAUAAUCUUCAUGUUUGUGUGCAUGAUGGUUCAACAGUAAAGAUGAGGACUGCUUUUCUUCUUUCGUAUUGUUAUUUUAUUGUUAUGCCAUCUUUUUAUGUUGUAUUAUUAUUGUAUGGCAAAAUAGGACACGCUUUUCAAUCUGUUCUGAAAUUGCAUGCUGAGAUGCAGAAUCCUCAGUUAUUCCGGGUACAGUUCAUGCCCCCAUGAAGUGGACAAGUGAGCAACAUCACUGGCAGUACUAUCUUUUUUCCUUUUAGGUUGGGCGAGGGAUGUUUGAAACGGACAAAGCUGAUGGGGAUGAAGUUAGAACAAAGGAACUAAUUUGCAAGUUAAUAGUGCUUAAUCAGUUUGUCGCAUUAGUGCCUGUUAUAACAAAGGGAUAUGGGCAGAGGGAUUUGGACAAAAAGGGUUUAGAGCUGCUGAAAAGGCCAGGGCCCGGAUUUGAUAACAUUACAGUGAGUUUAACAUUGUGCUGGUUGAAGGUGAACGAGUAUGCACUCUGCAGCCGGUAAUGUGGAUAAUCAUGCUCAGACAUGCAGUGGUUAAAUAAUCAGAGAAAAUAAUGAAUCGACAGUCCUACACACAUACAUAUAUACAAACUAUAACAGCUCACUUGAUCAGCCAUCCAGUAAAUAGUCUUGUGCUUAUGUUGGGACUGAAUUUUAUUAUAAUGCUUAUAUAGCCGUUCCUGGGAGGAUUAUUUAAAUAGAGCCCUUCCCCCCUCACAGGCUGACUAAGCACUUCAAGAAAACCUGGGAUCUGGAGAGAAAGAGAGAGAGAGAGAUUUACAACCUGUAACUAAUUUCUGAACCAUUUCCAAAUUUUUGUGGGAUACCGACUAGACUUUUGACUUAUUAAAGUGAUGAAUAUUCAAUUUGCAAAGAUAUGAUCUUAUUCUGCAAAAGAGCAAUAUUAAUAGGACUGGGUUACAUGCUCUUAUCCAAACAAGUAUAAAUUAAUCAUCGCUCCCCGGUGUUGGCAGAGUGUUCUACAGCAAACAUCUGUAGCAUAAAUAAAUCCAUUGCAAUCACAUCAUGUCUACCCCCACACAAACAGGAGGCUUACUGAUUUUCUGUUUACAUGUUUAGCAGGGGAAAUGUUGCAGUUGUCCCUGAACCUGGGUAUAAGAAAAACCUUGCUGCAGUGUUCAAAAAUGAUUGGGGUUUCUAUAACAUUUAAUAGGGUUGUUAAUUUGUAAUGGGAUAGUUAUUUCCCAGAUGUAUUGUGAUAGAGAUUGGUGUUUCAUUUAUAUGGAGACUUAAUUGCCCCAAUUUCUCCUUUAAAGAAAAUCAGCAUAUGUUAAUGUACUAUCUGUUUCGCCCCUAAAAAGGAAGGUGAUCUGAUACUGUAGUGCUUACUACAAAUUGCAGGAUGUCAAACGACUGAUAAUGGUCAGUUUUUAGGUGCUGAAUCUCCACCUUUGACUCAGGUAAUACGAUUACAAUCUGGCGAGGCUGUCAUACUUUAUAACACAUAAACCCUCGUAUGAGAUAUUGUUUUCAUUACAGCUCAGUGAGCAGCUCCGGUAGCAACAGAAAAACAAUAGUGCUGGUUUAAAACAGAAGCAUCAAACAGAUGGCAUUCUGCAGAGCCUGCAAUAAUUUUCCUUUAUGGCAUUCAAGAACUGAUGCAACUUAGAUCACAAUUGGCACCAUACACAGCAAGUGCAGAUGGUGUUUUUGACUGUUUAUCGCUAACAGUCUAGAAACCAGGUAAAAUUGCUUUCCCAGGAUAUGGUUGGCUUGUCACAGAUCCUGUGGCUACCCCCUCUUGCAGCAACCUUUCUCUAAUUCCCGGACUUGUGAAUUUACUCCCCCUGUCACUGUGCAUGUUUCUUCCUCCCACUCUGCCAGGAGCUGUCAUCUUUGAGCUGUCCACCAGAUGCCCUCAGACUUUCCCAUGCUAUUCCAUGUCCUCCACCCCCAUCUGUUACACAAUCACUUCCUCCCCCCCUUACCUGGUCUGCUUCCAUUCCACCACUUACCUGUCCACCUGCUUACCUGCCAUGAAUUCUGGCCUUAAAGGUCAAUCCAAAAUCAGUCAUAACGCAUCCUACUGUCUGCUUUUGGGUGCUAUCCCAGGCAUGACAAAGCUUAGUGUUGACUUACAAACAACAGCCACUGUUACUUGAGAAAUUACUGAGACAAAUGUUUGGAAAUGAAAAGCCCCCACAGUUAUGAUGGCCAGUCUGGAUAGAUCAUCUGGACUCCAGUAUUUCAAGAACUUUUCCAUCUUUGACACAUUUUGUUCAGAUACUUUUACAAAUAGAUGAGAAAAUCUCUUUAUACUAAAGCUAGGGCUGUCACAGUAACUGUAACAAUCAUGGUGCCGGGUAGGCCACCUUCGUAACUGCACGUGACUCAAUCUCACCCUUACCCAAGCUCAGACCGACACAUUGGCAACUGCUCUGGUACCUGAAAGAAAUCCAACUUUGAGAAAAUGUUGUCCUUCAUCAACAUGAAAAGGGGGAACAAGGCAACAUCUAAAACCUGUGUUUAAGAUCCCUGUAAAAUGAGGACAUUUCAGAUUUGAGGUCUUAUGUAGCAAAGGUACCAUUCAGGUCUCUAGGUAAAGCUCCUGCCCCCUUCAGCACAGAGUCACACAGCAGCUUAUACUGGUUAGAGCCUACAGCUUGGAGACAUAUAGCCAAUACUGUCCGUUACCACAGUGCUGUGUUUCUGCAGUGAAGCUAGUUAAUGUGAUGAUUUCACUGAAAAAAACAGAAAUAAAAAAACUAGCAUCUUCAUUCGUAGUUACUGAAAAAGUUACUCCAAUAAUUAACUAUUAACAGAUUCCCACAUCAGCCUUAACUGCAACAUAUCUUGCUGUCAGUGCAAUGAGUGCAUGCCCAUCAUUGAAUUAUCCUGUGAGCAUGGAGGGAACCUGUAGGUUUCUGGAAUAUCUAAGUCUUGUUUCAUGAAAGCCAGAGACUCUUAGGACGAGUCUGACUUUUAUGUACUUUUCAGUUUCCUGCCUCUCUUGAGUUAGCACUUUUUCAGGGCAGACAAUACAAAUUCAAUCCUCUGUAUCAAUGCUUGGUUAGGGCUGCACAUAGUUGACAAACCAAUUUAAUACCUUCACCUUUGCAAGGUGGCAGCAGAAUCACUGGUGGGUUUAAAAAAAUGUAUAUUUGUCUUGCUGUAGGCCAUGCUGCCAGUCAUAUGUUGUGCAUAUGUUGUAGUGCUUGUCGCUACCCGAUACGUCCAGGAAACCUGAUUUGUACUGUGCAUGUGCGAAACAUACAGCACUUCCUCUCUUGACAUUUCAGUGUAUUUACGGCAGUGAGUCGCUACCUACCCGAUCUGUACUGCACAAGUGCAAAUUUACUUCACCUUAAAAACUUUAUUUAAACGAUCGAUCAAAUCAGAAACAAGCUGGUGAUGUGACAGGCUAUGUAGCAGGAGGCUCCAGAGCUAAUGCAGAGGCAUUCGCCAGAGCUCCUGCCCAGCACGGUGAGACCUUUUGGGCCACAAAUAGCACCGCCACCCGGUCAAAAUGAUGGUUCUCUGACUUUUCACAGUAUCAAGGUGGGAUGCUCUGGAGGUGUGUGGCCACCUAUGGCGCACCCUCCCCAGGCCACAGAGAUCGCCACAACCGGGUCAAAUUCAUGGUUCUCUGACUUUUCAAAGUAUCAAGAGGGGGAUUUAUUUCAUUGAUUUUAUAAAUUAAAUUUAUUAACAAGAACCCUUUACAUCAUGGACAAUGAAUUCCAGCGUUUUUAAAACGCAUACAAUUUCAACACUGAAAUAUACACAUUCAUUCAAGCCUUUUGUAACUACAUUGCAGUUUUACAAUUUAGAUGGAGUAGGAACCUUUAACCAUAAAACUGGGCGCCAUUCCCUUGACUUUCUUGGCUCUGCUUCAGUCGGGGGAAGCACUCCGUUCAGGAGAAAAGAAAAGCGUGUGGUUGGUGACAAACUGAAGCAUCCUUUCUGACUGUAGCGAGCUCACCUCGCUGAUGCUGAAGCUGUCGAACAAGUGUCGACGCUGUCGCAAACCGUAAGGGGCAAUGAAUUGCUGAGCUGUCGCAAAGAUGGCUAGUAGAGGAAGUGACAUACAUUUCACACAUGGGCAGUACAAAUCAGGUUUCCGGAGAAGGAUCAGGUAGCGACAGUGCUGCCACCCACCACCAGCCAGAACUGCACCAUAGCAAUGGCAUCUGCAAUAUUGCUAAUGUAAGCAAAUAUUCAUCUAACGUGUUCAGCCAUGUUGGAUAAACUGAGCUCAAUCCUGGCUGUGCUUUGACCGUUUUCUUACCUUUGGACUAGUUGAUAAGUUUGAAUUCAAGUUUCAAGCAGGAAAUCCGUUGGAAACAGUUACAGCUUCUUUCAAGAUAUGAUUUUAAAAAUAUAUGUAGAAAUCUGACAUCAAAAAGACUUGCUGAUUUUCAGGCAUGUGGGAUGCAAAUACUCUCAACUAAGAAAGGCAUUCAGAGUGCCGACCUCGGCUAAGGCCGGUGCUCUUACAUUCUUCAAUUCUGCGAAGCUGCAGUGUCAGCCUCUCAAAUACUUAAAAAAAAAAAAAAAACGUGUGUGGUUGUAUGCAGGUGUGCAAAAGUGCUGAUCAGAAAUGGUAUAUCCAGCAGUUGUUAGACAUACUUGUUCUUUUCUCUGUUCUUCAGGCAGGAAAAUGCAACUGAAGAUGGGAUGAUGAACUCAUUACAUGAUUUCAAGUUUAACUAGGGUUGAUAUGAAAACAGCACUAUCCUUUUGUUUCAAUCUCCCUGUAUAUGAGUGCUGUCUAGACUAUUCAUUAGAUGUUGCUUUAUAUAGUUCACCCCCAUAAUAAGAGCUGAUUGAAAUAAGUUAUUAAAAGACGUACGUCUUUCCUUAUUUUCUUCCACAUACACUUGUCUUAUGAAUUUCCUGUCAGUUGAAUUUGGUACGUCUGUAGUAGCUGUUCACUUUCUGUUUUUGCUGAGCUAUAAUUUGUAUAUUAGUCCAAGACAUCCAAAAUAACUGACUGUUGAGUAUGAAUCCCUCAAUAUACCUGAGUUAAAGCCCAUAACCUGCCAUUCAUGGCACCCUAUCACUUCAGAUGUUUGAGCGAUGCAGAGGAGAGAGCGUGACACAUAUCUGACAGACUGGGGAGUAAAAUAAGCUUGUAUGUGUUGUUUUCUAGUCACUCUCUACUUUAUGUAACAAACAUCUCUAAAAGCAAUUCUGCUGCUGCUGCUUCUUGCACAGUCCAAAUUGCUCUGUAGAGCUGAUAAUGGUAUUUUAUCAAGCGUCCCCAGACAUCCAGAGACCAUUAAUAAAUGCUCCCUGGCUGGGUGUUACAUGAUGCACUAAAGCCAACUGGUCAAGACACAAGCUGGAAAUUAAACCUGUUGUGGAAGGAAGGGGUGGAGAUAAAUCUCACUUUAACUAUCCAACAUAACCCGUUUGGGGAUUGGCAGAAUAAACGCAGAUCAGGUGCACAGCUGUCCAUUGUGUAUAUAUAAGAUAAAUUACAAUCAUUCAUGAAGGUUAAGUCUUAUUCUGAAAUCGACGGAUUCAUUGAACAGCUCUGUUGAUAUCGUCUGUCCAAAUAUUUAACAUAGCCAUUAUAAAUAAUAAUAAUAAGAAGAAACAGGUCAAAGAUACAGUUAUUUUGGCAUGUUUUGGGAAAUUUUCAUGCAGUUUUUCAGUAAACACAAUAGUUUUAUUCCAUCACUUCACAGUAAAGCAUCAAGUAAUAGUUAAAUGGGGAUCUAGAGACUAUAAACUUUAAAGUUGUGAAUAUAGUUGAGGUAAUUAAUGCGUAAAUCUGCUUCAAAUCAAACUGUCUACUUUGGAGAGGAAUCAUUUGAUGAUAAAAUGUCAGUUUUGUGUGAUUAUGUUCACAUGAUAUGUGUCAACAGACAAACAAAGGCUACCACAACAUCAUAAUGCCCUAGUUAUGUACCGUGGAUGCUGGAGAAUAAGCGAUACCGAAUUCUGAUGAUAUGAGGUUCGAAAAUAAAGCUGCUGGUCAAACAACCUGAUGCCAGAGCAUGCGGAAACAGUGAUGGCUGACAGCCAUGCUUCAGCUUGGCCUGGCUUAGUAUUUACACAGCUGUGUCUGGUCUGGAGCACAAAGAUGCAGGUCAGCCACCUCACUGACCACAGUGGGUCACCACAACAUGCAGACACCAAAAACAAACGAGCACAAUCUGUUUAGACUCAGGAACUUGUGGGUGGGGGGCUUAUUAACAUGACUAACAGUGAACACAGCAAUUUACUCUCCAAGUGUUAAAUAUAAUAAGCUGUGAACUCUCACCAUCACGCUUAUUGCAAUCACUUUCUGUGUACAGCUCGUGCGUGAACCAGCUGCUGUUAUUUUUAGAACAAAGAAGUUGAGAGUUAAGUUGUUGCAUCGAAUCAACACAAGAAGUAGCGUUCUUUGUCAGCAAGGCUAACAGAGGUUACUUGGAUGAGUAGAACUGAUUGUCUUUGGACAGCAACUCCUCCCUGCUUAGUCAGCUGGGUUUGUCAUUACCCCAUGGGCAAUCACUUUUAAUGUCUCCUGGUAGAAAUCAUUAUACAGCAAGAGACUCUGUUUCUUAGCUUUUUCCAUGGUCACAUCUAUGGGACUCCCAAAUGUCUAAUGCAAGUGACCCACAAAAUUUUAUCCUCAAAAAAAGAGCCAGUGCUAAAGCACCUUAACAGUUCCAAAGUCUGCAAGAGCCACAUUAAAGACCAGUGCUGUGUUCCUCUGAAUCUACCAAGCAAUUAAAAGUGACUUGCUGGCACAGAGACAUGGUCCUAAAGCUGUAUGUGGUCUUCAGUUAUGUUUCUGUUCUCAUCAUCUGGCACAAAGAUGUGAAAAAUUUGAAUACCUAAUGCACCAAAGAUGAGUUUUAUCUUUGCAUCUCAAGCAGAUGUGUUGACAUUCUCACAUCACGUCUAGAACAGUAGCUCAGUUUAAAAGGUUGAGACAUCUUUUUACAUUAUUCCUUCUGACAGGCUCCUUUUAAUAUGCUGUUAAAUUUUAAGAAUAAAGGAAAUGUUUUUUAUUGUUUCGAGGAGACAUUUCUGACUCAGCUACAAAAUUGAGAGAUUGGAAUAAAGUCGGUGGGGGGUUAGUCAGGGAGAGCAUACAUGAGUCAUGAGAGGGGUAAAGAGAAGAAUAGGGAAUAGUGUAGGAUAAAAAUUUUAAACUAUGACUUGAAGAAAAUAAAUAAACCAUAUGGAGUUUUUUCUUUCACUUUGAAUCAAAGGUACGAGCAUGGCGGUUUCUGUUUGGUGCUGAUCUGCAACGAAAUACAAGCAGAACUAAAGGCAUUUCCCACCCAAGGCCUCCAUGUCCACUGUAUAACGGUAAGCGCACCACACACAGCAAAUACACCUACAAGACAUUGAUUUUUGAACAGUGACUUUCUCAAAGAAUCACCUUGAAGCAUACUGAGUUUUGAUUCUUUUUUACUGGUGAUCAGUUUUGUGCUGUGAACUCAAAGUGGUUGCCUGGGGAUGUAAGAGUUUGUGUGUGUGUGUGUUACAGUGAAGAGAGCAGAGAGGUAACUCAUUCAGUGAAAUUGUGUCAUAUCUUGUAAAUAUCUAAGUAUCAAUCCCCCAAACCAGCAGGGUGUCUUUCAUUUUUUAACCCUGUCAAAAGGAAAGGCAUUGCAGCUACACCAAAACACAGUAUAACCUCUUUUUUUUUUUUUUUUCUUUUCAAAUACGUGUUUACCUGUAACAAGGCUAGAAGCCCUCUGAAAUGUACUUGUCUGAGGUAAAAUCUGCCUGCAUUCAGUGCUUGGUGAAGGUUAAUUUAGAAACCUUUCCUUUUUUUUCCAUUUUCCUUUUGUAAACUUUCAAGUAUCAUUAGCAGACCUACAAGUCCUAACAAUCUAUCCUUUUUAUUUUUUUAAGUGUUUUUUAAGGCUGUCUUUCUUUCUUUAAAAGGACAGGAAGGACAAAAAUGAAACAAGGCCAUUAUCAAGAGACUGGACUAUUUUUAAAUAGUUAUUUUUUAUGUCUGAAACCAUUUGCAGGGGGUGAGUGUCAGGCCAGGAGAUGAACUGCAUGCUGAUGAUUCAGCCUUUUGUUCAUAAGGUUCAGACAAAUAAUACAGCCGACUAUUCAAAGAGAAGGCGAUCAAUUGAAACAAUACCAACCAAAACUUCCUCAAAUGACCCCUAAGCUCUGUUUCAAAUUGCUAGUUUGCUGAUGUUUUUACUGAAGUUUAAAUUUUGGCCACUUAGAGGGUACUUUAGCUAACAAAUUUGGGUGCAGUCACUCUUCAGGAGUGUGUUUGAAAUACUGGUGUCAGUUGCUGGUAAGCACAGUAACUCCUGCUAACCAAAUAGGGGGACAGGCUGUACUGAUCGGCUAAAUAUACAAAACAACACACUCAGUGCGUUUACAUGCACAGCUUAAUCGGACUGAGCUCAUAAUUCUUUUUUUUUUGCCGAAUCGGACUUCUCUCCUUGUCCGCGUACACAUGCGGCUGAGAAAAUCGAAUUAUUGAUGUGAACGUGUCCUCUUCCCUAAAAAUAGGGGACGAUAGGGGUCUUUUCAGCUACGCUGUUUCCGGUUGACCCAACAACAACAGCAGGUCCGUGCUAGACGUCAGAAGUGGCUACAACUGCUGCUGGACAUUUUCGAGCAAGAAGAUGGAGCAUCAUACAGCAUUGUUUUUGUCGUACAUGAUGUACGCGCUACUUUUUCUGCAGAUGAGGUGCACACUGCUACUCUUCUCUGGUGGUUUUGUUCUGGCGUGGCGCACACACACAUGCAUUGCCCAAUCAUACUCUGACUAUGCUGGUUACAUGGUAGAGAUAAUCGAACUCCAAUCCCAUUAUCAGGGUGUCUUAAUCAGAGUUCUCAGAAUCCAGUUGGACUUCUCAAACUCCGAUUAUAGAUCGUGGUGUUUACAUGCACUAGUUGUGUGGUCUUAAUCAGAGUAAGGCAAUAAUUCGGUUUUCUCGAGUGUGAUGUAAACGUACUGACUGUGUUUUAGAUUUUCAGCACAUGUGAACAUUUGUGUGGAGUAUUAUACACACUUGAUGCAAACUCUUCUUCUCCUGUUUGUAGAAUUUAGAUACAUGAUGCAGAUGAGUGUGAAGAUGCUGUUCUCAAACAGAUGACUCUUCCUGCAGGUUGAAGGUGAAAUAACUGAUGGUAUCAGCAUGAAAAUGUUGAAUACAGAUGUGGAAACAGCUCAAGCAUAGUUGCAACAAACUGCUGUGCUCUAGGAUAACAUUAAAAGUAAAGCUGUCAAUCUGUCUUAAAAUCCAGAGGGGCAGUGAUUUUAGCUGGAAACAUGUUCUAUUAUAUAAGUAAGACGGAGGUGGUAAACUGCCGUCACACUGCCAAUGCCACUCAAAAUGUAUAUUGAUGUUUUCUCACAAAAACUCUCUCUGGACUUGAAUAUAUGUCACUAGCAAGAGUGGGAAAAUGGUAGAGAAAGACAGAGAUUUCAACCCCCUCAGUUAAUGCUUGGUGAGAAAUAUUUAAUUUAACGUCAGAAGAAAUAUCUUACACGGUAUGAAGUCGUGCAUUUACAGCAGAGUGAGAGAGGGCUUAAUAAUUCAAAAGCAUAAAGUUCUUAUAUCUUUCCUGGAUGGAUCCAAGGCUUCAUUUAAGUAAACACGGUAGAGCAUGGAGUGCUGCAGGGCUAGGGAACGGAGUUACUGCUAUGAUCAUGUACUGUCUCUUUCUCUCUAUUCAUCAGUCACACUCAGACGUCAAACCUCUCAUGUUAGUUUUCAGCAUUAGAUUGUGCACGCUUGAAAGUGAGCUCAUUGAACAAACACUGCAAAUAAUCCACAAACCUCUCUCCUUCUUGCAGAAACUAGCUAGGCUGUUGGGUUUUCUUUAGAAGUGCAAUAAAAAUGUUUUGUUUUAUGUUUGAUUUUACAAAGUGUCAGACGGUAGCGACAGAUACUCCGCCAGGAUCCCUGGGUAAAAUCUCAGUUGUGUAAUUACAGUGGUAAAGAAUAGCACAUAGUAAUUUUCAGCCUGCACAGAACUUCCAUCUAAAGUGGGAUUUCAGAAUUUUUGACUUCUUGAUGUGCUCCAUUGUUUGCUCUGAGAUAAGCUGAACACUUUGCUGCCCAAAGAAGACCUCUGCAGUCUAAACAAUGGCGCCAUAAAUUUCGACAUCAUUAUGAGCUAUUCAGAUGUUCCCCGCUUGAUGUGCAUAUUUUAGAAGCCGGAGGGCCAUCAAAGUCAGACAUAAAAUACAAAUGAGGUCUUUAUGAACCAAAAUUCAUUCACAGUCUGCUGCUGCUUUCUGGUUAAUUUUCUCUAUCUCACUCUUUAUCUCUAUCAUGCUCCUCCAAUCUGUUCAGAGCUUAACAUUAAACAAAUUACAACAAACACAAUCUCUUUUAUUAGGUCAUUAAUCUGUUAUUAUGUAAGCUGUGUUUGUUCACACAGAGAAAAUACGUUUACUCAAACUACUGCAUCUCAAGGGUUUUUUUCUGGCAUCUAUAGUUGUUGAUUCAAACCGAAAAUACUAGGACCCUAACGACUACCCAUGAGAGUAACCACGAAAGAAGAAGCCUCAGGCACAAUCAGAAGUAUCUGGCCAGUCAACAUCAUUAUUUCCCAUCUGAUAAAUCCUUUCCAAGAGUCCUAACGCACAUAUCUCAGUUCACCUGCCAAGGACAAGUGCCCAAGGUCAUAUUUAGCCUCAGGUUAACACAGUGCAGUCCACUACUACCAUGAGGAACUACAGUGAGACGUUAAGCCUCCUGCUGCACAGUUUGUGAAGUUGUUGAAGUCAACUUGUACUACUCUUAAAUAAAUAUGAAAUACAAACUCAGCAUGAAUAUUUAGCUUUCAGGAUACUGCCCUGUGAGAACUUUUUUUUUCCAGUAUUUGUUUCACAGUCUUACGGGUGAUUCCAGUUGAGUGGUUAAGAAGAAGAUCCUUCCUGUCAGACAGUCACAUUUUAUUAUUGCAAACGUUGACAUCCUUUUUUGAAAGGCUGAAUCUCCUAGACUUUAAGAGACAUUUGAUGAUCAAAAACCAGGGCUUUUUUCAUGUAUUACUCUUGAAACUGUGUCUCAGGAAAAAAAAAAAUAAAAGUGAAAGUUUUUCUCCUGAUCAUUUUCAAUGCCACACUAGGUACUUUGGAGAAAAUAAUCUUAUUAUAUGGUUCAUGAAAUAGCUUUUUUAAUGUGUGGAUUACAUGACAUUUUUUCUUAGCAGAGGCCAGGAAUUCUGCUCCACUACAGACCCUAAAAUGUUCCCUAGAGAACAGAGAAUGCAAUAUUCAUCUGUUCAUUAAAAAAGUGUCAAACCCUGUUUCUGAAAAAAAAAGUAUGGAUGCUGUGUAAAAUACUUUUAAAACCAGAACCUGAAAGUCAAACCACCAUAUGUAAAAACAGAGAAAUGUCCUUUACUUUCAUAAAAGUGUAUGCCCAUGUUGAAUUUGUUGCCAGCAUCACAUUUCAGAAAGGUUUGGACUGGGUUAUGUUCCCCCCUCUGUUGCAUCACCUCUGUCUUUAACAAUAGAGGAAUACCACUUGCUGUUAUUGUGAAGGCGAUAUGUUCUCACAUGUCCUGCCUUAUGUUGGAUUUUAGCUGCUCAAGUGUUUCAUUUUUUAUAUCUUAUAAUGGGCCAAACACUGUCAGUGACUACCAAGUCAGCACUGCAGGCAGGCUGGUUUGACACCCAGUUUUUGUUUCUACACAGAGCCAUCUUGUUGUAAUAAUGCAGAAUGUGGUUUAGCGUUGUCUUGCUUAAAACCGCAAGUCUUUGCUUAAGAGGGAUGUCAUCUUCUUGGCAUCAGAAGUUGCUCAAAAACCUGCAUACUGUAUAUAGUUUAGUAUUUUUGGUGCAUUUAUUUUCCUGUUUAUGUUAACCAUAUAUUAUGUGCAAUAAAGCUAAAGCUAAAGCUCCCUUUACCAUCACAGCUGCUGUUUUUUGAGCUCAGAGCCGAUGAAAAGCUAGAUGGUCCCUCUUCUUUAUCCUAAAGGACACGUGAUUUCCAAACAAAAUCUCAGGCUUUGCGUUAUCAAAGGACAGUUUUUCUCUUCAUCUUCACUGUUGUGGACAAAGCUAGGUCCUCCAGUGCUUCAGUACCAGAUCCAGAUGAUAUACCACUCAGGGCAGACAAAAACUGCCAUGCAGUGUUGGAGCUUCUGUGGUAGGUAGGCCUGGGGGAUUUGGCGGAAAAAAUAUGAUGAUCACGAUAUAUUUUGUCAUACUGUCCGAUCUCGAUUAUUAUCAUGAUUUAAAUAAAUAAAAUAAAAACGAAACUGCCAGUUUUAAAGUAUCUGUACUUAAAGCUAAAGAAACUAGAAAUUAGUUUAACAUUUUAUUAACAUACAAAGUAAAUAAAGCAAAUUGAACAAGAUAAACAUAGAAAAAGAUAAAUAACCACUUUAACUCAAGAGUACAAAAAAUGUAGAUAAAUACUUGACAAUACGGUGAACUAGUUUAUAGUCCUGAGUGUUUCUGCAGGUAUGCAAGACACAGAAUGAACAAAUCACCCUCUCAGGGAUAAUGAAGACGCCUUAAAAUGUAAACAUUAGAUGAUGUUAACAUAAAUGAUAUGAUUGAUCGCUGCUUCGGUCUGGUGGCUGCACCGCUUGUUGUGGCUAAACUGCUAAUGCCACUUGUGCCGUCAGCAGUGGCGGGCUGUGCAGACUCCGCUCGCAUGUUCAUGCUUUCCGCAUAAUCACUCAGGAAGUACUUCUUCAAAUGAUUAAACAGAUCUGUUGUGUUGCCGGUUUUUGAGGGCUCUGACCGCCAACAUACCUGGAACAUCAGCUGAAUUGCUUGACGUCACUUUGGAGAUACCUGAAUCACCGCCACACAAUCGACGUUGAAUAACUUUUCUUCUCAACAAUGGCAUCUUCAGAGAAUGACUCACAGUCACGGCUGAUAUCUAUUUUGCUGCCCUCAGCUCUGCAUUUAGCUCCAUGUUCAGUUAUUCUGUUUACAUCUCCUGUUUACUUCUCAGGCAACGCACAGAAGUGAGUAGGAAAAGCUCGAGUCCAAUCGGCUGUUGUGACACACAUUUCCGCUAUGUUUGAGCGAGUAAAUACGCUCACAGCUGAUCACCGUGAUCGAGCUGAAAUUUAUCAUGAUCAUUAAUUAAUAUAAUCAGUAUAAUAUUAAUAUAAUCGUCCAGUCCUGGUGGUAACUAAUGAGAACAACCUGGAAGAACAAGUCCAUCCCAUCAGAAAGAAGUAGAGCAGCGAACACCUUUACCCCCAAAGAGCAAGAUUCCAGUAACACCAACCAGUUCAGAGGCAACGUUAACAUGAAAGGAAAAAUCUGAGUUCCCAACCAAAAUCUCAACUUGUCGUCGUUCUUUUGUCAACCAUAGGCUGGGUAGUGAUCAUAGCAUAACUGUCUCACUCCAGUGUGAUGGAGGCAGCUUCUUGAACAGAGGAGGGCAAAUACACAGAGCUGAUGACUGACUGCAGGGCAGCAGGAUGGUCAGCUGUCAGCUACCCUGUGGGGUCGGCAGCAGAGGCUUUGUGGGGGUGUCUGGUCACAAAUGAAAUAAGAUCUUAGAGAUCUAGCUGGGGAAGCAAAGCCAAGGAGAUUCUGGCUUUGGUUAAGGAGGAAAGAUCAGGCUUGGGGAAAUCAAAGGUCCAAGGCACAGCUGCAGGUGGCAGUGGGGAGACAUCUUCACUGUGGGUCCAUUACCUCGAAUUGUUGUUCCAGGGUUAAUGACGAGAAACAGUGGUGAAGGGCUGUCCCUGACUGAUGACCCUGCAGGUGUCCUAAUGGCACCAUCAGAGGGACGACGACAGGCAGCAGUGCCCGGCAGGUGGUCUCUUACCUGUGCUUGCUUCACCUCAGUCCAUCCCACACAGACCUAAGCUCUGAGCCCUGGUGUUUCCAGAUUGUGUUUUUAUGCUUUCCUCUUUUCGUGGUACAGUCAAUCUGCAUUUGCAGAUGCAGCAAAUCAUUUUAUACACAGGUGAUGUUUUAAAAAGUGACUUUGAGUCCAUGCCUGGAUUUCAACUACAGAGUCUGUUUUUAAUGUAGUGCGUUUUCUGCCUUACCCCUUUAGAACAGGGUUUUUGUAAGAUUUUCUGAGCCUUUAAAAAAUAUUACAUACUGUAGGAUGAAAUGACCAGAAUUUUUACAAUUUAAUUUUAUGAAACCUUGUUCGUAAUAUGUUAAUUUAUUUUAAAAUUACUUAGUCUUUCAGGGAUGCUGCUUAUAUACAGUAUUUUCCAUGAUCUGUGUUGCUGCUAUGACAACUUAAAUGAAACAUGUAGCUAACAUCAGAUCUUAAAUACCUGUAAUUUAGAUUUCCAGUUUUAACAUUUUAUGAGCUAUACUUGGAAUGUUUUGUGAAAAAUCACAUUAUGUUGUAGUUGAAUUUACACAGCAUCCUAUGAUUAGUUAAUGCAAUUGUGUGACUGAAAGGCACAUACAUAUGCUAGCAUCAUUGGGCUAGGAGCAAACGACAUAGAAAUAGAUGCAGUAAAUCUAAAAAUGUGAGUUGACUAUAUUUCUUCAGUUGAACAAACUUUGUUGUAGGAAAAAGUGAGCAUACAAUAGGUUGACUUUUGCUAAACGUACUGAAAAAAUUUAGUAUCUGCAAAGCAGAGAAACUCAACUGUAUUUGCAAUGUUAAAAAUGAAAAUGUCUGAACUAAAGUUUAAUGAUAAGGGAUGUGGAUGUAUAGUUUAGAAAACAUCUUCACACUUGCUACUCUGCACCAGAAUGACUAUUGGGUUAAAUGAGCAGCUCUUUUUAUUGUCGGCUCAAAAUGUAGGUUAUUGAAUGCCUGAACCAGUCAUCUAUUAUGGUAUAAUGCUCUUCUGUCCUGAUGUAAACAAACACAGAUGAAUUUUGAACUAGAAAACAGAAAUGGAGUUGUGCUGUCUCAUUAUCUCAACUGGAACAACUCCCAGUUAGAUAUGAGGAUAUCAGGGAAGAAACCUGUGAUUCUAGCUUUGCUAACGAUACCUACACUCAGCAAACCAGUUCGGCAUUGUUCACCUGCAGACUGUUAUCUUGUGUUUAGUUUUGUUGAAUUUUGCUUUAUUUUGACUUCAUUUGAAGUUCUUUGUACCUUCAGGCUGGUAGUUUAACUGAAAUUUGAAUUUCUCUUUGAACCAUUAAGAAAUUAGUCCUGAAGAACAAUACUUGGGAUUUUCAAUUCAGAGUAGUUUGUAGUCAUUUUAGGAUUACCAUUCCCCCUGUCUGAAUAAUACAGUUUGUAUAACUACUGCAGUUGUUUUUGUUGACAGUCACUUAUCUACAUCACUGCCAUGACGGAGUCCAUGUUUGAUGCAGGCACAUCAUAUAUUAUUGAAUCACAUUGUAAUGUACUGUGGUAACUGCAUAAAGAAAAGGGGUAGACUGUAUUGUACCCAUUCAUCAGCUCCAUUAAAACAAAUCAGGAUGUGUUGCUUUGUUUCCAUGUGUCAAGAUGUAAAUCAAAGUGGUCUCAGUGGGUGGCAAACACACUGUUAGCAGACAAAUAUACCAUGAAAGCUGAUUACAUAAUCAUAAUUUACAACCACAACAAAUCUUCUGUCAGCAUCUAUUUUGUAUUAUUGUUCUCCAUGUCUGCUUUACUGUAUUUCCCUGCUGUCAGAACUCUGGAGGAGCUAAUGAUGCUGUGUAAUGUAAUAAGAAAGAUUUCUAACUCCCUCCUGUUUUAAAGACAUGCUGAUGAUCACAAAUCCACACUGACCUUGUUCAAUGUCAGACUUUGUGCGCAGACUGUCUAAAAUCUGCUCUCAUUCAUUAGGUGCAGAUUAAUCCAAUUCUGCACAUUGUUAAGCAAAGUGAGGAUGAAAAUAAAUGAGUGGAUGAAGGGUGGGAAUGAAUAAAGCUAAAUCUGCAGCUGAGGGGCACUUAAAAAACAAAAUCUCACAAAAUAAAGAUAGUUGAGAGGCACGUGCGCUGUAGCUGAUUAUCUUUGGUUUUCCUCAGUGUGUAAUAGCAGCUCUAGUUUUAUCAAUUAUGUGUCAUUUGUUCCUGUAUAACAGCUUCAGCCCCGAAGAUUCAACUCAGUACUGAGUCACAAAGAAAGGAAAACUAGACUGUACUGGUUAUCCUCACAAACUGGGGAUUCGAAAAAUUAGAGAGACAGGGGAGAAAACUUUACCUUUAACCUUUAACUCUGUUUACAUUUUAUCUUAACAAUUCCUUUCUUCCGGGUGCCUUAAAAGACGGUCUCACGAGUGCCAGUCUACGUGAACGAGAACAGAGACAGAGGAAAAAAACAAGGCAGACUGUACGGAAAGUAGGCAGAAACGAUCUAAAGCAUGGCUUAAUUUUACUGAGAAAGACGACAACAGCGCGACAUGCAAUGUUUGUCGAGCAGUGAUAACAUGCAAAGGUGGAAACAUCAGCAACAUGCUUAAACAUUUGUCAAUGGGGAACGGCAUCAAAUAUAAGGAGUCACAUGUAUUCCAUGCUCUCCGCUGGUCGUCAGCUGCUGCCGCUCCAUCUGAGCAGGGCUUGGACGGUGUAUGUCCCGUGUUAACACAAGCAAAAUGCAUUCCAGACCAAACAACAUAUUAUGUAUCUGACUUAAUACUUGCUGCACAAAUAGUUUGUUGUUUGAUUAUUUUUAGACUCUCACUGAAGAUGGCAUACAUCUUUUUCCUGUUAUCAGAGACUGAAAAAAAUGUUGAGUUAAUGGUGAAAACCUAUAGUCUACUUUUUUUUAAAUCAAAGAAAGACAUUGACAAGGGAAUUGUUAAAGAAUUGAAUAGAUAAGCAGAACUGCAUCAAUAUCAAUAAAAUCUUAUCUAUUCCCAUCCCUAGUUGCUUUUGAAUUAGAUUUGGAAACUCAACAAACCAGGUAGGGGACUCACUUGACUCAAAUUAGGAAUCAUCGACUUCUGUGUGUGUUAGUGCUCCUGCUCCCACUGUGGGUCAUGUGAAGUAUUCCUGUACUCUUAUCUCCAUGUCCCAGUGAAUUAAAUGCCCCUGUAUUCCUCCUCUUAUCAGGUUUUGAGACUUUUGCCGUGCAUGGUUAAUGUUACCUCUCUCACCGCGAUUGCAGCAUUUUUGAGUGGACUCAGUCCAGCUGUGAGGCAAAGACAGGACCAACACGGUGCAUUGUCUGUUUAUAUCAGUAAAUAGCAAAAAACACCUGAAACAUCUGGGAGAAAUCCUCUAAUGCAGACUGUACAGGCGUUACAUUGCUGCCACUGGUGUUUUCUGGCAUUUCUGUAAUGAUGAUCUCCCCUCCCAGACUGGCAUUUUUCUGAUGUUCGUAUUAGUUUUUGAGUGCUUAGAGAAAACGGUAAAAGCUGGUUGCACCUUUUGAUUUUACACAUUGAGGAUAAACUUUCCAGUGGUCUACAGGUCACACACGGUCUCAACUGUAUAUGGUUGUCUAAACGGAUCAGAGGCCAGCUGUAGUGAAUGUGACCAAUCAAUCUGUUGAUGAUUAUAUUAAUUUUCAUUUUAUUUUAAAAAGACUCAACAGAAACGUCAUAGCUUUUCUUAACCUAAAGGGGUCAUAUUUUAGCCUUGGUAUCAACAGUGUGCUAAAUAAUUCAAAAUAUAUCACUUUAGCUGAAAUCAAAGGGCAGUCAGGGAAGACUCUGUUUCAGGGGGAAACUGAUCAUUUAUAUCUCUGUAAUGUUAGCCCCUCAUAUAAAAUAUGUAUAUUGUAAUUAGCUUCUUUCUGCUGAUAAUAAGACAAACAGGGGAAAGAACCAGAGUAACUGGAUAGAUCAGAAACAAAGAAAAAUAAUUGGAGAAAAAACAGAAAAAAGUGACCUUUGAAAUGCUGUGAAAUGAGAGAAUAUCGUUUUGUAGUAUUAAGUUAAUGUGCUAUCACAAUAACCUUGAAGCUGCCUUCUAUAGUAGCUUGGCAGCAGACUUCACACAUUUCUGUAGUCUUAAUUGAAUUUAAUAGAUGAGCACACAGAGAUAUUGUGUAUAGUGUUUAUCAAUUAUAUAUAAUUUGUUCCAAAGAAACACGCGCGUUCAUCGGUGCAGAAUAGAAAUGAAAAUGAGGUAAAAGCCUGACUCGCCUCUGUUCUGGGAGGAGCAGCCUGUUUUAUUUUGAGCUGAGUGAACUAAACUAACUGAGUUUGAGCUUUAAAGAGUAUGAAGGGAAAAUGCUGUUUUUAAGAUUAACAGUUUUAUGAUAAUUGAUUAUAAACACUUUUAUUUGUGAUCAGGAAACUCAAUUACACUUAAACCUUUUUGAAGAGAGCAAAGCUGACAUCUUUCACCACAACUACUGGGUGUGAUGUUGAGUGGAAGUGGGGAGAUAGGUUUAUCAACCUUUGUUGAUGUUUUAAAACCAAAGCAUGUUGUAGAAAAACCAAAUGUGUGUAAACCAGGUAAGGACUGUUUACGUCACAUCAAAAUGUAACAUUAAGGAUGAUAGUAAAAGUGCAGCAAAAGUGCAUACUGAAACUGCAUUCAUCAACUUUUUCAUCACUUGUUUUUAUAUCUGUAGAACAGCAUCAGUGUACAGUUUCUCUAAAAGUAAAAUACUUGAAACGACUGUCUCACUGCAUUAAAGAGAUACACUUAUGCUUAUUAAUUCAUUUAGCCCACUCCUUUGACAAAUCCCCUCCUUUGUGAAAUGGGUAAAAUGCAAAUACAAAGAUGUUUUUAUUUAUAUCUGCAGUAACACAGCAUCCGAAAACAAACACAAAAGCACAACAGCCACACUAAAAAAAAACAUAGAGUGGUGGGCAAUUAUUCAACAAUUUAAAGAUAUUAUUCUUCAUGACAACAAAAAAAAAAAACAACGGUAGCAGUACUGGUACAGAUUUUUAUAGCAUAUACCUUCAAGUCACAUCCAGGUAUGAGCUCCACAGGAAAAUAAACCUUUUAACUCUGGCCCAUCUGCCUCUCUGUGUUUAAAAGUUGAAAUAAGCUCAUACAACAGACUAACACUUUGUUUCCCUUUUUUACAAAUGCAUCUUUUCAACUUGAAUCAAAUCAGAAAAGAUGCCCCACAGCAGCACAGGAACUGACUGAUAUACGCUUCCAUGCCUCCCUUCACCUAAGUGCAUGAUGUUUACAUUCUAUACUGUAUUAAUUUAUAAGUGAGAGCCAUUUCAUGCUACACAUGGCAUUGUUUAUGUAUAAGGCUGUGGAGCCACUUGUAAGAACUGUUUGUGUUUCCCCGGAGUGAAGGUAAUUACCAGAGUUGGGGGCGUUGUGAGCUUUCUUCUCCUCUACUUCCAUAUUUGAUAUGCUCCCAUAUAUGAUUUACAGCACAUGAGAAAAUACAGUGUGUUUGAAUGGCAUACAGUAUAGGCUAUGGCUUUGUGUCUCAGAAGGAUAGUGUGGGCUGAUCUGAAGCAGGAUUUUUCCAAGAGUAUGAAUAUUUUUUUUUAGCUCAGAAUGAUAACAUCUAAUUACACAAGUCAGUGGGAAGGUCUCCUUGUCUGAUUUGUCUAGAUGUCUUUAUGCCAGAGCCUGUUCUUCAAAACUAACAAGGCUGUUUCCCUUUCUUCAAUAAUACCAGUAAUGAUAGGUGCGCAGUCUGCAUGUGCCUCUGAUAUGUUUUCCUGUGCCUGUUUUAAUGGUCAGAUUUUCUAUCAUACAGGAGUAUGUCUUUCUAUAUGGGCCAAAGUGCAGACGGAAGGUUAUUGAGGGGGCAGAGUAUCAGAGAGUGGAACAAAAACUACCUCAAAUGUCAGAAUAAGCAGCGGUAUCCAUACCAUGAGGUCCGCUGUCUUUCUCUCCAAGUCAAUAACAUUGUCACUGCAUUGAAGAAAAAUCAAUGAGUGUAAGGCAUGAUGGUAUUGUGAAUUCCAGACACAUCAAACUCCACCUUAGAAAUGUCUCCUGAUGAUACAGGACAGCUGCUUUGGGAAAAUUACACAUCACCCAGCAGCCAAAGAGUGAAGGAUACAAAGGAAAUAAGUCAAGGUGAGAUCGACCUUUUUAACACCAUCAUGUGUCAAAGACAUGCCCCUCCAAUUCCUUCUGUCGUGAGACGCACGCACACAGAACAUGAGAGGAGCGAAUGGAUGAAAAGAGAAAGUAAACAUACCAAGAAAUCUCUGUGCUUUCUCUAGUCAUGUCAAUAUGAGGCUAAGUGACUGUUCAAUAUUCUCCACCGACCACCGAAAUGAUGAGAGAGGGGUGAUGUAAGAGUUACAACUGCUGCAGUGUACUAGAGUGAGAGUUGGCGCAGAGAGGAACGAAGGGAGGAGUGGAAAAAAGAAAGAGAGGAAAGAAACUGACAGGGAGAUUCAGAGACAAAGAGUACAGAAAAUAUUAAGUAGAAGCCUUGGAGGAGAUUGUUUACAUGGCUGUUAUGCUUUAAUUUGCCUGUAAUGCACUCCCAUCUACCGCCUGAUCAAUUAUUUACACAUUUUUUUCCCUUUUAAACUGAAGUCGUGCUAUUUAGAGCGAUGAAAAAAACAAAAACAUUAAUUGCCUGUGGUUUGAUUCAAGCUCUUCAGUCGGCUUUCUGGUGUAUUCAGGCUUAGUAGACAUGCUCUGCCCACACUGGUAGUGUCAAUGAUCAGAUCACAAUCUACAGUCAAUGGCUUUUCCCUGUACCUUAUAGCUACUGGUUCUCAGGGGAAAACUCCCCCACACUUAUCCAGCUCCAGCGGGGUGGGAAGAUGUGUGUUGUGUUAGAGUGGCUGAGGUGACCAUUUGAUAAAGUGGCGCUCUCAUACAAAACUCGUUAACAGAUGCUGUUGUGUAGGAGGACAUAGGGAGUGUAUUCUAAAUGCUGAGCUUUGUAGGAGACAGUGACACAAUGGUGCGAGCUCUAAUUCAGUCUUUUCACCACAUAGCAAAAGAAGAGAUUUUCCAUUUAUUUUAGUUUGAGUGGAUGAAAUAGGUUCAGGGCUAUGGAAGGAAAUUUUCGAACACUUAAGGCAGUCAGGCUGCAACAAAACAGUUUUUAGGACGGCCUUUAUUUGGAAUUGAUAACAAAGAACAAGUUUGACAGCAGUGGGGAUCAUCACCCCCUUUGCUGCUAUCUCAGUUUGCCUCUUAUUUGUGCCAUAGCUUACCAGUUGUUGAAGAUAUUUCUGAAACCACUUCUCAGGAGUGUGAAAAAGUAAGACUAAAUCACAAUGAAAUCUAACUCCGGACAGAAUAAAGCCUACAGGGAAAAGGGGCAAAAGAAAAAGAAGAAAAAAAUCAAAAAUGCCACAAUAAAUGUAGAGUGUUUGCGCUAUACUCAGAGAAAUGUAGUGUAGAGGCUACUACAGGUCAGAGUGAUACCUCCUCAGGGACCCAUAAAGAGAUUUGUCAAGUCCCUGUGUCUCGAUGUCAAGUGGGUGUUUAAACGGAUUGAACACGCUCCCUGACCUGCGAUACUUGUCUUGUCAACCUAACUCAAUAAAGCCACAACAAUCGGAUUGAGUCAAGUGAGUUUGACUGAUUUCUGUGGUAAAGGUUUGUACUUGUAACCGUUCAGCUGGAGUGGGUCUGAGCUCACUGAGGGGAAAUUGUCAUCAAUGUAGAUCCAUUGACCCCUUCACUUGUCUCCGCAGGCUUACUUUGCAUUUAGACUCAUCGCGAUCCUAAUCAGGAUUAGUGUAAUAUAAAGAUUAAUUGAAGGAUAAUUCUGUUUUUUCUGCAGUAUCAGAGAUCCUUGUGGCCCGGGAUUUGUUAGGCUACUAGAGCUUGUAUUUAUCAAACAUCUCACAAUUACUCUGAGGCAUUAUGCUUAUAGUUUGUCUUUGACCAGAAAAUAGUCAAAGCUUAGAUAAACAUGAGAGAUAAUAUAAAUCCUUCUUCAGGCACAUUAGAGGAGGAGUAAAACUUGAAUGAGACAAUUUGUUCAAAGCGAAUAUAAAAUCAGGAUGUAAUACAUUUUAUUAUUGCUUUAAAUGGAAAUUUAAACAGAAUAAUGUGGAUACAGCGCUCCAGUAUGCCUCAACUUCUUGAAUAGGCUUGGAGAUUACAGUUUUUAUUGCUCAGCAGCAUGUAGAAUAAUAUCUUUAGGUGGAGCAGGCACAUGGGAGCGAGUCCAGAUGAGCGUGGACCCAUGCAAGGACGAGUUAAGUAACCAUUAAAGCCUUUUCACAUGCUCACAAACCUUAAUUGUGUAAAAGCAUAAUCACAGUUUGGCUAUUUUUAUUGCUCUCACUCAGGCGCACAUUUUUCUUCUUCCAUGUUCACCUCUAAACCAUAGAGCAGAGUGGAUUAGAGUAAAGCAUGAAUGACUUAGUUAUGCUGUAUGAAGGUAGACACUUUCUGUCCCAGGAAAGGACCUGUUAUAUUUUAUCCCACUUUUGUUUUUUUUUCAAUGAGGACAGCUGAAUAGAGGUUGGAGAUUUAUUGAAUGGCUGCUAUAGCCUCUAUGCAGGAAGCAGGAUUAUAUGAGCUCAACUGGUGCCUCAAAAACCAUGUGAUUGAAACAGUGUUCUGUUCGAGUCACCAAAGCUCGAGUCCGAGUCGAGUCUCAAGUCCUCAGUGGGCAAGUCUGAGUCGCAUCUGAGUUGCCCAAAAAAAAAAUCGGAGUCUUAAUCCAAGACGAGUCUGAGUUGGGUCCUCCUCCUCUGAGUUGAGUCACACUCCAUCCAAUUCACGAGGAUAUUAUUUAUUCUGAAUGCAGCCGCAGUUGACAUUUAUUCAUGUAAUAUUCCAUCCAUCCAUUUUCUACUGCUUACUCCCGUUCCCAGGGUCAAGGAGCCUAUCCCAGCAUCUUUGGGCAAAGGCAGGGGACACCCUGGACAAGUCACCAGUUCAUCGCAGGGCUGACAUAUAGAGAUGAACAACCAUUCACGCUCACAUUUACACCUAUGGGCAAUUUGGAAGUGGCCAAUUAGCCUGACCCCACUUCAGCAUGUUUUUGGGAUGUGGGAGGAAACAAGAGUACCCGGAGUAAACACACACAGACACAGGAAGAACAUACAAACUCCAAACAGGAAUGCCCUGACCCAGAUUCGAACCCAGGACCUUCUUGCUGUGAGGCGACAGUGCUAACCACUACACCACUGUGCCGCCUCAUGUAAUAUUGCUGAACGUAUCUGUUUAUGGAUGCAAGUUUGUCAAGUUGAAAAUAUAUCACAUGACUUAUCCAAACACCUUGGAGCCGUUGUUUGAAUACCUUCAGAGGCUAAUGCUGGUGUUAUUCAGCAGCUAGCUCACGAGAAUGUUAUAAGCAGUCAGAGUAACAUUAGCAUCGCCAUUUACUCACUUCUUUAGGUGCAUCCUGGACAGAUGUCUGUUAAAGUUCAGCGUUGUCCUCGUUUUCUCUUCAAUGUUUUACUUUUUUUUACACAAUGAACAUGUUGCUCUACAUUUAAAUUUGUGGUAAAAUCUUUGAAAGCAAACCGUACAACCCGUGGCGCCUCCUUUGACAUCUUGCCGCACACUGUUGCUGAAUGAGAUGGCAUGUGAAUGCGAAUGCAGGUAAACAAACACAUAUGCCUGCUGUAGGCUGAAGAACGAUCUGUUAUUGGGACCCUAUAACAGAAAUAUUAAAAAAUAAAACAAUAACAAAUAACAAAGCAUUCAUUGAUAAAUAAGCUUGAGUCCUCCUCCGAGUCCCAAUGCAGCCAGAGCUUAAGUCCAAGUCGUCAGCGCACAAGUCCGAGUUGAGUCACAAGUCUUGAGUAUCUGGACUUGUCCUGGACUCCAGUACUACAACACUGGUUUUAAAAAAUGAAUAUUUGUAAUAGUUUCAACAGCCUGAAACUGAAUCUGUUUCAAACUGUUUAUCAUUUAUAUUUGGAUAUCGGGACUCUAACUCUUUAUUGUAGAUGACCAUUAUGGUCAUUAAACCACUAGGUAACCCCCUUAAAGAAAAAACAAAAAACCGUUCUGAUCACUUGUUUUUGAAGUGCUCACACAACAGUGUUUAGAAAGAAUCUUUUAAUUUCUCAUUCCUGUCAUUACUGACACCUGCAGUAUCUGCUGAAAUUAAUAAUGUGUGGAUGACUAUGCUGUAAACAAAUCUCCACAUUUAUAUAAAAAAAUGUCUUUAAUCCCUAGUUUAUUAAACCUCUGCUUCUUGUUUGACGUGCUUAAUCAAUUUUUUGCCUUUUUUUCACUUUUCCUGCAGCCUUUGUCGAAUAAUAAAACCAUGUUUGACUAAGGCAAUACUGCAAACUUAUAAAGGAGCUUUGUAUGAAAUGUUAUUACCUCCAUCAACAGGUUGCUAAUUGUAUUUAGCUCCUUGCGAUGUCAAUAUGGUUUUGCACACUUUAUUGAAAGAGUGUUAGACACAACACUGAUACUGUUUUAAACACUGUGAUACAGUAGCUGCUGUUCUUAGCAGAGAGACACAGAUGAUAUGCCAGCUGUAAGUGACUUUAGACCACAUUAACAGUAUUUGCCAAAAAAGGAUCAACCUACUGCCAAUCUUGAAGAAAUAAUAUGACUCAUCCUAGAUAUUUGAACCACCUUAAUCCUGUAAAGACCCUGGAUCAAGCAAGUCUCAUGGCUAGACCUGCUGGAGCAACAACUCUCUAACCUCGAGAAAACAAACACAGAAGGCUAGGUCAAGAUCCAUCCGAUCUAAAUAAACAUCUGCAAGCAAGUUAACACAACAGAUUCCUAUUAAAGGUCAAGUGUUUGAAUCUGAAACGGAAACAUGACCAGGCUGUGAUCCAACAUCUCAGGCUCUGCCAGAGCAUCGGCAGCCAUGCUCUGAACAAAUAGAAAUGUCAGACAAACACAUCCCCACAGGAGGCUCUUUUCAUCAGUGCACAUGCAAAAGAAAUGGUGAACCUACCUACCAGCCAUCAGGGAUGAAAGUAAAGGAGACAGGUACAGUAAAGAGAAAAGAGCCAGAGCAAACAGAUAGAUGGAAAUGGAAGGAGGGGGUGUGACAGUAUGUGCCUAUAUAAUCCCGGACUUAUUAAACUCUGGGAUGUGCAGCUGGGUUUUUAUGUUAAUAAUGUGCACCAGCACAUGGUUAGCACAGGCAUCAUGGGUGCUCUGUCCAUUAAAAGAGGUCAUUUACUAUAGCAGCAGGACUUUACACAACCUGAGAUGAAACGAUUUUAUCCAUAGCAUCAGUCUUUGAUGCUUCACAGAGAACACAUUUGACUCUGUAUGUUGUAUGGAGGCUACAGCACAUCAGUAUUAAGGGGACAAAUGAAUGCAGUACCACUUUAGUAUACAGCAUGUAAACUCUAAAUCAAGACCCACGCCUUUUCAGUUCAUUUCCGACUCUUAUUUUUCCAGUGGUCUUGUCUCAAUACCACUCACUAAAAAAGUGUUUUCUGAACAUAUCGUGUCGCUCUUACUGUCCAUAAGGACAGACGCCCACAGCCACUGAGUACAUCCUGGUUCACUGAGUCUUUCACUUCAUCACAAUCUUUGUCUCAUCAAAUCACAUCAUAGUUAUUUCCCCAAUGAUGUAGCAAUUUGUCAUUGUAGUUUCAGUUGACUGCAUUGUAAAUGCCCUAAAUCCACCUUAUGUUUACCCUCGCAUUGUGAUUAAUUUAGCACACGAAAAGGGCAUGAGUUUUCUUAAAGCACUGAUCUGGAUAUCAUGAUGAACACUGUUGAUUUAUGACUAUUAUUGUAACGGCAAAUUCAAAAGAAUGGUCCCUCGUGUAUGCACACUCUGGGGAGUUUAAACAAUUGUGAAUGUUAUUCCGUGUCUCUGUUAUCUUUGCGUGCCACUGCCUUUGAACCUGAGUAAGCAGUAAAAGCUGAAGAAAAACUCUGUACCUUUAACUGCGAGCUUGCAGGAGUCGCUAAGCGCCUUAUGCAUAAAGCAGAGUGUUGUUUAAGAGUUUACUUUGAUCUCCAGCAGUGUCAUAGACUCACACACACUCACACACACACGCAACAUGCACACAAACAAAAAUGAUAAUGAAUAACAAACUGCAAAAUUUGCCAUGAACCCUAACACUUUGAAGUGGGUGUAUCAAAACAAUGCAACCAUACAUGAGUGUUUGUUUCAGCUCCUUAAUAGAAACGACUGUUUACUCUUUAGUGUCGGAAAUGCUAUUCUUUAAGCAAAAAGCUUAACAAAACUUUAAGAAAGGAACCAGAAAACUGAGUGAUUCUAGUAAAAAUCUGAGACUAACAAUUCCUUUUCAUCUCUCUCUAGACCUUAACUUUAUUCUGUGAAAGAAUCUAGCCACUUCUCAGUCAGAAUCAGGGACACCGAUAUUGUCAAGUAGCUUCAGUGUGGCAGAAAAAGUUAUUUACUAGGACUUAGACAUCAGGAUGUUCUGAUGCUGGACAGAAAUGUUUUAUUUGACCUGCCAGUAGACUGCAGACUAAUUCAUCUGGAUUGCAGGUGAACCUCUUUAUAUAUCUAAUACUUUGUGCUUAAUUGUGCUUUGGCCCAUUGGUCAGCUAACCACUAGCCCAGUGAGAGCAAUUACAGCCCGCUCUCAUGCAGCUGAAAGUGUGCAUUAGGACUCAAUCUGACUACCCAGAAUUCAUUGUGGUUCAGGUACAGCCCUUGCAUGUCUACAAAGUUGGUCUGUAGUUUUUUUUUGCUGAUCUUUGCCUGAUCAGGUGUCGCCUGAUGUCAGCAGAGAUUUGUCUGCUUUUUGUAGGCAGUGACAGUCUCAGUCUCUUUGUGGGACUCUGUUUUUUUUCUUUGUUUUGACUUUGUUUUUUCCUGUGUGUGAUUUCUCUCUAGUCCAGGCUGUACUUAAGCAAAUGAUGCACAUUUUUCAUUGAUUUCAUGCAAAUACUCCUCAAAAUCUCACCUCUGGGAAUGUAAUAUAUUCACAAACGCAAAGGCAGAAGUUUUCUUUGUGACUCUAACAUUGAACUAACCUUUAUUUUCAAUUAGUUCUGUCAGGUUCUGUCAGACACGAAGGUAAAGUAGCAAAGAGAAGUAAUUGUUCACUCAGUGACUGACUCACUGACUGAUGCACAUUUAUGACAGUUUCAAAGCGACCCAAUGAUCUGUGGUCAGAUACUCAAAGAGAGGAGAAUUGGACUGACAGUUGCAGGCAUAAACAGAAGGGCAGCUCAUAGGUAGACAGGAGAGUUUGCGUGCUAAUCUUGAUUCAUUAAAAGUUAAGACAUUUAAAAGACUUUGUAGACUUUAAAUAAUUCAACUCUUUUCUUUUUUUUUUUGAUUUACCUUUAAAAACACUCUGAGCUGAUAUCCUACUUUCACAGAGGAACUCAAAGACUUGUCUUUUUCUCCCACAGCAGCUCUGACACCUAGAGUGCAGAGGCUAAGAGGAGAAGAGAGUUCAAAUGAGGGACACAUACUUCAUAAACUUCAAUCAUAAAAACAUGUGCACAGUCAAAAUCAAUAUUUUGAUGAUUUGUUUGUUUAAUCUGUGCCGCCAGCCCUACAAUGGUAUCUGAUGAUUUAACAAAGACUCACUGUCUUCUUUGCAUGUGCAGCAGAUGUGGAAAAUGGAAGUCAACUCUGUGGUUCUGUUAGUGGUCUGUGUGUUCCCACAGUGUUGACAAGCACCCAAACAACUGUCUUGAAGUCCAACUCAAUAAAUUGAGCGUUUGCUGGAGUAUUUGUGAAGGCACAAGUGUAACAUGCAUUUUGAAAUUCUGCAAAUUUGUGAUGCAGAGAGUCUGUUUUCAUGCAGUUGAAAAAGAAAAUUCUAUUUAUUGCUUCAGUCUAAGUAAAAUUGGAUUUUUAAAAAUCCUGUGAACACACAUUUCUGACUGAAAUCACAUUAAAUGGAACUUAAAGAACUUAAUUUUUCAAAGUCAAACUAAAACUGGCCAAAGCAUUCUGCGCAUACUCCAGAGUUUGCAUGCUGGGCCCUGAGCUGCAAGUUCAAUAGCAUGGAUGCGUUGCUAGGAAGCUUGGCAGUAAACAAACCCCCAGCAGACAAAGAAAUGAUUUGAAAUACAGAAUUUUUCUGUCGUGCGAACAAACGGUACAAAGCUGCAUAAGUAACAGCGUUUUCAUUGUUUACGUUCACCCAAUUAGCCUCUUGCUAAUGUGUUGCCUGCUGCUUUGAUCUAAACUCGGUGAUCAACUCAUCAGGGCUCACAAGCGGCUGCUAGAGGAGAGUGGGUGAAUUAUGUUUGGUCUCUUUGCUAAAGAAACCAGGCAAAGCUAAAAAGAUGUUUGAUAGCUAGUACUAUGUGCUGGGACUCUUUAUGUACUGUUGAUGAAGUUCGGUGCUGUUCUUAACAUUAUUUGUGGCUACAAGUGGCUUUUUGGUUGAGGUUUGUGUGUGAAGAUGUAGACCGCUGUGUAUUGCUAUCGUGUGGUCGUUCCUAAAGUUGGUAAAACUAGAGAAGCAAGCAGUCGGCAACAUUCAUCUCUCAAGGGGGUGUCUAACUGUGUUACAGUGUGUUUGACCAUAACUUAAAUUUAUGCCGGAAUAGCCCUUUAACUUUCUUUGUAAAUGUACUGACAGAUACAGACUGCAUUCACAGUGGUUAGUUCGGUGUGUUUGUGUUUCUGUGUUUGUUCAGAUGAGGGGCUUCAUGGAAGUGAUAUCAGAAAGACAGUCCCUGAAGAUCGAUCAUGAAUAACAAGGAGGUG
Xyrichtys novacula (pearly razorfish) is the source of this 93701-nucleotide non-coding RNA. NCBI's taxonomy places the organism in Eukaryota, Metazoa, Chordata, Actinopteri, Labriformes, Labridae. The record is from the annotation of a GenBank genome assembly.